UGUUUGUGAGCAUGUCCCUUAUAACAAUUAUACACAUGGAUUAUUAAUUAUUAUUUUAUUUUAUUUAAUCUUUUAUAAUUCUUGAGAAAUAUGUUGUGCGAUAUAGCUGGGAAUUACCCUCGUGGUGUUUACUAUUGGAAGAGAAAUUGACGCCAUUGCUCUUUACUUCCAUGCAAAGCAAUAUUGCUUAGUUGGACGCUUUGUGUAAAUCACAAAUUAUAUAGCAGACGAGGCACCUAAAGAUAGGGCAAAAAGGUCCACUUACUUUAUUUCUCCAUGAAAAAUAAAGCUUCACUUUCUUUAAUCUUUUUUUUUUUUUCUAGGGGCACGUGAUGAAUUUUCUUGCCAAAAACAGGCAGCUAGGUGGGCAUCUUUCCAAAAUCAGUUAAUUUUAGAUUAACCCGACUGGGUCAUAAAUUAACUUGUUAAAUUUUGAAUUAGCUUAUUAAUUAGAUUAUAUUAGAUCGGGUUUAAUAAGUAGUAAUGAUAUGAUAACCGAACAGAAACCCCAUGAGCUAAACCACAGCUAGCCAUCGCUCUCGAGGCUACUGUGGUAAUUAGACACAAGAACGUCACUCUCAAUAAUAUAGAUGAUGAUAAUAAUACUAGCGUAAGAUUACCAGUCUCUUCGUUGAUGACGGCUGUUAAAAAAAACACACAGAAAAAACCCCACCGAGCCAGAGACGACACAAUUUCCGUUCAAGCCUUCCCUCGCCGUUUACUCUCUCCGUGUAUCAAAACCACACCGUCUUAUCCUCUACGACAACGAUCUCAUGCCUUCUCCCCUACCUUAAAAACUUCCAGGUCGGGGAGAACACAGUCACCACCGUUCAUCAAAUGUCACCUCCCCAAUCUCCCGCCGUUGAUUCCCUCCCUCAACAGCGCUCCUCCACCGUUGAUCACCGCGGCUCCUCCAAACGCAAACUAGACGAUGUCGAUGACCACGACGCCGUUUUCUCUGACUUAAUCUCCGUCAGGAUGCGUAAAGACGACACCGAAUCAUCCACCGGCCAUAACCUGCAACAACCUCCCUCCAUCUCCUCCACCAAUCAGCUCCCCACACGUGUCUCCGACGCCUCCGCCUCCGCCUCAUCAUCAACCACCGAUUUUCCCUCCACUCCCUCCCCUCUCCGUCGGUCUCAAUCGAGGCUCCAAUUCUUCAUCAGAAUGAUCUCCGACGGCACUCACAUUGUGAUCACCGCGAAUUUGACUGAUUCCGUCAAAUCACUCCAUGAACGGAUUCGCGUGAUGACCGGAAUUCCGGUGAUCGAGCAACGACUAAUCUACGAAGGUAAGCAAUUGCAAUACGAAAACAAACUCUCCGAUUACUCUAUCGAGAAGGAUUCGAUUCUUCAUUUAGUUGGCCGAAUGCGUAGCACUAGGCAUCCCCGUACUUGUCAAUUGAUCAAUGAUAUGGUUUCCUACAUUUGUCGAAUUUGUAAGUCUAUUUUGCCGUGUGGUUUUAAUCCAUAUGUUUCAAAGCAUAUAAAAGAGUUGAUGAAUGAGUUCUUUAGCUUGACACCGAAGGAUGAUAAUGAGGAUGCUUUAGGACAUUUGAAUGUGUUUUUAUCGAAUAGUGCGCCAGCUGCGUUGGUUACACUCUAUGUUUCGAGUGUUAAAGGGAAUAAGGAGUGCGCGGAGGGUGCGAUUAGGCAUUUUUUGAAUUCAUGUAGGAUUUCGUUGCCAAAGAGUUUGCAUUUGCAGUGUGUUCCGAUUGUGAUGGAGUUUUGUAAUUUGUUGAGGAAGGUUGGGAGUGAUGAUCCAUUGUAUAUUGUGUGUAGGAGUUGUCUUGGUUCGUUGUUGGAGAAUGGUGGGGGUGCGUGUGGGUGGAGGUAUCGAGGAGGGGAGGAGGGGAAGGGAGCUGUUGUUAUGCAGGAGAUUUUUCCGUUUGUUAGUGAGCUGGGGAGUAAGUUGUCUAAAGAUUUGAUGGGGAGUGUGGGGCCAUCAGUAGCUGAUGUGAAGGAUUUUUCAGCGUUUUUGGUACCGUUGCAUAGUAUGAUUUCAGAGCAAGGGGCAUGUAGGGGUCCGGUUUCGAUGCCGUUGAACAAGAGGGCAUUUAAUUAUCCAUUGUAUGCGAAGGAGAUUGAGCAUCUUCAUGUGAUAUUUUUUGAUUUGCUGAAUAUUAUGGAGAAAUGUCUUGGGAAAAUGCAGGAUUCUUCACAUUUGAAAAUGAAUGGAGAGGGUGAGUUGAAUCAUACAGGUUGGUCUCAAUAUUUGGCUAUUUUGAAGGAGUUGAAUAACAUUGCUAAACUCUAUAAGGGUGCUGAGGAAAAGUUUUGGACAGUUUUGAGACUUAGAAAGGCUUCCUUGUGUGUGCUGAUUGUUAGAUAUGCAAAAAGAACUGAAGAUCAUCAGUGGCUUCUUUGGAACAAGGAUGUGACUGAUUUUGAGUCUAGGAGGCAUUUGGCUAUGAUGAUGUUCCCUGAGGUGAAAGAAGAUUACGAGGAGCUUCACGAGAUGCUCAUUGAUCGGUCACAAUUGUUGGCAGAGUCAUUUGAGUACAUAGUGCAUGCCGACUCAGAUGCACUGCAUGAUGGUCUAUUUCUGGAAUUUAAAAACGAGGAAGCUACUGGUCCUGGUGUAUUGCGGGAGUGGUUUUUCUUGGUUACACAAGCUCUAUUUGAUCCUCAAAUUGCUCUUUUUGUGGCAUGCCCAAGUGAUCGCAGAAGGUUCUAUCCUAAUCCUGGUAAGCUUCUGCUGCCUGAAUGCAAUUGGGUUUUCUCUUUUCUUGAUUGGAUACAGGGCUACCAAUCCUGGUAACAAAACGAGAAAACCCUAAUCAUGAAUGCCUUACAUGAACAAUGCUACAGGGUUCUCUCUUUUCUCAAUUGAAUAUAGUUUUUGAUGAUACGAAUGGUUAAACAAUAUAUUGGAUUGCCUUGUGUCUAGUGUGUCACUCUAGCAUAGAGUUUGGAACAUUGUUGCAUAUAUUCUCACUGGAUAAUAAAAAUAUACUCAGAUGACCAAAAUGUGCAGUUCCUGCAAUCUAUAGGAACUUACAUAUAAUGUGUAAUGAUGCUGUAUCCAUCACCUACAACCAUUCAAGAAGCACUUGUACUUCAUUUAGUUUAUGUUGUUAGUGGGUGAGAUGAGCUCAUCUGGAAUUGUUUCACCCAAACUUCAUGUAAUUAACCGUUCAUGUUUUUCUGAGAGUAGGUUUUUUUUUUGAACAACAGUUGAAUUAGGUUCGUGAAUGUUUUAUUCUGUAAGUUGGAUUUUCUCUCUUCUCAACUGAAUUUUUAUUCCCAGGUGAUACUGACUAUGUAAACAAUGCGUUUUCAUUGCCGUGUGUCUAAUGUUUCAGAUUGUGGGCUGAGUAUUUGUUUUAAUUUACACUGGAAAGUAAACAUUCACUAAAUGGUGGUGGAGAGCUCCAACAGUUUAUAUGAGUUGACACUAAUAUGUGUCGAUGCUGUAUCAAUCACUUACAACCAUUGGACUAUUAUUCUUCAUUGUUUUGAUAUAUGUUAGUGGGAGGACAUCUGGAAGUGUUACACCUAAAUCUGGAGAAUGUGACAUUUAAUAUUCAAUUUUAGGCAUGGUCAGGAUUGAAUUAACAUUUUUUAGAAGUUCGACAGUUUUCCUACACUUGAUGUAAUACUGGGUGGCUUAACGUGGUGGAACCUUCUCAGUGACUUAAUCAAAGAUAUUUCACUAAUAUUGCUUGGAUUUUAACUGUACGAGAGAUCAUUCACUGCAUUCUCUUAGUGUUCUUUCUCUAACAUUUAUAUGUAGAAAAGUUGUUUACCAUGUGAGUUCCUGAUGGACGUGGGAUAAGGGCAUUACAUCCUGUACAAUAGGCUCACUAGCAUAGUUGUGUGUCACAAAUAUUUUAUUGUGGAAUACCUGAGUCCCUAGGGUUAUUAUACAGGAAUAUUUCCCAUGUUUCUCCAACUCUGUUGCCUGAAUUCCGUGUUUCACUAAUAUGUAAUUGGUUCCUUUGGGGAUUAACAUGUCUAAUUCUUCCACUGCAUUAAAAUUGCAAUUGGUUAGUUCUGAAAUACCUCUUCGAAGAAUCAUAAUUGAGGUUUGUUAUUGUCUUCUGUUUCUGGACUUGAAUUAAGUUGCAUCAUCUUGCUUGGAUUCAAUUGUUGGCAUGGAUAACCACUAACAAACAAAAGUAUAUAUAUGGACUUCAUUGUAUUCAUUUUAUGUGCAGCAUCCAAGGUGGAUCCCAUGCACCUUGAGUAUUUCACAUUCUCUGGUCGAGUGAUGGCUUUAGCUUUGAUGCAUAAAGUGCAAGUCGGCAUUGUAUUUGAUCGGGCAUUUUUCUUGCAAUUGGCUGGGAUGCAUAUUACUUUGGAAGACAUACGGGAUGCAGAUCCAUGCUUGUAUAGCAGUUGCAAACAGAUUCUGCAAAUGGAUCCUGAGUUCAUUGAUUCAGAUGCUUUGAGUCUGACAUUCGUUCAAGAAGUUGAGGAACUAGGAUCCAGGAAAGUUGUGGAACUUUGCUCUGGUGGGAAGAGUAUCGUUGUAAAUAGCAAGAAUCGGGAGAAAUAUGUCGAUCUUCUCAUUCAGCAUCGCUUUGUAACAUCUAUCUCUGAACCAGUAUCUAGAUUUGCACGUGGUUUUGCUGAUAUUCUUUCAAACUCUUGGCAACCGAAGCUCUUCUUCCAGAGUUUAGAGCUUGAGGAUCUUGAUUGGAUGCUAUAUGGAAUUGAAAAUGCUAUCUGUGUGGAAGAUUGGAAGGCACACACUGAGUACAAUGGCUACAAGGAAACUGAUCCUCAGAUAUCCUGGUUCUGGAAGGUAUGUUCUUGCAUUCUUAUGUUCCUGUCAUAUCUCAACUAUAAAGUUGCUUUCUUUUACCAUGUACUUUGCUCUUUCUUCCCAUAUAUCUGGAUUUCAUGACAUGAGUUAUAAUCUUUAUGUGCUGGAUAAUAUAUUUCCUUGGAAAAAUACCUAUCUGCAGAGUGCACACUGUUGCUCUUUUCCUUGUAUAUUUCUUGGAAGUAUCUUUGGUUCAUUAUUUUCUACCAUGGCAGAACAAUCCCUAUCUGCGUAUCCUUACCAGGUGUACUGCUGUUUUGCUAAUUAAGUAAAGCCUAAAUACUAUGUGAAUGCAAUUCUUUCUAUUGUAUGAGGCUGUCGAAAAUAGGACAUGCAAGGUUGCAUGGCAGUUCACCAUUUUACAGCUGCAUGUCAGUUUAUCUCUUUGGUCAAUUUCUUUGAGUUGAAAGAUGUAUGACUAAGUUCUAGACAUACAAAAAAUACCAAAGCAAUUCAAAGUGCUGUCCAUGUUUGUCUUGUCAAAUUUACAACUCAUUUUGAAUCUCAAAUGCUCAAGGUUGUGUCAUGAAUUCCUCAGCAUACUGAUGAUGUCGUGGUUGAAUAAGGAAGAACAUAAGGAACUUGUUUUGGGUUCUUGAAGAUAACAUUUAAGAGUUUUUAAGUUAUGUCAUUAUACGAAGUUUUGUGUUGAAGUUUGAACACAUGGUAUUAAUGCAGACAUUUACAUGAAAACAAAUGCCAAAGUGUUGAACAUUCAUGUUAUUUUGAUUGCGCACUUAUGCAUGAAAGGGCAGAAGGUUGCUGCUGUGGAAUUAGAGCAUAGGGGGUGUGGUUAGGAUGUCAUACUUACCUUAACAAGCGUGCCAGGUUUGGGAGGGGGUACGGACAGAGUUGAACGAGUGUAGAUUUUGUUUCAAUAUUUUUUUUUUACUCUUUCUGUGCAUGUCUGUGUGGUUGGUUGGGGAAGAAAUGUUUUAGAUACGGAUACAAAUUGAAAACUGAAACAAAAUGAGGGAUCCAUGGAAAAUAAAUAAAUAUUUUAUCUUGGAAAUCAACCUUGAAUUAUGUUUUUUUAAUUUGCAAUUACAUUUUGUGGUUGGGAAUGGGUGGGCCCUGGGAGGGGGGAUUCAUUUGUCAAAAAACACUACUUUUGAGCAAGCUUAUUAUAUCCAUGAUUGAAUUCUCUGUAAGUUUUUGGGUUUUUCUUUUGUGCUGGAUGGUCUCUUUAUCCCAUCAACAUUGUGGAGUUGAUCUUAUUUAUUUGUUAGGCGAUAAAAUUGAGUGUGUGGUUUCCUUUCAGUUUUGUUGCGCCACCAAUGAUAGAAUGCCUGGUUCUUGGUAUGAUCCAUUAGGUUUUGUUGUACUCUUAAAUAAUAUUCCAGGUACUUGAAAGAAACUAGUCAAAACCCAUGCAGUCCAUGGUGAGAGUUGGAAUGAGGGUAGAUUUUGUUCUUUUACUUUGUUUGCAGAGUGAGCUGUGCAAGGCAGAAAUAAGAUACAUAUUGUUUUGGAUAUCAGCCUUAGCAUAUCUUUGAUAACAAUGCGUGGUUGGAGUGAUGCUCAUUGUCAAGGCACUGCUUUUGAGCAAGUUUGCCAUGUCCAUUUAGGUCUAUAAUAGAUGCUCUUCUCUCUUUAUACCUGUGUUUCUUGUAAGUCCUUUAUCCCAUUACUAGUGUUUUGGAAAUCAGCCUUAUAAGCGUAUCUUUGAUAACAAUGCGUGGUUGGAGUGAUGCUCAUUGUCAAGGCACUGCUUUUGAGCAAGUUUGCCAUGUCCAUUUAGGUCUAUAAUAGGUGCUCUUCUCUCUUUAUACCUGUGUUUCUUGUAAGUCCUUUAUCCCAUUACUAGUGUUUUGGAAAUCAGCCUUAUAAGCGUAUCUUUGAUAACAAUGCGUGGUUGGAGUGAUGCUCAUUGUCAAGGCACUGCUUUUGAGCAAGUUUGUCAUGUCCAUUUAGGUCUUUAAUAGGUGCUCUUCUCUAUUUAUACCUGUGUUUCUUGUAAGUCCUUUAUCCCAUUACUAGUGUUUUGGAAAUCAGCCUUAUAAGCGUAUCUUUGAUAACAAUGCGUGGUUGGAGUGAUGCUCAUUGUCAAGGCACUGCUUUUGAGCAAGUUUGUCAUGUCCAUUUAGGUCUUUAAUAGGUGCUCUUCUCUAUUUAUACCUGUGUUUCUUGUAAGUCCUUUAUCCCAUUACUAGUGUGGAGUUGACCUUAUUAAUUUGUUACUCAUCGAAAACUGAGGAUGUGGGUUUCCCUUGAACUUUGAUUUAUCACCAAUAGUAGGAUGGCUGUCUCUUGGUUGGUGCAUUAUUUUUUUAUUCACAUACUCAACGAAUGAUACCCAAGGGACUUGGAAGAAACCAGUAAAUACACAUGCACUCAAUGGAAGGUAUUAAAGCCUUUUGCCCCCUAGAGAGCUAGAUUAGCAUGCAAUAUACUGAGUUUUAUUCCUGAAGUCUUCGCGGUAUUAGUUAUAUCUUUGAUCUUAAAAAUAUUCAUGCGAAUGUGCUUAUAUUUGCACUCCUGGACCUUGAGUUUUUACCAGUCAGCUGCAGUUGAGAUAGUCCCACCUCUGCUACUUAAUAGUAAAGUUCUGUCAGAGGAAAAGCAUUGCUUGUUAUUUUAUUUAUCUUGUGCUUAAAUAUUUUGCAGAUCAUUGGGGAAAUGUCACCAGAUCAGAGAAAGGUUUUGCUCUUCUUUUGGACCUCAGUGAAGUAUCUACCUGUUGAGGGUUUCCGCGGUCUGGCCUCGCGACUUUACAUUUACAAGUCCACAGAGCCUCACAAUCACCUCCCUUCAUCUCAUACAUGCUUUUACCGAUUGUGUUUCCCACCUUAUCCCUCCAUGGCUAUUAUGCAAGAUCGCCUCCGUCUCAUCACUCAAGAACAUGUGGGAUGCAGUUUCGGCACCUGGUGAUGCAUUGGUUACAUCCACUUUAAUGUUAAAGGGGUUUUUUUAACUGCACAUAGAUUUCAAGUCAGUUUGUACAGAUAGGUUUAUGUUGUCAGUUUUAUUAGACUAUGUAAGGUCCCGUAGUUAAUUUAUGUUUCCUCCAGUAAAGUUGAGAUGUCAUUGUUCUUUUUGUCCAACUGUUAGUAUAGGUAUAGCAUAAAUAAUGCUGGGGGCUAGAAGGAAGAAAAUCCCUAUCCUCCCAAUGGACUUCCUUCAUCAGUAACAGUAGCUGUUUUUUCAUGUCAUGUAAGUACACAGAUUAUGCAAUGACAUCCAAGUUCAUAGAAAGGUGAUUAUUCUCUCUUCUCUCUCUUGCAAGUCCAAAAAUGGUGGAAGAUUCGAAGGUUUCUCUUUGAGAAAAAUCUGUAAGUUAUUCUUCCGUUCAGCAUCUAUAUUUGUGCUUUGUAUCUGUCGAACUACUCUUCCUGUGCUUCCGAUUUUCUCCCCUCGUGUUUUCUUUCCCAAAUCAGCUGAGAUGGAACAGUGUUAGCUUUCGUCUAAUUUGAGCUCUAUCAACUUAGGGUUUUAUUUUGCUAAUGAUCCUUUGUGAUUCACAGAUUAUUUGGUCAUCUGAAAGGCUAUCUUCAUCAUGUGAAGGCACAUGAUGGAACAACCUUUUCCCAUGAAAGCACCUGCAAAUAUAGGUCCACUGCACAUUCCCACUUUUAGAUCCAAUCAAGCAUCUAGGUUUCUCUUUAUCACAAUCUGACAUUGUCUUUUGCCUUUUGUCAUGCCUGAUCCUGUAUGAAUCUUGUUAUGGAUUUGCGAGUCGCGCGGAGUUUGUCUUUGUUAUGUCAUCUCCAAUUAUUGAAUUGCAUGAUGAAGCUUAUCCUACAGGAGUUAAAAUUGACUGGUAUAUUUCUCAUCGUUGUGGCACCAAGUUGUUGUCGCCAUUCAUAGAAGGGACCUGAGCCACCUGACAAUACACAUCUUUCCAUUGGAAAUAAGCCAGUGUAAACUUGUCUUGGCCUUCACAGGUUCAAGUUCACAUGCCAUGAUGUCAUACAAGUGCAAUCAAGAUUGCCUUUGCUAAUUUGUCAUGUCGAAAAAAGUAGAUUAAAAGGAUGGGAAGGAUUAAUUGGGACCUUGUUAUUUCCUAAAAAACGACUUUGAAAAGCAACAGAAGCUGCUUAUUUCAUCAAAAUUAUACCAUUUGAUGCAAUGAUGUUGCAUGGAAUGUAGCGAUGGGUGUCUGUCUACAUGUGAAUAUAGUUUUUAUUUAGAUGUUGUGAGAAUGGUAUAAUUUUAUUUUUUAAUCGACUUGAUUAUAGAUUAUAAAUUCAUAACCCUAGCUUAUUUUUAUUUUUUAAGUGUUUAGAUAUAUUAAAUAUAAACUUAUAAUCUAUUGGAUUAUAGAUUAUAAAUUCAUAACCCUAGCCUAUUCUCAUUUUUUGGUGUUUAGAUAUAUACAACAUGACUCUAACCUUUUUUAAAGAAGAUAGGUUCUAUGCCUUGACAAGGCAUUGCUUGGUGAUGUUCAAUAAAAAUUUUCAAAGUGUGUUCGAAUCAAAGCAAAAUUAUAUUAAUGUUUUUUUAGGUGUUUUUUAUUUAUUUUAAUAAUAUAUAACUACUAGAAAAAUACUUUAAAAAACAACAAUUUAUCGAUUUUCAAUACAAAGGUACUUUAGAAAAGCUUUUCCAACUGAAUUACCAAAGACACACAGCAAAUCUUGUCACUUCCACAGCUAGGAAGAACAUCCCAAUUGAUUUGGCAACAUGUUCUACUCAACUCUCCAUGUUUCCUCCAUGAGAAGGAUUGGGUCCCAACUGGCCUAGAAAUCUACUGCUGCAAACAGAUACUGAGGGAUGAUUCACACCUACAUUCAAGAUCUAUGCAUUGGACUUUAUACUAAAACCUUGGGAAGCCAUAUUUUUCGAUAAACAGAAGCAAAGAAAAAUAGCAAUAGCAAGUGCUCAUCAACUAAACAUAAAUUAUAAUUUUUAUUAUCAAGCCUAGAGAUCACAUCAUCACACCAUUUCAAAACCAAUAGAACCUAUUGGAACCCACAUAGAUCCAAACCCCAUGCCAUCAUCAUGAGUCAUGGCUCAUGACCCUUACACUUCAAUAGCGACCAUCCUUGUUGUGUAUUCUGACCUGGGCUGGCAACCUGAUGCGGAUCCAAGUGCUUAAUAUUGACUCUGUAGCUUCCACAUCCCAUAAUCCCACCCAAAACCCUUUUCUUUAGCCAUAAUCAUAAAUCAAUAAAGAGAGAAAUGAAACAAAACAGAAACCUCAUGAGGACUUUGACAAUGCAACCUAACAGAAACAAAGACCCCCACCAGUACUAUCAUUCACUUCAUAGAAUCUAUUCACUCAGUGAUCUCCACUGGAACUUCUGUGCUGGUUGUCUCUGCAGCUGGUGCUUCAGCUGGCUUCUCUUCUUCUGCUGGUUUCUCUUCCUCAACAGGAGCUGGUGCUGCCUCCUUCUUGGUCUCUUCUUUGGGCUCCUCAGUAACAGUUUCUGCAGGAGUCUCCUCAGGAGUUUCUUCUACUGCUGGAGCUGCAACCUCUUCAGGCUCAGCUUUUGCUGGUUCUUCAACAACCUCCUUGGUUUCAACCUCAACUGCAGGUUCAGCUUCAGGUUCUGCGGCCGGGGCAACAGCGGGUGCUGCUUCUGUUAGUUCUUCGGCUACUGGCUCAGAGGCGGGUGGUGCAGUUUCAGUGGUUGUCUCCUCGGUCUUGGUCACCUCAGGUACCUCAGCCUCUGGAAUUGCUGGAGCAGCUGCAACCUGCAACAAUAAGCAUACUGAUAUUUAUCUCAAAAUGUAUAAUCCAAUGGAAGAAAGCUAGAAGAAGGGUUCUUUAAGAUUCAUUUUUUCUUAAUCAUCUGCUGAUCAUCCAUUCUAUCUACAGAAGUAGUUUCCUUUAACAACAAUCAACAAAAGCUUAGAAUAUGUAGAAUUCUUGCUAGAACAUAAAGAAACCUGUAGGUUGAUCAAGAAAAGAAGUUUCAAUAAACUGUAAGAUUGAAUCCUCUCCAUCGCAAUCCUCAUAUAAACAGAAGGAUCGGAUGAAAUCUAGCAUAGACAAUAUUGGAGUGGUCUAUCACUUGAGCUAGAGGUAGAAAUUUGAUCAUCAUCAAUAUAACAAGAUCAGGUUAUGAAACUUAUUUGAUCAUAAAAGUAGUAAACAACAAAUUAUAACUUGAUCAAUAAGAUAAUAUUAUACAAAAGGGCUAAUCAAUUAAUACAAGUUGAUGAAUAUCAGAUAUUAUUGUAAAACUAAAAUGAGACUGAGUGAUAUAUCACUUGAGCAAGAUCAAGAUGGGUUGUAAUAGCAUUCCACUAAGAAAUAUUUUAGAAGACAUUUUUACCUCAACAGUAGCCAUUUGGUUAAAAGCUAACAGGAUUGAAGAAAGAUUGGAGAAAAGGAGGAAGGAGGGUUGGUGUAGGCACAGGAGAAGGAUGCUUGUGAGCUAGUGAAGUGAAGAGAUGAUCAAUGAGAGAGCUAUUUAUAGAGGAGUGAUGAAAUGCAUAGAUUAAUGAGAGCAUGAGAUCAUAGGGAGCAUGCUCACUUGAAGAAUCUUUCAACAUAGACACCUCAUAUUGCUGUCAAGACACAGUGGCAUGUCUUGCUAGUUGUAAAUAUUUUAUUUCUUUUUUAAUUUUGAGAUAAGGGUUUUUUUUUAUAUGAUUUUAAUAGCUAGGAUUGACAAAUACUUGAUCCAACAAUGAAUUGGCAAUGCCAUAUGGUGGAGGCCAUUUCUCGUAUCAGCAUCAUAUCUUUCUUUUGAGUGGGUUCCUAUGUGUUUUUUUUUUCCCCAGUAGGGCAUAAUGUAGGUUAAUUACUGCUUAAAUCCCAUAUGAUGCAUUCAUGUUUCUGUGUAGGAUUUCUAUUUGAUCUUCUGUUAAUUUGUAAUAUUCUAAUUAACCUUGCAUUUUUUUUUAAUCUUUUGAUAUUUUAGUGGAAUAUCCACGGCUAGAUCAUGUUGAUAUCUAAAUCGAUAAGAAUUCAUGUGUUUUUCUUUUUAAUUUAUAUUGUUUGGAUUCAUAUUUAUAUUCUAUCCAUUAUUCAUGUAUAAAUAUUCAAUAUCAAACACAAAUAUUAUAGGAUAAAAUAAAAGUUUUUUAUAUAAGAUUUAUUUGUUUCUCAUCUUAAAAAAUUAGAAAUCAAAUCCCACUUUUUCUAUAUAUAUAAUGCAAAGAAGGUGCAAGAUUCUACCAAAAAAUAUUAAAAAAGAAAAAAAUAAUAAUCAAAUAAACUCUGUAAUUAUUGAAAUAAUAAUAAAAAAUGGUGCAUACACUAUUGCAAACCCUAAAAAGGACAGAAAUGGUGUCUCAUCCAAGAAUCAAGGCUCCUUAGUGCUAAUCUUCAUGAUAAUCAAAACCAGUGGCGUACAAGUAAUGACAAAUUUAUUUCAUAUUUUGACAUAAUCACAUGCCAAGCAAUAUAUUUGUAUGUACUAAUGGAGUACAAAAAUAGUUUUGCCAUUUGAGAACAUCAAGAUCUUCAGCCUCCACGUUAUAGCUGAAUGCAGAUCUUGUCCAUAAUUGUUUUGUUUAAUUAUUCCCAAUUAUUCUAAUUAAGUACUAAACUUAAAGAGACGAGUUUUAAUUAUUUUUUUUGUUUGAUUAAUUUUUUAUUUUUUUUUGCAUAUAUAGAUUGGAAUGAGGAUUUGGGAAGCUAGGAUAUUGAUGCAUGCAUAAUGUUUUUCAGUCGAACCCUAAUUAUGCUUACCUUUUAUUUUAUCAUUUCACCAUUUUGGAUUCAAAUUUAUAUGAAGGUUAUAAGGGAAAAAAACUAUCAUAAAUUUAAAUAUAUUAAUUCGGAUAUAUAUGAAUGAUGUGUUUAAAAAUUGAUAGAAAAAUAACUUAAUCUUGACAUAUUAAAACUAACUUGAAAUACUUUUAUAAUGAAAACAAACAAAUAUAUAUAUAUAUAUGAUUCUUUUUAAUCACUUUUAGUAUAGAUAUCAGUUAUUAUAUAGAAAUUAAUGAGAUUUUUUUGUUCAAGAGUAAGGAAUAUCUUCAAACAAGUUUUUGUAUCAACCAUGAUAUCUUCGCUUCUAAACUAAAAGAAUUAAAAUAAUAUUUUUUAAUUUAAAAAUAUAAAUGUAACCACAGUCAUACCUGUAUUUCCAAAUACAUAUUAAAUAUUAUUCUCAAAUUUUAAAAACUUAUAUUUUAUAUCAAUUUAAUUCUAAUAACAAGUUAUAUUAAAAAACACGGGCACAAUUAUAUAUCCUUGUUUCCGAACUAAAAACAUUGAAAUGAUAUUUUUUAUUCAAAAAUAAAAAUGCAACAGCAAUCAUGCUUUUGUUACCAAAUAGAUUCUAAGUAUUAUUCUUAUACGAUUUAAAAAAACAUACCUCAUAUGUUAAUGUGAUUAGUUGAAAAAAGUUAAGGUGCUCUUUUCUCCAAAGUAAUAUUCAACAAAUAUUAAUUAUGAGGAGUGUAGCUUAACUGGUAAAAUUUUGAGUUUACUCUCCAGAGAUUACCAAUUUGAGUGUUACAAACUUCAGGGCUACUGAAGAUUUACAUGGUCGUUAAUUUUAGGAUCUCGAGAAAUUAAUUAAGAUACGCGUAAUCUAACCCAAAUACUCAAAAUUAACAAUAUUUAUAUAUAUAUAUUCAACAAAUAUUUGCGGCAGCUUUGGUAUCUACACAUAUAAUGAUAGUAUUAGGGCAAAGAAAGGCUAAUUGAAGGCACUUUUAGGGCAUGAAAACACUAAUUAAGGGCCUGCCUUUUACUGUUGUGGUCAAAUAAUUUGCCAUUUUUAAGGUUUUUCACUUUUUCACUUUCCACAAACCACAAACAUUUUCAUAUUUUAGUAUCGACGUGGAGCCCAACAAAAGCCAGCAAUGGUGUCUAGGCCGGUGCCUGAAGUGGGGCCUUCAAUCACCGGCUAUGAUCAUUACCAUCCAAAUGACUCCUGUUGGAUGGCCCCCACAAUAAAAAUUGAAACAAUUUUGGUGCCAUGGUUUUUUUCUUUUCAUGGUAAUGUUCUCAAGUUGUUUUUAUAUAUUAAUUUCAUUUUACUUUACGUUUUUAAUUAGAUUAAAACAAGUUUUUCUUAUUGAUAUUAAGAUUUCGUAUAGCUACUGUUUUUUUAAAAGAUUCAUAAUAAAAAAAAUUAUUAUUGAACGCAAAAAACAUGUCAAGAUUAUAAAUAAAUAAAUAUAACCUUAUUAUCUCUUGAUGGUUUCAAAGAAAAAAAAAAGAGAUUUGAAUUAUAGUACCAGAAAGAAGUACCAUGGACCAUGAUUUUGCUUCUUUUUUUUUUCCUUCUUUAGAAAGAAGUACCAUGGACCAUGAUUUUGCUUCUUUUUUUUUUCCUUCUUUAUAUAUAUAACCCUUUUAUAUAUAUAUAUAUAUAUAUAGCCUUGGAAACCGACCUUCCUAAAGAUGGAGCUUUUGGUGGGCCAACGUCUACAUGCUUUCCAGGUAGGACUCUCGUGAUGUUGGGACCCACUUUCAGCCGUCUGAUUUGCCACGCUUGAUCACAGUCAUUGAUCUGAUCUUGUCUUCGUACAAUGCCAUCUCAUUUCUCCAAUACCAAAAUAAAAAAAAAAAACCUUCCACUCCAUGUCUUUAAAAUAUGAUAUUUUUUUAAUUAAUCAGGUAUUAGAUUUAAUCUGUAAUAAUCACGAGUUGGAGUUCUUUCAGGACCACUGGAAACUUACAUAAUCGUUAACUUCAGGACCCGUGAAAUUAGUCGAAGUGCACAUAAGCUAGUCCGGACACCCACGUUAAUAAAAAAAAUAGUAUUUUUUAGGUUAAAAAUCUUGUAUUUUAAUAUCAUCUACUAUAUUUAUGAAAAAAUUAUAUUAAAAAAUUCAUUAUGGAUACAUAAUUAUAUAAUCUAUCUAAAAAGUAAUUAAAAAUGUAUUUUCUUUUCAAUGUUAAAAAUAUUAUAGGUCCAACUUGUAAUCUAUUUUUUUUUUUCCAGAAAAAGCUAGACAUCCAAAAUUCAAAACAACAGGAUGAAAAGCUAAUUGAAAAGCUAAUUUAUCGGAAAAGAAAAAAGAACAAAUUAAAUGUGCAUCGCAUCUCAAUUUAAAUUCAUGUACAUGUUGAUCAAGAGUGGUAAUUAAAAUACCAUAAAUGUGUUCAUAACAAUAAAUAUAUAUAUAUAUAUAUAUAUAUAUAUAUAUAUAUAUAUAUAUAUAUAUAUAUAUAAAUGCGAGAAAUGAUCGACCUAUUUGCACCUUGAAAGGAACAUGAUACCAUCACACCACAACAAGAGGUCCUCUGUCAUUAUGAGACUUUGCAUGACAAUCCAUUUUGCACCCUAUAGAAGAACUUGCAUUAAACCACAAUAUUAAUUACUCAAAUUAUUGUUGAACAACAAUAUUCCUCUCAUUAAUUUACCUUCAUUGCUUGAUAGGAGAAGAAAGCAAUCAAAAUAUAAGAAAGAAUGUUUGUGGAUUCAGCUAUGAAUUGGUUUGUUUCUAACAUUAUCGUUCAUAUUUAAAUUUAAAGAAAAAGAAAAAAAAGAAAAAAAUAAUAACUUUUGGCAUACUAAGAAUGUAUUUUUAAUCCAAAAACAACUAAAAAUUAAAUUAGUGUUUUUUUUUCAGAAAAAAAAAUUAAAUAGCACUUUAAAAAACAGGUUUAUCUACGCAAACAAACACUUGGUGUAUAGAACUAAUUUAAAAAUAUAUUGGCCCAUAAAGAAUUUCUUCUAAAAAGAGAACUACAGAUAGGAAUGGUGCGUGUGUCAUCUUCUCGUUGCCUAUACAUGGACACACUGUAAAGUGAGAAAGAAGAGAUGGGAGGUUUAAGAGGGAUCCUAAAUACGUGACCCCAUGAGAUUAUGAGCCGUUGAGCAGGUAGGAACAUGGCACAUUGGAUGGCUUGACAUGGGACAGCAUGGGCUAACCCUAAUGGCUUCUUGUUAUUGAUUACAUCAACACCCCAAUGGCCAUGAUUUAUAGACAGAGGAAGCUGUGGACUGUGUAGUGAAUCAUUUAGGUUCUUGACAGAUGAACCAUUUCUAUCAAGCUUUCUGUGGGGGCCAUAAAUCAACAUUCCUUCGACUAUGCUUCUCACCCUUUAAAAGGUCGUCGUCUGCAUGUGUGCACCAUCUAGGCUAGGCUAGGCUAGGCUAGCAUUUGAUGCGUUUCUGUAGAGAUCGGGAGUUUCACUGGUAUAAUAUAUACCUCCGUGUUUGCACAUCAAAAUAAUUUUAUAUUUUUUUUAGAUAAACAGUGUUUCAGCUGUAAUACCUAAACGCCUGUUGGAUUGUUUAUACUUUAAUGAUCAUGUAUAUACAGUAUAAUCGAAGGUGUAGAUAGCUUAUAGAUUUUAGAUAAAAUCCACAGAAGAUGAUGUAAACAUGAAAUAAUACUUCUUGAAAGAUUAGCUAUAUAUCGGAUUUGAUCUAACAUCAUUUGUAGUAUCGCAUGGCUAUGUAUUUUCAGCUCUUAAGCCUCUCAACUAGGGAUCAGGAAUCAAGAACCUAAAUAGUAUAUAAGCUUCGAAUAUGAUCACCUCUCUCCUAAAAAAAAAAAAAACAUUUUCAAAACAAAACCCACUAUAAAUCUAUGAGUUAAAACAAUACAUUUUAGAAGACCAAUUAUGUAACGAAUUUAAGCCAAGAUCAUCGUAUUGAUUAUGUCUUGUAUUUUGGCUGCUAAGAUUCCAACAAGGUUGGUGUAAAAGGAGCUUUCAAUGCCGCCAUAUCAGGAAACUUUACAGCAGGAGGUAACAUUUUACUGUCAUCUAGAUUCAGCAUGUCAAUGUUUUUAAGCAUGUAUGUAAUAAGCAUAACACAAGCCCAUAACGUGUCCAAGCAUGCAAGAGCCAAGAAGGAGCAUCUCAGGACGUACAGGUUUGAAGUUUCAAACCUUGCCAGGUUCAGAGACACACAGUUCUUCCUUCUCUAAAAUUCAACUGAAAUUUGUAAGCAAAUCUUGUAAAUGAAUCUCAUUGAUAUGAAAGGGAGAGCACAGAGUACAGUGCAGAAAUAGAUAAUUGCUCCUCUAGAUAUGAAAUUUCAGUAUUUGGAACUUGAGAGGGAAAUCCACUCUGAGGGUGGCCCAGGGACAGCUUUAUGCUGCUAAAUUUUCUGCUAUAACUUAGCAAUCCACCUGGUCAAUAGAGAAAGUGUUUAACAAAGAAGGGGGGCAGCUCCGACAGGAUACAUCAAUGAAGGUUCGAAGUGACAGAAGUUUCCAACACAGAAUGUCAGCUUAGGCUGAAUCUGUUUAUCUUUUGAAUCUUGUAAAGUUCCCACCAUAUAUGAUGGCUAUCGAGUAAUAAUGCAAUUUACUGUAAACCCUGGAGAAAAAGAAACAAACACCAUAGGAUUGCUCAACCCACUAGAUAAAGGCAUCACUGGUUCGUCCACUCGCAGAAAAAAGAAAGAACAGAUACAAAAAUCAAGCAUUAUCUAAAACCUAGCAUCAUAACACACUACCUGGUAAUUGAUUUCAUUGUCAAGUCAUUAAUAUGUUUCAAAUGUUCUUGGACAGCAAGCUGAAAGAUAUGCGUUUACAGGGAAAGUAUGAUAUUACCACCAGCAGUGUGGAAAAUUUCUCCAAUGGUUGUAAUAAAAUUCGAAUUCAAUCUAAAUGCUACAAUGAUGGAUUCGCUGGUUCUUAUAAUUGUUAGCCAACGCACUGACAGCGAACAAGCAAAACUCCAGUAAGAAUCCAUGAAAGAACAAGGAAGCCUUGUUGAGCAUAAACCCAUUUGGCAGCUGGCGCUUGUUGCCGAAGUUCAGCUCACAAGUUUUUUCAACACUGCUUCAGCACGCUGCUCAAAUUUUGGUAGGGCCCAUUCAUGCUGAAUUAUGUCAAGGCCAUCUUUCUCAGCACUCAAGUUCUGAGGAGAAUACAGAUAGAUAAGAUUAGUAGUCAACAGUUUUUGCUUAACAUUAUACGUACAGAUAUAUACUCACCGAGUUAAAAUAUGAAAGAGAAGUUGUAUGGUACAAAAUUCUUUCUUGGUACAUCUCAUACUUGAACCAUAUAUUUAACUGAUUACAAGGCAAGGCCAGUGGACAUUCUUGCCCAUAAAAUUUAAUUUACAUUUAUAAAGUACAAAUCAGUCCCAACAAUUCCAAUCCCUUUGGAAAAUGCAAUAUAUUCACACCUUUCCAGAUCUUCCAUUACCUGGCUAAAAUUCAACUGAUGAAAACGGGGAUCAAGUAUGUUGUCGGGGUCCCAUAAGAAAGAUUCUCAACAAUAAAAAAUCAAAACCCUAAUCAUGCACAAGACAUUUCUAAAGUAACAAAGAAAAAGAAGCCAAUGCUGUUCAGAAAAGCAGGUUAGUAAUUAUGGUGACAUGCUUAGAAAAUUUAAAACAAAUUAAAGCAGGCAUCAUGGAAUGCCCCACAUGCCUAAUCAUGUAUACCUAUGACCAUUUCAUAAGAGUAUCAUAACCGCACCACCUGAGGAGCAAAAGAGUGGCCGAGGCAGCAAAAUGGACAGCUGGAAAUGAUGGCAGCAGCCAUAAGAGAGGCUAGUCAAAUAGAGAAUGAACAUUACAGCGUUGACCUGAACCAAGCAAGGCCUAACUUUAUAGUGUUGACCUCAUUAUUAUGAAUCAAAUCCCACAUUAUGCUUUCUUUUUGGUGUGUGCAGUGGGGGAAGGUGAUUGGGGGUUCUGUAAAGAAUCUCCAAUGUUAUUCUUUUGGCGUUCGCUUCAAUUGGUGCAAAAUGAUAGAGGAUCCAGACAUGCAGUUAUCCAGAACUGACCAAACCCAACCCACAAUGGCAAACCUAGGCCCAGUACUGAGAAAAUUAAGCUGGCCAAGGGCAACCUCAAGGCUGUCAUCUCCUUUACUCGGUGUCUUAAAUAUUCCUGCCUGCAAUAUUCCUUUUACAACCCACCAGUCAAAUCAGUCUAAUCACAACCCAUUCUCGGCAUAGUGCUAGCAAAAAGCCUUCUAUUUUCGUAGGAAGUGGCGGCAGAUAAUAAUAAUAAAAAGAGCUCUAUACACAAUACUAAUCACAAGGACAAGUUCAAGUGCAAUUUGAAGCCCUUCAAUUGACAAAGUUAUAGUCUUCUGAAAUAUAACUGGGGAUCCAUAGCUAAUUCUAUCAUAGAGAAAUCUAAGAGCCUAUAUCAAUGAUAUAUCAUAUAAGGACUUCCUUUAAUUCCAAAUCAUCUGCUAUUUGGCUUUUCCCAGAAAAGAAAAAAGGUAUUAAGGAAAAAAAAGGCAAGCUGCAUAACAGACAGUUGAGCUAACUGGACCACUUAAGAACUCAAUAUGAUAAGCAAUGCCUGCAAGUGAUAAUAAUGAAAAGGUGCAGCCAAUGACCUACAGCAUCAUAGUAUUUUUGGACAGCAUUGACAACAGGCAGGACACAAUAAGGAACCCACCCAGAUACCUGUUACCUAAACACCAGCACCAGUGCUUGCAAUAAGUCUAUAUGGAAGCUAUCUACUUCUAAUGAACCCUUGAAACCCCAUCAGCCAUCAACAACUCAUGAAAGGACAUGGUAGUCUUGCUUAGUUGGUACUUGGUAGACAAUGGAUACCUGUUACCUAAACACCAGCACCAGUGCUUGCAACAAGUCUAUAUGGAAGCUGUCUACUUCUAAUGGACCCUUGAAACCCCAUCAGCCAUCAACAACUCAUAAAAGAACUUGGUAGUCUUGCUUAGUUCGUAGUUGGAAGACACUUGUUGCCUCUAGCACCAUUAAAUCACCAGGUCUAAAAUUCUAGUUGUACUUUUGUAGAGGUUUGAAUUGUUCAAUUUAAAUAUGGUCCAACAGCUUCUUAAUUUCUUUUACUCAUUUAAAUAAAAAGACUUAGCUGUUAAGAUGUAUCUAAAUAGCAAUUCCAAUGGGAAAGAUUGAUUCAACUCCCAAUCAUCUCUAUUCAAAUCUGAGUUGCUAGUAAAACCACUGAAUCUAAAGAUUUUGUUCAUGAUAGAAUCAUAAAGAUGUAUCAUGAAUUUGCCUUUUUCACACAAUGAUGGGAUCACAAUUAAAUAAAUGGCAACUACUUAACUACAAAGCCGUAUGGUCCCAGUGACAGUAUCCAUCUAUUCCCAUUAGUACAACCUUGGCAGUAUCAAUCUACAUGGUCUAGAUUUAGGGCAGUAAAAUAGAAACCAGCAGAUCAAUACACAAGGGCAAUUCUUUGGACACAAUAACAGUCAUACUGCAAUCGAUGUAGUAAGGACAUUAUUAUUAAUAACUAAAUCUGUUCAAAAAGAUCAUGUAAGGUAUACUCAUUAUAGAUAGUAGUCAAAAAGGACUGAAAAUAUCUAUAAUGUUUAACCAUUUAAACAGUUUGGUUUUGCAAGCUAAAAUGAUCAGUAGAGGGCCAGUUAAGUUUGUACCUUGGUUGGAUCAAAACCAAAACCACCCAUUUGCAUCAUCCGCUGGGUAUCAUCCAUAGCUGCAUUACAAAUAUCGUAUUUGAGCAUCUAGAGAAUAUAUCCAGAAAUCCUAAAGUAUGCUAAAGUCCAAUUUAUGCUUCUAGACUCUGGCACCAAUGAUUUUGCAAGAGAAGCAGCAAUUCAGAUCUCAGACAAAAUAGAUAUAACUACGAAGAUUUAUGAACUAAUACUAACCAUUUUCUUCACCCAGAAUGAGACUAAAUAAACCCCUUAAUCCAAACAAAUUAAGGAAAUACCUGCAACAGAAAGGGAUUGUGGACAAAUAGAGAUAUUAAACCAAGCACAAGUCCAGAAUUCUCUAGAAAAAGCUUCUCAGCAAUUUUUCAGAAUAUAAUUUCUCAUAUAGACAAAUACCAUGAUCGACUGCUAACAUAGCUAACAUCCACAGUGCUCAAAUCAAUCCCAUUUUGCAGCAUUGAUCUGAAUCUCUGAGUCAGUGGAAAUGGUAUCUUGGCUGCAUGGAAUAAGAGAUCAUAACAAAGUUGUAAAGAUCAAAUCCAGAAGGAAUUUAAGAUCGACAAAGGUCAUAUACUCAUAAAUUACUUAUAAAAUAUAGAGAUAAACCAUAUUUUGGCAUGAAGGACAUGAAACGUAGUUUAAGAAUCAAAAAGCUAAAAAAAAAAAACAAAAAAAAAAGACUGACCUGCAACAAAUCCAGAGAAGAAAAAGUUGACCCAUGCAAAGGUAAGAGUCUGGAAGAAGAAAAAAUCACAACUCAAUAUGCUAAAUUAUCUUGUUUGAAAAGACACAUUAGAGAAGGCCAAAAAGCUCUUGAACUGUUAAUACCUGGGGUAUAAUCAUAGAAAGGUUUUUCUUCAUCAUAUCCAUGGCCAUAUUUGGGUCAGAGAACAUUUGUGCUUGUGGAUUCUGACCCUGGCCCUUGGGAACAUGCAACAAUCCAUUUUCCUAAUCAAGAGUAAUUAACUUUUACGUUAGCAUCUUACCUACUGGAAAUGGAAAAUUUCAAGCUAGCAUCAGAAUUAUGACCCUAAAUGUAGCUCUCACAUACCAAAUCUGAGGUGCACAAGCAAAGCAAUGCAACAUAUCAUAUAUCUAAACCCCUCCAAUACAUUUAAAAAAAAUACAAUACGAAUCAUGUCAGACCUGCUUGGAAAUUGAAAGAAAAUGUACUUUAAAAAAAACAACCAAAUCUCAAAUCUCUUUCACAAAAUUAACCACAAAACAUAACCAAUUUAGAUACUUCUACAAACAAUUAACAAAUCCAACAUUCAAUCACCCUAAACCAAACAAACCAAAAACAAUAAAAAUAAAUCAAAACCUCAUUGCUAAAAUAAGCCCUUCGAGCUCGAAACGACUUAGCAGGUAUAAAGUUAGCUCCAGCUCGCAAAUUCCUUGCUCUCACAACAACUUGCCUGCAAUAAAAUCACAACAACAAACAAACUUUAAUACAAAUAAAACAAAUUCUGACAUACGUUUUCAAUAACGUAAAAAAAAUAAAUCACUAAAACUACCAGCAAAAACAUGAAAAAUCACAAAAGAACCAGAAUUUAGCACUAAAGAGAGAGUUUAUGACAUGGGUAUUCAAUAACUAGCCAAAGUUCACCAAAACCAGCACAAAAAUAAUCUAAAUCACAAAAAGAAACAAGCUUUAACGCUAAACAGAGAUUAUGUGACAUGGGUUUUUGAUAACUAACCCUUCUUUAACAAUUUUAGCAUCCGGAGUUUGCUGAGAUUGCAUAAGCUUUGAAACAAAGUAACGAAGGAUCCCAAUAAGAAUCAUCACUACUGUUAAUGGGAUCAGCACCCAAUCUCUUAUAGCUGUGUCUAGCACUAGAUCUUCUGCCAUUGAUUUCUUGAUUGGACGGAACCCACCAAAAUCAGACACAAAGUCCUGAUCUUUCGAGAGACUAAUGUACAGUCUUUUGCUCUUUAGUUCUGGUCUCUGGUUUGUUUGUGAUUGAAGGAGAAGGGAUGUGAGUGUCUUUGUUGGAAUAGAUUAGGGGUGUUGUUGUCUUUUAGAGUAGCUGAGAUUCACAACGCAGGGUUUCAAUCUGGUUUUUUUUUUUAUUAUUAUUUAAAAUCUAUUUUAAAAAAAGUUUGAAAUAUUUUAAAUUAAAAUUAUUUUGAUAUGCUGGUAUAAAAAAUAAAUUUUAAAUUUUAAAAAAAAUUAUUUGGUAUUAUAACAGCACUUAUUUUUCAAAGUAUUUUUUAUUUAGAAAUAAAUCAAAAUAAUAUUUAUUUUAUUUUUUAAAAUUUAUUUUUGACAUCAACAUAUCAAAACAAUCUAAAAAUAUUAAAAAUAAAACAAAUAAAACUUAAUUCAUUUGAUUGGACUCAUUAAUUCAAAAUUUGAUCGAAUAGAAUUUUAUUUUAAAUUGUUUUUUAUUUUGACCUGAUGAAAUUUAAGUAUUUUAAUUAACUGACCUAUAAUUUAAGUAACCUGGCUUAAUCUAUAAAAUACCUGUUUAAGUUAAUUUUAAUUAUUUUUUUAAUUUUAUUGAAGAUAAUAUUAUUUUAAUUUUUAAUUUUAAUAUUCAUUCUAAUUGACUCUUUGAUCUGUAAAAUAACAUGAUAAACUAAUGACUCAAGCCCUAAAAUAGGCAACUGUGGUUUGGACUCGUGCAAGAAGUGUUUGUUUAUAAUAUUAAUGUUAUGAAGUUUUCUUUCAAAGCAAGCAUGUAAAAACUUAUAAUUCUUGUAUUGAUCUAUUCAAUAUAUCAUUAAUUAGAUAUGAGAGUUUACUUAAUUAGUUAAAAAUGAAUGUUUGACAUGAUUUUCAUGCUCUUUAUUGAUCUUUCAUGAAAUCAAGUAAAAUAUAGCUAGGGAAGUUUUUGGUAUUUUAGUAUAAAUAUUUUUUAAAAGUUUUUUUUUUAAAAAAAAUAUAUCAAAUAAUUAUUUUAGAUUUUUUUAAAAUUUUAACAUCAAUACAUUAAAAUUAUAUAUAAAAAAAAUUAAAUCAAUUUGAUGUUUUUUCACAUCAAAUUCACUUUUAAAAAACACCUCAAAGGAUCAAAUUUGAUAAUUUUUCACAUCAAAUUUAUUUUAAAAAAGCACCCAAAAUCAAAAAAUACCACUCACUAAACCUGCUUGAUACAUGACUUGUUACUUAUUAUCGGAUAAUAAUAAUUAAGUCAAAGGGUGAUCCUUUUUGUAAAUCAAUAUUUUAAGGACUGAGGUUCGAAGAAGGGCGUAAAUUUUUCUCUGACAAGUCUCUUGAAGUUUCCAGUUGCCACACUACAAAACUAGUCCCUCCCUGAGCACAAAACUUGAACUUGCUGAGUUUAACAACAGUAAUUGGAGUUCGUUCAAAACCGAGGAAAAUCCUGUCAUGGUUGAAGUGUCCGUAGAGUUCAAAACAUAAGCACCUGGAUGGCGAAAGGAAAAGCAAAAAGGGACUAGCCUGUUAAGUGGCAUAACAUGAUCAGAGCCAGUACAUAUAUAUCCUCUGGUAGACUCGUAAUGGUUUCAAUUGAUUUGAUUCGAUUCGGCUGGUGCUGUGUAUUGUUUGAGUGUGUAUCAAGGCUUUUCUGAUUCGGCUAACAAAGCAAAAGUGUUUCGGCGUAGUUUGCUUUCACUUCUGCAAGCUCGAUGUGUGUUCUGUAAAAGAAGUAUUGAAACUUCUAGCCAUCUUAAAGUGUUUUUGCUUGGAAGUUAUGGAUGGAAUUCCUAGCUUGGUGGGGUAUUAGUGGCUGCUUCCCAAAAACUGCUGAUGAUAUGUGUUAGUAAUGAUCUACAAUGGUGCCAGGAAAAUUCAGAAACAUUCAUGGCAACCUCUCUUUACUUGUAUUGUUUGGAGUCUGUGGCUUCAUCGGAAUGAUGUAAUCUUUAAUGAUGCUACUCCAGAUCUUAUGGUUGAAGAUUGAUAGAAACACUUUUGCUUACACCGGAAUAUUGGAUCUAGGAUCAAAUUCUGGAAUAACAGAAUAACUCAUAGCUGACUUUUACCAUCUUUUCUUUUGCCUUACUUUUAUGGCUUCUUUUUUUUUUUUUUUUUUGUCUUGUUUCUGUUGUUUCCUUUUUUUUCUACUUCUUUGACUGUCUUCUUAUUAGCUAAAGGUAAUAAAAUCUAGAAGCCUGCCUUCUCAAUGGGGUGAGUUUAAUUUUCUCUAAUUACAUUCAAGUUCGAAUCUGCUGGGAAUCAAGCUUUCCUUGAUAAGCAUCAUGUUAAAGUAGUUGUAGUAGAAUCAGCUUAAAAUCCCAAAUCAAUUACAAGUAUAAAAAUAUAUAAAAAAUAAAUGUAAUCAAUCACAAGAUUAUGUACAAAAUUUACGUAAUUUAAUAACUUAUGUCUUAUUUUCAUAGACAAGACAAUCAAAAAACAAAAUUUAUAUGAGAAAGUAAAAAUUACAAGGUAAAUCCAUCCAAAAUCCCAAAUUAAAUAACCCAACGUUGACGGCUAUUUUUUUUUUUUUUUGAUUCGAGGAAACUCCACUCUCUGAAAAGCGUACUUUGUGAGUUCAUGUGAAUGAGUAAAAUUCCGGCUGUUCCAGGCUCUUACAAGAGAUGUACACCCUGACUCGAACUCGAGACCUAUUGUGUAGAUCUCAAACCCUUUAUCAUCAGACUACGCCUCCUAGAAACAUUGACUACUAAUUGCUAACGCUAAUCCGACUACUUAAUUACGUAUGGUUUUCUGCAAGGUAUCAUUCUGUAGGUAUCAUUCUUGGGAUCAUGCAGAAUGCUUGCCUUUUCACCUGCCUCUAUCAGAAUUUCAGCAUUUUUCAAAGUAAGCAGGGGCUUCAAAAAUAUGUAGUUAUAGCCCUCAACUCUCUGAGGCAGCUUAAUCACAAACCGCAGUUCCCAUGAAUCCUUCAUGGACCAAAUGUAAGCCUCGUCAACUUUUGAAAGAUAGAAGGCUGAUAUCAAUUCAUCAAGCAUAUAUACUUGUCUCCAUGUGAAUUCCCUCAUUGUAAUUCAAAAUAGACUCUGGUUAUCUCCUUGAACUCUUCUCUGCUCAUGUCAUAUGAAACUAUCAAAUACCACCCCGUCCUUCCGAUCAUGCUAGUUGCUUUCUGGAUAAGAAAAUCAUUGCCAAGCCAAAUAGCAGCUUUGUAAUUCAGAUGGAAUAAUGGAAUAUACCUCCAAUGUCCUUCCACCCAUCAGCUUUCAAAGAGUAGACUCUAGGGCCUCAAUUCAUAUGAGUCGAUGUCAAUGAAUGGCUUAUCAUUAUAUGAACACAUCUUAUGACCUUGUAAUCAUCUUCUUCUUGAAGAUAACCAAACCCCAACAAAGGGAAAGAGUUCUCAACUGUGGCGAUAUUGAAACCCGAGAAUGGAAGGAGUAAUUUGAAAACCCCAAUAGAGGGAUUCAAGAGAAAGAUAUCUCGAUAGCACUUUUGGUCCGAAAUGCAAAUUAAGUAUGCCCUUGCAUGAACCAGAAAUUUCUACGUUUUCUAUGCUUAAUGAAAAAGGCAAUGACAGCCUUCUUGCCUUGCUCCAUUCUUCAUCUUCAACACAAUAAAGCUUGGAGUCAAGCUUCAGGACAAGAUUUGGGUUCUUCAAAUUUGCUAUUUGGAUGCUACUUAACAAAUUCUAGACUGCCAAGGAAUAUUGCCAACAUUGACUUGACAGGCAGUCUAGCAAAAAUGUCAGUGAUGAUUUAUCACUAGGAAUGUUAGAUGACAUUUCAGUGAAUGUAUAGUUGCUGGUGGAUGCUGCUGAGCUUGGUGAACUCAUUUUUGGCUAUAGGCAUAUAUGUUGUCAGAUUAGCUGUAUCCAAGGAUGGGAGAAGAUGGGAAUAUAUAUGGACAAAGCAGGAGGGCUCAUUGGCCAUACUUUCAUUAAUGAAAGAUAUCUGAGUAGAUUCCGAUCUACUAUUUUCUUGAGAAAAUAAGGAACCUCCUUAGAUUACUGCUUGAAGCAAUUGAAAGUAUUGUUUCAAAUUCUUUUCUUGCAAUGAAACCCCAAAAAAACAAAGAAUCUUUUCUUGCAUGUUACUUAACCUUUCUUUGUUCCAAAGGUUCCUCAAAAUAAUUCUAUAUCCUCAAAACUUAUGUUUAUGAUGCAUCCCACAUGCUUAUGAUCUUCAUUCCUUCAACAUUCCAAUGGCCAUUGUCUCUCACCCCACCUUGUUAAACGGAACUAGACUAUUCGUCUCAAAUUCACCUCCAAAACUCACCCCACAAGCAAGGAAUUCCUACAGUCCCACUACUAGUCAUAAAAAUAUACGUACAAGAAUUUGUGCUUGUGUUGCGAAAUGCCAUCCACAAUUCUUGCACCAACCUUUGAUUGAAACUAGCUUCUCUUCAAGGCAUAGAGACUUAUUGCCACUAGUGCCAUCCAAUGCUAAGACAUCAUCAGGAUCAGGAGAGGAAGAUAACCCAGCUGUAGAAACAGUUCUCAAGCUUUACACAUCAAUCAAGAACAAAAAUAUCAGGGAAUUGUCUGAUAUAAUUGGUGAUGAAUGCCGAUGUGUUUGCAAUUUCUUCUCCUUCUUCCAACCCUUCCAAGGGAAACAGGCAUGCCCAUUAAAUUUCCAACUUGCUAAAUUCUUUUACCUAGAGUUGUAGCAUCACACAAAUGAUAUACAUGUGAUUCCUUUUGUUUUCCUUUUGCAGCAAGUGUUGAAUUUUUUCAAAAUUCUGAUCAAAUUCUUGGGAAACAAUUUUGAAUUUGUCGUGCAACCUACCUUCCAUGAUGGACUGAAUGUUGGCGUAGCUUGGAGACUAAGUAUAUGCCACUGCCUUCUAUCUCCCUUUGUUGGUUUUUUGGGAAAACUUCAUUAACAUCCCUAAUAUUUUACCUCUUUCUCAAUAUUGUCAUCCUAAACCGAUUAAUUUUAUGAAUUCCUCAUUCAAAACCUAUUAGAAAUUAAGCAAUGCUUCCUUUCCAUAGACAAAACACGUUCAGAAAACACCUGGGUAUUCUAGCAUGGGAGGGAAACAUUGUUUAAUUCAAAUAAGUUUGGGAUGAGAAAUCGAUAAAAUUAAUCAGUUUGGGAUGAAAUUAAGAAUCAAAUAAUAUGUUAGGGACACAAAUGAGGUUCUUCUUCUUCUUCUUCCUCCUUUUUCCUUGAUAAUUAGGAGGGCUCCAAGUGGAGACUUGGGGAGGGGACAAGGUACACAACCAACCAUAGCAAGUUGGCUAUAUAUGUUGUCAUUGCCAUCUCUUCACAGGGAAAUUAUCACAGUUUUGAGGAGUUGCAAGGGAAGCUUUUCUUACCAUGUUUUUUUUUUAUGUUUGGUUAAUUUAUUUUGUAAUUUGUAGACUGGAGCAAGACACAUGUGCCUUUCGGAAAGGGUUUCAGCUUCUACAUUCUCCAAGUAUACCAAGGGAGGAUCGUCAUAAGGUGUGUGAUCAAAACAUCUCCACAAGAUUAUCCAUUAACCUCAAAUUUCAAAAAAGAGAAACACUCAUUUAAUAUAAUAUAUAAAUUAAUCACUUAGUUAUUAUCUUUGAGAUAGAAAAUUGAAAGAUAAAAAGAUGGGAAAGAUACGUCUCAUUGUAUUUUUUUAUUUGAAAAUAUAGAAAUUUAUUCUAAAACUAUUAUAUAUAUAUAUAUAUAUAUAUAUAUAUAUAUAUAUAUAUAUAUAUAUAUAUAUUCAUUUUAUUUCUUCGUUUUUAAGUCUUCAAUCAUACACUUUUCCGUCUUUAUUAACUUUAUAUUUUGUAUUUGUACAUAAUUAUAUAUGACAAAUUAAUUAUUAUAUAGAUUGAGCCAAUAGUAUAAAAAAAAUCUGACCACUAGCUUUAGCAAUAAUGGUUGGAUUUACUGUAUAUUACAUGAGCUAAAUAAUAUUGAUGAUGCAUGAGCUUUCCAUUUGUCCAUCUCAUGAAUGACAGUACUAUAUAUUACAGGAAUGUGGAGAUGUUCAUGGAACCACUUCUUCAUAUUGAGCCUUUUAGACUGGUAAUUUGCAAUCCCGAUUUUCUUAUUCACUGAAUCCGGUGCAAAUCAGAAGUAAGGGGAGGAUACUGAUGACUCCUUCUGGCAUAUGAUAGACACCCUUUUUCCUUCUUCUGCAGAAAAUGAUGGGAUUCGCCAUGAGCAUUGUGGAAAAGAUGAGCUCCUGUAAAUUGUCCAGAGACAAGGUGAAGAAAGCUGUGCUUGUUAUGGUUUUGCUUGCUGUCAUCUUGAUCUUCUUAAUGCCAGGGAUGUAUUAGGCAGCAUAAACCCUGUAAGAUGAUGCAAUCACAGCAUCUCCUGUUUCAGUUAGUACUGUACCAUGUGGUAGUGUGCCCAGAGAUGCUCAGAAUUUCUGUAUGAGAUUUGAUUAGAUUAAUUCUAAAAUAAUUAAAAAAUUAAAUUACAGCAUAUUAGAUUAAAAAACACAAAGGCCUAGAGACAUGUGAAACCACCUCGUAAACCAGGUCCUAAACCGAAUAGAUCCAUGGCACAAAAGCCAUAUUUUAUACAUUAAUUUAAUGAAAAAGGGAAUGUCCAUGGUAUAAUAAACAAAAACAAAAAAACAUUUUGAUGAACAAGUGAUGUGCUUCCCAAUAAGUGGGGUGGAAUUCCAAGUAGAAACAAAAGCGGAAGUAAGGCCACUUCCAUUUAAAAAAAAAAGAGUAAAAAAUAGGUUCCAUAGAACUAUAUUAAAUACUUUAUUAAUAAAUUCGUCUUUAUUUAUUAGGAGUUUUCUAUGCAAGGUAAUAUUGUUGGUACCAUUCCAAUUCCAUUGGAUAGUGUAAUUUUCAUGUCCUUUUCUUUUAUAGAUCUUGUUUGGGCUAUAGUUGAAAUACUUUAGCAUUAAAUUUUGAUUUGUUUUUGCUAUAAAUAAUUUUUUUUAGUUUAUUAGAUUGUUUUAAUGGACUGAUGUUAAGAAUAAAUAUUAAAAUAUUAAAAAAAAUAUUAUUUUGAUGUAUUUAUAAAAAAAAUAUUUAAAAAAAAAACUUUUACCACAUUUUCAAAUAAAACCUUAGUUUAAUACCAAGUAUAAUCGAUAUGGAGUUUCAUUUUAAAAGUAUCAAUAGCAUAUUGAUAAAUCUUUCUUUUAGUGUGUUUUUAACAUUGUGAUACAUUUUAUGAUUGCGUUUUGAAAAUAUAAAUUUAAAAAAGUUAUAAAUUAUAGUUUUUUUAAUUAAUAUUUUUUUUAAAAAAUUAGGAGUAUCAUGCAAAAUUGUAGUAUCUUUUGAUUAACUAAACAUUUUUAAAUCUAUAAUUAAAUAAAAACUCAUAUUAAUCCACAUUGCAUCGCAAAAAUAAAAAGAGAUAUGGGUGUUUGAGAAUAUUUUUAUUUUUAGGUACAUCUCAAAAGUGUUUUUAACUUAAAAAAAUAUAAAAAUUAUAUUUUAAUAUAUUUUUAAUUAAAAAAUUAUUUUAAAAAGCAAUCAACAAUAUAUUACGAGACACACAUUAGUUUCAUGAGUUAAUCAUUCAAUUCAUAGAUUUUACUCUUUUCAUUUCAAUUUUAUUUCUCUCUCUAAAGGACGACCAAUUUGAUAUAUAAAUAAUUUAUUUUGAUAUGAAAUUUAUAUAUAUUUAACACCUCAUACUUAGUUCUAUAUAUUUAAGACCACAAGACUUGAUAACUAUCUUAAUAAGUAGCAUUAAACACCAAUGAUUCUCUUUUCUAAAAAAAAAAUAUGGGUCCAUGCACGCAAAAUUUUAGUGCCCAAUCAAGAUAUGAUCAAGUUUUUGGUUCAAAAAUCCAAAAUAACAUCAAGUUUUUGGUUCAAAAAUCCAAAAUAACAAUGAAAUGCUGCAUAAAUCCUUAAUUAAUCUCGUAAUCUUGAUAUCAUAAUCUAAUAUUUUAUUUUUCAUGUAAUUUAUUAUUUUUAUUUACUACCAUGAAAAAUAAAAUAAAAAUCAUUUUAAAUUAUAAAAAACAAAUGAGAAAGAUUUAAGGAAUGUUGUUUUACCGGAAUUGACUUGAAUUAAUGAGAUUGUUUUAUAGUUAUUUUAUCCGAUAAAUAUCAACUCAUUCAUAACUUGAUACACACACACACACACACUCACAUAUAUAUUACUUAAAUAAUAAAUCCUUUUGUAAAUAUUCAAAACUGAUUUUAAUAUUUAAAUUUUAUACCAGGUAAAUAAUAAAUAUAAUAUAAAUAAAAUAAAAUCUGAUCCAUGAAUUAAAUCAUCAUUAUCAACCAUAUAAAAAAUGUUGUAACUCGACUUGAUCCAACAAGUAAAAAUUUGAACGAUUUAGGAUAAUAUAUGUAAUUUCAUAUUUUUCCAGUAAUUAAUUUCUUUUGUUGCCGUGCUGUUAAUAAUGCACCCCCAUACACACGUUAUAGAUUGCAAACUCCCUACCAAACUGUAUCUCUCCCUCUCCCUCUCUCUCUGGCAUGUCCUUUUCUAAGCCCGCAUUCACAUUUGGUCUCGGUUUCUUUGAUCAAUCAAGUAAUCUCUUUCCAUCUCCUUAAAAAAAAAAUUCUCAAACUUUGAUGGGUUUUGUUCGAUUCUGAUCUCAAGGUACAGUUUUCAAGAUUUUGAUUUUCUUUUUGUACACUUUUGGUUUUCUGGCUUCUUUGAUGGAUUUCUGAAAUUGGUCUUGGAGAUUUUUGGAUUCUCCGUUGAAUUUGGUGCAAAGGGUCUAUUUUUUAGAAGAUUUUGAGCUUUUUUAGUUUAUUUAGCGUAUUUUGGAAUCUGGGUUUUUUUGUGGUUGUUUAGAGAAACUGGUAUAUUAGGAUUUUUUUUUUUUAGUUUUGCUCAUUUUAGAAAGUUUUAAGCAUGUUCUGUUUUUUUAUGAUGAUUUAGAGAAAUGGGAGGUUUUUGGGUUUUAUAGAGUGUUUUUUUUUCCUUGCAUUGUAGCUUCUUGGGUGGGAAUAAGAUGAAGAGGUUAAAGAAUGAACCUUCUAGUACUAGGAGGUGCAAGCUGUCGCAUUUGUUGUUGGUUAUAGGAGCAUUGUACUUGGUGUUUUUAGCAUUCAAGUUUCGACAUUUUUUAGAGAUUGCAGCAAUGGUGAGUGGGGGUGAUAGUUAUGUUGGAUUGGAUUCGUUUUCCAUGGUAAAAGAUGUUGAAGAUUCUGAUUUAAGCAAAUCGUUUUUUAGUUCGGUUUAUAAGGAUACGUUUCACCGGAAAUUAGAAGAUAAUCGAAACCAAAACGCACCGAUGAUGCCCAGUAAGGAACCUUUGGAAGAGGAGAAAAGAGGGGGGACAAAAACUAUAAAACCAAUUCAGUAUCCUUAUGGUCGAAUAACAGGAGAAUUUAUGAGGCGAAGGAAUGCAACUAGGAAUUUUUCACCAUUUGAGAGAAUGGCAGAUGAGGCUUGGCUGCUUGGAUUAAAGGCAUGGGAAGAAGUGGAAAAUUAUGAUGGAAAGGAGAUUGGACAGAGUUCUUUAUACGAGGGGAAGAUUGAGUCAUGUCCUCUGUGGGUAUCCAUGAGUGGCGAGGAGUUCGCUGGAGGGGAAAAGUUGAUGCUUCUUCCAUGUGGUUUAGCAGCAGGGUCAUCUAUAACCAUUGUGGGAACACCCCAUCAUGCACACCAGGAGUAUGUACCCCAGCUUACAAGGUUGAGGAAUGGUGAUGGCACUGUUAUGAUUUCACAGUUCAUGAUUGAGUUGCAGGGGUUGAAGUCAGUGGAGGGGGAGGAUCCACCGAAGAUUCUACAUUUAAAUCCUCGAUUGAGGGGAGAUUGGAGUCGGCAUCCUGUCAUUGAGCAUAAUACCUGCUAUAGGAUGCAAUGGGGGACAGCUCAAAGGUGUGAUGGUUUGCCAUCCAAGAAAGAUGAGGACAUGCUGGGUAAGAGCUACCUUGUUUUUUAAUAGUGUUGGUUAACUCAUUUUCCUUGUUUGCUUAUGUAUGCUAAGUUAAAUGCAACUUGGAAAGAUGAUUACUUAAUGUAUACUUUUAUUAAAGAAAGAUGAUGCAAUGGGGGGGUGGGGGGGCUUACAUUGAGGGGACUCAAGUCCCUAGAAUUGAUGUUUUGUUAGACAUUCUCUACACUUUUCUUCACAUAAGUUGUGUGAGGUGAAAGAGAUGUGAUUGCCUUCCUAAAUCUUUCUAGACAAUUCAGUUAGUGCUAGGGGCAUAAGUGAAAACUGCAUAUAGCCCUAGUUCAGAUUAAAAUUUGUGUUGAUGACCAUUUACAUCAGGUUGGUACUCGACCAUUGACCCCUUGAUUUUAUGCUAGGAUGCUGGUAAGAUCCUAUCUAGUUAUGCUUUAGUUUCUACUUCGAUAGUACAUGGUUUUUAGUUAAUAUAUAGUCAAAGAAAUGUCUCAACUGAGAUGCAAUAUUCAGAUCUAACUAUUAUCUUUGUUUUCUUCCCCUGUUUUCUUAUUAAGCACCAUGACAUUGUUUCUGAUAUUGAUGCCAAUUUCUGCACCACCUUUCCUUUUCAUGUAGAAAUUAGAAAAUGAUGCACUUGCCAGAAUUUAUAUUUUAGCACUUUGCAGACGGAUUCUAGCUUACCUAUGGUUAACUUGUUAACAAAUGUGAACUAGAUUUGAAAAGUAGGUUUAGAGUAUCAUUAAGCUUAGAUUAAUUUCCUCAUGGGUGUAAAUGACAUAAAGGUGGGUCAGAGUUGGUGAAGAGUUUUUGCUGGUCUGGUUUGUGUUAAACUGUAUGAUUUCUGAAGCAUUUGUCUUUAUUGUCAUACUUACCUAAUAGUCGUUGAAGUUCUUAAUUGUUCAGCUUCCUUGUUAAUAACCACAUUUAAGCCCGCACCCUGAAGUUCUUUGUGAAUUUUGAUUCUCCCUACUCUAUUUUAGAAAAUUGAAUUGUAUAAUUUUUCUAAUGCAUGUAUUCGGCAGUUGAUGAACAUUUGAGAUGUGAGAAAUGGAUGCGGGAUGAUAAUGUAGACUCAAAAGAGUCCAAGACAACAUCGUGGUUUAAGAGAUUUAUAGGGCGUGAACAGAAACCUGAAGUGACCUGGCCAUUUCCUUUUGUGGAGGGAAAAUUGUUUGUCCUGACCUUGCGUGCUGGUGUUGAUGGAUACCAUAUUAGUGUUGGGGGCCGGCAUGUGACCUCAUUUCCAUAUCGUCCGGUAAGUUGAUAUAGAUGAGAAAAAAGUGAUUAUUAUACCCUUUGACAGUUCCUUCUGUUUCUCCAACUCAAAUGGUGAACCUUGGCCUUGUGGAUUUGGAAAAUGAUAUUUGCAUAUCUGAUGCACAAUGGGUUUUCUAGCUGUUCUAUCCACCCACUUGGGAGAAAUAGCACUUUCAAAAUAUUUGUGACAUUGACAUUUUUUUUAUGAAGAUUUCCAUGAACUAACCUUAUCCCUGUUUAUCAUCUUUUUAAGCUUGCCCUUUUCUUGAUUCCCUUUGCUUUCCACUGGAUUUCUUCAUUAUAGUCCCUGUAGAUUUUGCAGUGCAUAAUCUUAAUAGUUGUGUUUGUUAGAGUAGUAGUAUGUUUUGUUCAAUUAUAUAAUAAGCUCAAAAUAUUUCCUACAACAUUUUUCCGUGGCUUUAGGGAUUUACCCUUGAAGAUGCAACGGGAUUAGCAAUCAAAGGAGACAUGGAUGUUCAUUCAAUUUUUGCCACUUCUCUACCCAGAUCACAUCCAAGCUUCUCUCCUCAAAGAGUAUUGGAAAUGUCAGAAAAGUGGAAAGCUCAUCCUUUACCAAAGAGGCCAAUUCAAGUUUUUAUUGGGAUUCUAUCAGCUACAAAUCACUUUGCAGAACGCAUGGCAGUUAGAAAAACUUGGAUGCAAUCAUCAGCAAUCAAGUCAUCAAAUGUAGUUGCUCGUUUUUUUGUUGCAUUGGUAAGAUCUCCACAUUUAUUUCUUAACCCUCAAUUUUAUUUGUUUUUUAAGUAGCAAUGUUUAAUUGUAUCAACAGUCACUCAAUUAUUCCCUGAUUUGAGAAACAUACUUCAAUUAUUGAAUCUUUUAUGUAUUCUUUCAUCUUCUUUGCAAGUUUACCAAAGUCUUUUUAUCCAACUUCUCUUUCUUUCUGCUAAAAUUAUCCUUAAAUAAUGCCAUUCUAAAAAGUGACGCUCUAGUUGUUGUAUGGCCACAUCAAAAAAAGUUAAUGGAAAUUUGGAUCAAAGGACUGCAAUAAAAAUUUCAAAGAAAGUUGAAAUUGCAUUAAAUGAUUUGAAAUUGAGGAAUUUAAGUUGAGUAAUAGUUGAUGGUCCACUGACACAAUUAACAGCCUUACCCCACCUUUUGUUGUUGAUGAUUUAAGUGCUUGAUAUAAUUUUACAAGUCCAGAGAGCUUGGAUGCAAGGAUCUAUCUUUAUCAUUGCCCUAGAUAUUUUGUGUUGAAAUAUAAACAAGAAAAUACAAUGAAGAGCAAGAAAAACAAUAUUCAUGUACAUGGGAGCAUUGUGAAUUUACAAGAGUGUGUGUGUGUCUUUCAUUGUCAAAUUAUUUAAUCUACUUAAUGUAAUAUUGUGCAUUCUGUAAGAUGGACCAUUGUUUUGGAACAGAGGAAGCAGAACUAUGGUUAUUUACUAUUCUUUUUUUCUUUUUUUCCAUCCAUCUGUUAUGUAGAAUUCAUACUCUAAUUUAUCUUUGUACCUGUUCAUGAAAACCACAGAAUCCAAGGAAGGAGGUGAAUGCAGUACUAAAAAAAGAGGCAGCAUACUUUGGUGAUAUUGUGAUUUUGCCGUUUAUGGAUCGAUAUGAGCUUGUGGUUCUUAAAACUAUUGCUAUUUGUGAGUUUGGGGUAAGUCUAUGAUUCAUUCAGUUGGCAUUUUUCAUUGAAUCUUUUAAAUAGGAUCUUUGAGAACUAGUAAUUGUGUAUUUAUUUAUAUCUCCUGAAUAUAUUUUUUUAACACAUCUGAAUAUAUUUCAUGCAGGUUCAGAAUGUUUCUGCUGCGUACAUUAUGAAAUGUGAUGAUGAUACAUUUGUUAGGGUUGACACUGUCUUGAAAGAAAUUGACCGUACCUCUCGCUCCAAGUCACUUUAUAUGGGCAAUCUCAAUCUAUUACAUCGUCCUCUAAGAAAUGGCAAAUGGGCAGUUACUUUUGAGGUAUGUCAUGUGAUUUCUGAUUUCUUAAAAUCCCUGGCAGCAGUGUCUUUGCUUAUAUUAAUUCAAUUGUCUUGUUCUUUUUUCCCUUAAAAAACAAACUAAAACGUUAUAAUAUCUGGAGAAGGGGGGACAAAGGCAAAUUAUUAGAAUCUCUACAAAAUAUACAUCUUAACAAUCUCUUCUACGAGAUCAUAUAACCUGAACAUUCAGAAAAUGAAAGAAUUUUUAAUUGCUUAUCUGGUACACCAUCCUCUGUUUUACUAGAAACAACCUUGGUGAUACUGAUCAUGGCACUUAUGAAUUACUUGACUGAGUUACCAUAUGAAUUAACCAGCUUCUUUCUCAUUGAAGGAGCAUUAUUGGAAAUACUAUCUACAUUCUUGCAUUAUUUGCAAGAGUUGCCUACCUUUGUCUUCCUUUUUACCCUUCUCCUUUACAAUUUUUUACCGCAUUUGAUAUUCAUGGAAUGGAAUGGGUAUAGGUUCAGAAACUUGUUCUAGGCAUAGAAUGGCAGAAGACAGCUUUGAGAAGGCUGUGUGCGCUUCUUGGUUAGAGUUGAUAAGGGUUUUUUUUUUGGUAGUUAAAGAAUUCAAACAUCGUCCCUAAUCUGCUACCAGAGUCAUCCUUAAACUUGGUUCUUUUUUAUGAUUUUGGUACGUCAGGUCUUAGGGACCACGCUCUAGUUAAGCUCCUUUCAUGAAUCAGAUGGUCCUGAACAUACGAUACAUAUUGUUGCUUUUACUGUGAGUGUAAAAUGGAAAAGAAACUAGUAUUCUAGAUGUGGUUCGCAAUGUUCCUGCUCUUAAUGAAUUCAAAAUUUGAUUUCUCUGUGUUUCUGGAUGAGUAUGACAUGAAUGAUAUAAUUGUUUUUCUAUGUUCACUUCUUUCAUUUGAAGGUUAUUGCCUAUUGUAACAGGAAUGGCCUGAAGCAGUAUACCCUCCUUACGCUAAUGGACCUGGAUAUGUAAUUUCUACUGAUAUUGCUAAAUUUGUCAUCGCUCAACAUGGCAAACAAAGCCUCAGGGUUAGUGAUACUACAAUCUUAUUUAAUACUUUUUUUUCUGUUGGAGGAUGCUCUCCCUUCCUCUCCUUUUCUUUUAGCAAUUCUUUGACAGCUAUCUUUCCAAUCAGUCUGUGUUGUAAAAUAUGUUAAUUUCAUUGCAGCUCUUCAAGAUGGAAGAUGUUAGUAUGGGAAUGUGGGUUGAACAAUUCAACAGCUCCACCCCUGUCCAGUACUCCCACAACUGGAAAUUCUGUCAAUAUGGAUGCAUGGAGAACUAUUAUACUGCACAUUACCAAUCCCCAAGGCAGAUGAUCUGUCUAUGGGACAAGUUGGCGAGAGGUCGGGCUCAAUGUUGCAACUUCAGAUGACAUAUUUUAUCAGAUGUCUCCGAGGAGCCUUUAGAUGAUGGCGGCAGCUUUAUUACACUGGUUGACACGUGUUCAUAUUCUUGUCCUUAUUUUAUGCUUGGACCCUCUGGUCAGGUCACCUUUGCCGAUUUUGUUCAUUUAAGUGGGCUCUAGAGAUGGCUGUUUUUUAAUUGCAGCCUUUGAUUUUUGAAGAACAGACUUUUCAUCUUGUAAUUGAAAUGGCUUCUAGCCAAGGCCAAAACAUCUCGGCUUGAACUAAAAGCUGGAGAAAUUGUAUAUACCCUACUUUCUAUUACAAGUAUCGAUUCUGUUAGUGCAGAAGUGAGAAAAUCCUUUCGACUCAUUACAUGCUUCUGUUGCAAAUAUAGGUUGGAAAAUUUGAAGGACUAACUUGUUCGAAGUCGUGCACAUAUUGCUAGUCAUUCUUCAGCGUAAUAAUUCCUUUAAGGUUUUGUUUAUAAAGGUUUGGCUUGCUCUAUAUGCGCUUGUGUGGUGUGUUGUGGGUGGAGAAGCUGACAGAUUUUUGGGUAUCACUUCCUAUCUGGUGUGUACAAAAACCUGUCAGCUUCUCCACCCUCAACACACACAAGCGCAUAUAGAGCAAGCUAAACCUUUAUAAAACAUAACCUUAAAGGAAUUAUUACAGAGGAAUGAAUAGAAACUUCAUCAUUUAAUAUUUAACACUUCCUUCUUGAUUUUGAAUUUGCUUUAUAAAUUAUUUUAGUUUUUUUUUUCUACAAGGUUAGAUUACUAUACUUUUAAAUAAAUAUCUUUUUAUUUGAUUUGUGCCUAGUCAAGUUUAUACUUAAUUUUACGAAUGUUUAUUUUUAUUAUCAUUUAAUUAAAUGAAAAAUAAUAUUUUUUAAAAAAAUUCUUAAGCUCAGUAAAGUUCAUUAUUCGGAUAAUGGAUUUUAUUAGUUAAGUCAUGAAACCCGGAUUGAUCUAAUAUAUUAUAAUUUUAAUAUUAAAAAAAGAUCAGAAUAAUUUUUUUUUCAAGUCCAACCAUGCAUUUUAUUAGUUAUCCGGGUUAUUUUUGAAAUCUUCAAGUAGACUUGGUUAUAUCGGGAUAACUUUUAUUCGAAUUGAAAGAUUUCAAAGUUGGUCCGUUGAAUUAAAUUUAAUAAUAAUACCGAAAUAGGUUUUUAUGGCAUAAAUGUUUUCUUUUACAAUCAAAAUAUUUUUUAUUCAAGUGGCGCCGUGUACACUACUAAAAAGUAAAAGAGUUGCGGAUAAUGUGAUUAAAGGAAAGGAGAAAGAGUGCUUGGAAGCAAUUUCAUGUUUGAAUUCCCUUGUUCAACCUGAUGAUAAUGACAGAAUUGUUAUCAGUCAGCAACCACCGAAAGAGCAAAAGAAGGCUAUGAAAAGGAAGAGGUAUUGCUUGACCUUGCUUUACUUGGACUCUUGGAAUUGAUGAUUGAAUUGCGAAAUGCUUGCUCUUUUUAGUGGAUGCACUGUUUAUGAUAAGAAUUUGAAACUUUAGAAAGUGUUUUGUUGCCAUAGAUAGUGAAGACAAAAGAAAUGUAUUAAAAAGUAGAAAUUCAAUUUAAAAUUAUCUCAUAAACAACUUUUUUUCAUUUGUUUCUAUCUCUUCAACUGAACACCUAGAAAAACAGGUGUUGUGAUUCUUAUAGCAAGUUAUUGUAUCAAGGAUAAUCCACUCAAAAGCAUUUCCAUGGGAGUUUUGAGACUAUAACGUGCUGCAGCACGGUUGUCUAGCACUUACAUACAUCCUUUUACUUCUCGUCAAGACUGACUACUCUAAUUACAUACAUAGGAAGAGACAUGUGGAAGGUCAGAUCUCAAACACCAUCAUUUUUGUUUCUCUGCAACUUUCCUCGAGGUUCUGCUAUCAAUGGUUUAACGCAGUAUGUAGCUAGCUGGGAGCUUGCUCUGAAUCUGGUGUGCUCUGUAAUGGCUAAGGUCUAUUUACAAACGACUCUUCAAGCCCUGUUGCUCAGCCUGGUUCUUGAACUUUUAUACCGUGUAGUGGCUCUACUUGGUGGGUGUCAAUACCACCACCUGGGCACUUUUGAAUCCAAACUAGAUGACAAUCUCUUAUCAUGGUCUUACAGUAUUGAAAACCUGAGAAGCCGGCACGAAAGACAAAAUGUCUGAAUCACCGCACUCUGAUUUCCUCGGACUUGAAGUGAAACCACUCUUGACAGCUUUCCUAUCUUUGCGUCAGGUAUUUGUUUCCUGUUCUAGAUAAUAGUUAUCAGAACUCAUCCAUAACUUAUCAAGAAAAGGGUUCAGGUCACGGGUCAAUUCUAAAGCCACUGGCUUGUAUGUUUUUAUUAAAAUAAUAUUGUUUUGUUAUUUUUUAUAUAUAAACCCGAUUUUUUUAUCUGGUUCAACUAAAAACCUGAUUUAAGUAAAAAGGAUUCGAGUCCUCAAUUUCCAACAUUAAUCCACCAAGCCAGGUUUAAUGAUCCGGCAUAUCUUUCACGUGCAUUCAGUUCUUAGUUCAACUCCUGAAUUUCACCAAAUUAGGCUGCUCAUUAUUAUACAAUGUCGGAUGUUUGACCGAUGCCGCUCCUAUGAUACAAGUUAUGAUGAUCAAAAUCAAAAUUCUCUGCUUUGGACCUUCCUCUAGUUCCAGUUUUAAGUGAAAUUUCAACGAGAGAAAAGUCUGUCCUCCAGCUGCGUUCACCUUAACAGUUACCUCUUCUUCGCUGUUUUACUUAAAACGGGAUCGUUACGGAGGAAACAUCCUAAGCUGAAUAGAUUUUCUGGUGAAUGAGAACAAAUAAAUAGCGACAUGAUUUCGAUCUGUCAGAAGCUGUAGAACACACGCCUCCAUGUAAGUAAUUCCAAGCAGACCACAAAGAAAAGAAGGAACAAAGCCAGUUGCAGUAGGAAAACAACAGCCUAUAUGACAGGAUACAUAUUGGUCUUUUUCAAGUUAACAAGACUUUACAAUUUGACUGUGGUUGCCUUCAUUCUACUAUGAGGGGGUUAGGCAUUGGGAGGUCAAACUGACAACAAAAUUAGCAAGAAAGCCUACUACAUCCACGCUAUGGCAGCAUAACUACAAAGAAACACCUGCCAUUGACCGUUGUUACAUUUUCAUUCUGAUCAUAGUAGAGUAAAUCACCAUGUCAUCUAAUCACAGUAAUUCACAAAGGACAUGAAAAAAAAUAAACGAACGAUAAACUAAAUAAGGUUCUUCACUAUCUGUUCUACUAUCAGAAGUGAGCAGGUGGUCAUUGUUCCAUGCACCUACAAGUAACAAGAAAGGGAAAAAAAAACAUAAGGUUACUUGUUUGGUAUACAUCAAAUUGCACGCAAAUUAAUCAGCAUAUUAAGAGCAGAAAAGAUAGCAGGUACACAUAAAGUCUUAAACCCAAUGGAUGACAGAGUCCAUAAACGUACAUAAUUCAAAAGGAGGCGUCAACACAUAAAGGGAAGCAAAAGGGAUUCAGGAACAACAGAAAUUCUAAAGCUAAACUACUCGGAUGAUGAUUUACAACUAAGCAGCAGGCUGAUCAAAUCACACCUGGAGGGAAAUCAUUAACAGGAAGAAAGUUACACUACAAGAAACCUGUACUUUGACUACCAAGGGGCUAUGGUUUGGUCCUGAACCUGACAUGAUAUUUAAGUUGUCAAAUCAAAGGACAGAAUAGAAAACAGAACAUGUGGAAAAAUGAACUUUUUGAGAAUUUACAAGCUUUAAAAAGGCUUGUUAUCAUGAGACGGAUAGUUUGAUGCAGAAAACCAGCCCAGCUCUCAAGACCAAAAAAUGCAUUAAAAUAACUCCGUAUUAUAUACCCAAUCAAAAAUAAAAAGAGAAGGGACUCACAUCCACCAUUGAGAAAUUCAACAUGUAUACAAGAAGUUUUAUAAUCAGUUUUUUUUUCCCACCAACUAAAUCACAAGCACAGGAGCCACACGCAAUAUGGGAGCUUGUUGAACAUACUAACCAGUCAUCACCACAGAACAUCAUGACCGUUUGAAUAAAUGAUGACGUGCUAACACCUCUCCUACCCCCACAGCAGAUAUGCUUUCACAUCCAAGAAGAUCACGAAGCUUUGUAUCACAUUGUAUCACCAUUGAAUUUAACGGAUCCUAAAAACACAUGAAAACCAUUGAACUUUUACAUUAAAGUUAACUUAUCUAUAAAAGAACUGUGUUUAGACAUCGAUGCACUACAAAUACGGUUUAUUGGACGAAAAAGGCAGUGUAUAAUAACAAAGAGAUUUGUACAAAACAAGAGGUAUAUGCAGGAAAAUUAGUUGAGGUAAAGGGAUGUAGUAGACUUUAAGUGCUCCCAAUAUGGAAAGUCAUGUGUAGGGAAAGGGAUGAAUAUAUACACUCAUUACCCACCUCCAACUGUUUUAGCUUUAUGUACUCCCAAACACGUCUGGAUGCUUCUGUUUGGGUCAUUUCCCUCUCAGUAGUCCCCAAAAACUCAGCAAGUCCUUCAGAUAUUACCACAAGAGAUGCAGCAGGUUCUUUAUUUUCAGUUGUGGUCUCAACAUCCACCUUCGCUCGCUUGGCUUGACCAGAUUCCUCUGUGCAAAUAUUCACAAGAACAAAAAAAUAAAUUUAACAUUCUCAAAGUCACCACAGAGCAACAAAAAUAUGCUUCACUGUAAUGAUCACAGUACAUACUUGAUGGUUGAAGUGGGAUGAUAUGUUUAGCUAGCAGCUUAUUCAUCUUAAACAUAUCAGUGCAGUCAGUCUCAAAAACCACGCGCAAAGCAUCAUCACAAAUUAUCUUCCUCUUGUUACUUGGAUCCUGGAGGUUGUUUUUCCUUAUGUAUUGCCACAAUUGCUUCACAAUCUGAACACACACACAAUGCACAAUUCUUAGAAACAAUAAUCACUCCAUAAACAGCACAGCUGCUCAACCAAACUAAGAAACGAGCCUGGUCAACAGCAUACCUCAGUCCUUGGCAAGGCUGGCUCCCCAACAACGACCUGAAGUUCAGGUGAAACACCACACACUUUGUUUAACCCACCAGGUCCACCUCUUCUUUUGGAUCCAACUGGAGUACUGCUGCAAAGUAGUAAAAACCCAAACACCAUUCAAUCUCCAUAAACGGCCACAACAGAUUCAAGCUCCAAUCAAACAAAAUCACCAACGGCCCAAGAUCAUCAACUAAAAAAACCCAAAAUAAAAACUUUCACACUAACCAUAAGCUAACAGAUGCCCAAAUUUUGGAUUUUUCAAUUUAGCAAAAAAAUAGCAUUAAACCUUCAAUUGGGUCACUCUUUUAACCAUUGAAAGUGAUAGUUAUUAAUAUUUUUUUAACCCUCUCAGUCUUUUAGUAACUAUAAAGAAUUCGACUUUAUAACAAAAUCUUACCAAUUAAAAACAAAUGGAAACUAUAAACCCUAAAAUUUGAAAAUAAAAUAAAAUAAAAUAUUUCAAAAUGCAACAAUUAAACCCCUAAAAACCUAAAAUUGAGCCCUAAAAAACACUAGAAUCGAGAAAUAACAAAAAGUCCUAAGCUUUUACCUCUCUUUAGCCACUUCAUGUGGAAUAUCCCCAACAUUUUGCACAUGCUGCGUCUGCCUCUGCUGCUGCUGAACUUGCAACUGAGGUGGCGGCCCUGGUGGAGCCACCACAGCUUGCGGCUGCCUAAAGUUAAGGUCCUGGGGAAAAACCUGGUGCUGUUGGUGCUGCUGAGGAUGCUGGUGAGGGUGGUGGUGAGGGUGAAGGGCAAAAUGGGAAGGGUGAAAUUGUUGUUGAAAUUGGAGGGCAAAAUGGUCUUUUGGGGUCAAAUGAAGAGUUUGUCCUUGCUGGAAUUGAAAAGCUUGCUGUGAUGGAGGUGGUGGUGGUUGUGGCGUCAGUUGUGGAUGCGCGGUGGUGGUUACGGAGGCGGAGGCGGUGGUGGUAGGGUGGGGGCGGAGGAGCAGAUUAAUUUGGUCACGAAUAAAAGCAGCUUUGUGUGAUAAAUCUAACCCUAAUUUAGCUUCAAGUUGCUGUACGACACCGUUUAAUGAAGUAACGGUGCUGGGGUCUGAUUGCCGCAGCACUGUCUCUACUCCUUUGGCUAUUUCCUGGUCUGUCACCAUGGCUUGGCUACCUCUCUUUCUUCACAUAUAUUUUUAACGGAAAAAACGGACACAAACGGUAACUCUAUGUGUCUUUGUCUCUCUAAACAAUUCUCUCUCUAGAAAAAUUCUCUGUGUUUCUUUCUCUCUCUACAUUCUCUCUGUCUCUCUCUUUAUAAUUUUUCGAAAGGACGGAAAUGACCUCUCAUGUUUUUAACCUGAAAAGACAGUUUGCCCUGUGUAACAGCUGGGUGGGUGGGUGAGGGUGGCAAGGGUAGAGUGGGUAUUUGGGGAAGUCCACUGUUUCUUGAAGUUCUAAGCUGUGAUUUUGGGUGUUUGAAAUGACGGUUUGGGGUUGAGGUUGGGGUUUGUGGGGGUGGUAGGGGGAGGAGGCAGGUGUGGAGGAUUCGAAGGUGGGAGUUUUAUUUUACUUUAAAAUUUAAAAAGGAAGAGAUAAGAAAGAGAGUGGAUACUUGAAGAUGUAAUUGACAAUGGUAAAUGAGAUAAUAAAGUAGGUUGAAGCAUCGUUAUUACAGCAGUUAGAUAUUUUAAUAAAUGUUUUUUAAAAAUAAUAUUUAUUAAUUUUUAAAAUUUAUUUUUAAUAUUAGUACAUCAAAAUAAUUUCAAGAAAACAAUUAAAAUAAAAAUAAAAAUUAUUUUUUAAAAAAAUACUUUUAAAACAUAAAAAUAAAUAGACUUUUAGAUUGAACAAAAACUUAUAGAAUGAAUUGAUUGACUACAUGAAUCCUAGCUAAUAAAAAAAUUUCUAAAAAUUAUAAAAUUAUAUAUAAAAAAUUAAUAUAUUAAAUCAACCUGAAUUAUUUUUAUUUUUUUCAUCUCAAGCAAAGGGUUGAACUUUCGAUAUAGUUCAAUAAUUUCAAUAAUUCACAUAAUAAUUAAAUAUAAAACAUUUCAUAAUAAAAUAAAUAUAAAAUGAUAAAUACAUUAAAAUUUAUUUUUUCAUGACUAGAUAUAAUUUUAUGUAUAUGUGUAGCAUUCAUUUAAAAUAUUUUUCUCUAGUUAUUAGAGAGGGGUUAAAGUCUUGAAUCCCAUGAGGGCAAACAAUUUCACAGAAUUAGUUAGUGUGCUUAAUAAUGAUGAUGACGACUUGUUGAAGAAGGAGCGAGGGUAUAGUGGUAAUUGAGAAUUGAGUUUGGAAUUAGGAUGAUGGAUAGUUUGAUAAGAAUUUAGUGGGGUGGGUCAACAACAAGAGAAUGUUGAUAAAGACUAGAAGAGAACCAAAUUAGUGUUUUCUUCAACAAGAUAACUAACCUAGCUACCACUUUUAUCUCUUCCGGCAACCACUGUUUUUUAACUUGCGGGUUGACCCAUUAUCUAAGUAACAUGGACUCGGGUUUCAAUAAAAAAAAGAAUUGACGCGGUGUGAAUCGGUGAAAAACUCAUGUUGUCUUGUGAUCCUGUCAAACUUGGAAAAACCUGAUUAAAAUUAAUUUUUUUAAUCUGAUUUAACUCGAAUCUAUUUACUUGACACGUAAUCGACACCAACAUAACUUUUGAUUAAGGUGUGAGAAAUAAUUUAAUCAAUAAAUCAUCAUAAUUUUCAUAUUCACUAGGAAUGAAAGAGAAUGCGGGUUACUAGAUCAACGAUUAGCAAGGAUUAUUUGUUUUUAUUAAAAUAAUAUUGUUUUAUUUUAAAAAUAUUAUAAAGUUAGACUUAUUGUGUUUGAUCAGGUUACAAGCAAUCUCAACUAAAUUAAUUAGAUUUUAUUAAAUCAAAAAAAAAUUAUUCAUCCAACCCAUGAAGAUUUCCUCACGAGUCUACAGAAAAUUACAAAAUAAGAAAAUAAUAUUAGAGGGGGGGGGGGGAGACAUGAGUUGUGAUGUUUGUGUCACAAUCAUAUCUUUGCGAGUAAAAUAAGCAAUUAUGUAACAUCACACAAGUGUAGAAGUUGUCAAAAUGUGAUGAAAAGGCUAUAUAUAUAUUAGCAACAUAAAAUGGACAAAGGGCGGAUUCGGGUUCUCUUUAUAGGGUUUGAAUAUAUUUUCUUACAAACAAGACAAAGACAAAAGGAAGGAAACAAAUAAAUUAAGAGCAUGCGAUGUAAUGAUGCAGACUCUAUUACCUUUUUCCUCCUGUUGCCUACACUUUGAGCAAAGCCUAUCUGUGGUCCAUGCUCUCUCUCUCUCUCUCUAUAUAUAUAUAUUGCUGGGAAACACAGCCGCUGCAACACACAAACAUAAAAUUAAAGCAAGGCCAUUGAAGAAACCCUGCUCGAUAAUAUCUAGAUAGAGCGAGGUUGUCUAUUAGUUAUUCGGUAGAGAAUAAUAUAUAAAUUUUAUUUAAAAAUUUAAAUUAUUAAAUUAAAAUGAUUUUUUCGUAGGAUAUCAGAGCUUUAAUGAUCAAGUGAUUACGGGUUUAAAUCUCACUAUUUUUAUUUAUUUGAUAAAAAAAUUAAACAUAAAAUAGUGUGAGCAUGUACAAGUUUUAAAUUUAAAGGACUUUCACUUGAGGAGAUGUUAAAGAACAAUAUAAAAAGCUUUUUAUUUAAAGACAUACGUUAAAAAAUAAUAUAAAUUACAGAUAUUAUUUAAAAACUUAAACUAUUAAAUUUAAAAAAAUUAUUUUACAUCACUGAAUUCCAAUUGUUGUAAAACCUUAAGUUAUCUAUUAACCUUGCUCAAGAAAAUUAUUUUUAGUGGUUAGAAAAAUACAAAAUGCUGAAAUAGAAACACACGAGUAUCGCUGUAACAAUCUUAAAUAUGUAAUAAUAGUCAUCUUUCUCAAAUUGAAUCAACACCCUCACCUUAAAAUUUCCAAAACACACACACACGUACACGUGUGAAAGCACAUGCACACAUGCGUGCAUGUAUAUACGUGUUGAUUCAAUUUGAGGUGUGUGUUAGCGUACAUGCACAUGCAUACGUAUAAACGAAUACAUGCUGGUACCAUCCUUCUCCGCAAGUUUUUUUUUAGUUAAUCAUGAGUAUUCGACUCAAUUUAUAUACACUUCGAUUAAUUCUUUGAAAUCCUGAAACUAACUAACAUGCAAAUCUUUCUAAUGAUUUCUAAAGAGUAAAUUUCAGAGGUACUUAUAAACUGGACUAUGUAAGUCUCCAUAAGUUUUCUGUAAGUUCUUUUUAAUGUUCUUGGACAAUAUUUUUUUUAAUUUUUGAUCUUUUUUAAAAAAUCAAAUUAAUAUUUUUUUGUAUUUUUUAAUAUAAUAUUAAAAAUAAAAAAAUAUUAUUUUAUUGAAUUAUAAACUAAAAAAAACUUUACAAAACACCACACACAACAAAUCCAAACACUAAGUUCAUCUCUAUUUCUGUUGAUAAGAAAGUUAGACCAUGAUGGAAAAAAAGAAAAUUAUUGAGCUAAAAAAAAUUGAAAUUAGUUCAAAGCCCAACAUAUUGUCCUAAAAAUUACUAACGGGCUUACCAAUUUAUAUCCCCAAGCCCAUGUUCUCUUCAGCUCUAUCACCUACAUGUCUCUCAAGCUGUAGGCAGAAGGGUAACACACCACCACCAUGGCACAAGUUCUUCACAUAAACCCUCUACGUUCCUCAACCCGACCCGAAUCAAACGGUACCCUAUUCCUCAGCCAGAGGCAGAAGCAAGAUGUGAAGCACAGCUGGACCUCUUUGCAGAGAGAAUUCAAGUGUAAUGGCAAGUUUACUUGCCUUUUCUCAGGCGGUGGCAGAGAGGUACAGAAAAAAAGUUUGCUCCUAUAUGAUUUUUUUAUCACUUUCUUGGAUAUAUUGUAUCUGAGUUUUGUCUCUUUGGAUGCGAAUUAAGGAAAAUUUGAUCAGCUAGUGAUAAAGAUUGAAGCUUUAAGGUUUUUGUUUUGGAAAUUAAAAACCCAUGUUUGGGUUUUGAGUUGAUUGAAAGCUGUCGUUUUAAAUGGUGGAUAUGGACUGUGAUAAUGGGGUUUAAGGGGCUUUUGAGCUUGCAAGUGAAUAACUUGUCCGCUUAAUUAUGGAAGAUGAGGGUUAGUAGGUUGUUUGCUUGUCAAAUUGUAGAGUUUAUGAAGUGUUUUAUUGAGUUGGAAUGGAGUGAGGGUUGGUUGUUUGAAUGGGAUACGGUUUUUAAUUUCAGAUAUUUACUGAUUAAACUAUGAUUCUUGUAAAGAUUUUUAAUGCUUGAGUGCUAAAAUGAUCUUCCGAUUGUUAGUUAUUAGCUUAACCAUUGUGUGCGUUUGUUUCCUAGUUAUGAGUGAUUGAGUUCCAACAAAGUGAAAUAUUUAAUAUGGUUAUAAUGUGAAUGUGUUUAUGUUAGUUGCCAUGCCAACUAGAAUUACCAUUAUCAUAUUAGGGACCUCAAGCUUCUUGACCAACCAGUAGGAUAAUCGGUAAUGUAUUUGAUAGUUAUGCUAGGCCUUUGUUUCUGUAAAUGUGGUAAUUUGAAUAGCUUAUUCUGCAAUUCAUGCGGAGGAUUCUUGUUGCUUAACUCUAGAGGCCAAGGCGAUUCAAGCUGUUGUACUAAGCCACCAGUCCUCUUACCCUUUCUCCCAUAUUCAAAGAUGGUUUUGAUCACUGAACUGGACCUUCAGCAUCAACAACUUUAUGACAUCGUGAUGUCUUAGAACUUUAAAUUCACUAAGGGUCCGUUUCCUUGUACAAAAGGGUAGCCUGGUGCUGGAGGCUUCUGCUUUGUGUUUCUGGUUAUGUGAAGGUUUCACAUUUUCUUGUGCAUUGACUUGCAUUGUGUCCAUUAAUCUUGGUGAUUGCCUGUCCUAUCAAACCAACUGUCAUAACCAGGUCUAGAUGAUGGAAACAUGGCUAACGAAAAUUGUUGGAAAUGGCUUUCUCAGGUUUGAUGAAAAACUGAGAUAUAUGCAAGGGAGUGUUGUAAUCCAACUGUUUAGAGGCUUUCAACUCCAGUCUUUUGACAUGCCUUAGAGUAUAGAUAUUGUUGAACUCUGUAUUUGUUAUGCUAUACGGUGACCUGUCAUAGGGUGGGAUAAAAAGAAUAGGAGAACUCAAGAUUAAAUGUGUUUGCAGGUGUGAUUAAGCCGUCUUAUUUGUGGCUGCAGGAACAAGCAAAGAAAGCUUUAGAAAGUGCUCUUGGUGGAAAGAAAGAUGAAUUUGAAAAAUGGAACAAGGAAAUUAAGAGGAGGGAGGAAGCAGGUGGAGGGGGAGAUUCUGGUGGAGGAGGUUGGUUUGGAUGGGGUGGACGAUUUGGCUGGUCCAAUGGUGACAAUUUUUGGCCAGAAGCACAGCAAGCAAGUCUUGCUGUCCUGGGUAUUAUUGCCAUGGUGAGGUUUUCCCUUCACAAUUCUUGGAAUGCUGUGUUUAAUUAAUUGCUCUCUCCCAAUUUCUUAUGAUGUUUUAUUACAUGUACAGUAUCUCAUAAUUGCAAAAGGUGACUUGAUCCUUGCCGUCAUGGUCAAUCCUUUGCUAUACACUUUGCGAGGGACAAGAAAUGGGCUAACUUUUAUGUCAUCAAAAAUGUUGAGAAAGGCAUCUCCAGACGAUCCUGCUGAUUUUGCUGGGGCGUUAAAGAAUGGUGUUUAUGUUGAAGUUUCAGCUAAAGAGAGUGUUAAGAGAAAAUGGGGAAGCAAUUGAUAAGUUAUCUCAGGCUUAAGCAUUGUUUCAUCCCUCCACUUGAUGCUGGUGCAUCUAUAAUUGUAUUGGACAACUGAAUCACAGAUUCUUGAAAAAGCAAUUUUAAAUUGUGAAGAUUACCGAGCCUGGCUGCAUAGUGUUUGAAUAUUCAGCCACUAGAGUUGGGGACGUGCUUCCAUCUUUUUGGGGGCAUUUUGCAUUUGAAAUCCAGUCUGUCUUCUCCCUGUAACAUCAAGGUCAAGGGUUAUUUGAACAUCAAAUGGAAAGAGAAUUGUUCCAUAUUUUGUCAGUAACAUUCAAGUCUACUCUUCUGUAAGAUGCAUCAUUUAUCAUCACUAGAUAAUACAUUAAUUUUGAUAUUGAGUAGACUUGUUUUGAUUCAUUUCAAAUUUAUAUCAGGCAAAUUGGAUGGACUUAGUUGGCAGAGAAGGAUCCGAUAAACCACAAGGCAAGGUAGAGCAAAAACCAUUUAAUGCUCUGAAUUUAGGUUCUUUUCAUUUGAACUGCAUAAUCUUCCAGUUUCCCAUUUUAGUUACUUCUGCGCAUGCUUGCCUGGAGUUAUGAGGAAUCAAGUAAUACAGGGAUUGCAGAGGGGAUUUAGAAGGUGAAUAACUCACUUCCAGUCUGCUAUACCAAUACCCUAUAAAUGCAGCUAGAGAUGACUCUAAGGUCCAAGGUCCUGGAAUAAUCCCCCGAACUUCACGAGUAUUGGAAUUCAAGGAGUCUUAUAUUUCCCUAGAAAUCUAUCUUCUUGUUUGCGAAAAAGAAUCGAAGAUGAUUCUUGUCGUUAUAUAAUUCUCAUGUAUAUGAAAUUACUCGCUUCCAGUCUGCUGUACCAAGCACCCUAUAAAUGCUGCCAGAGAUGACCCUACUGAUUUACUGUGGUUUUAUCAUCUCCCGAGGGAAACGAUGAUGAAUUAUCUUGAGCUAAGGACCAGGUUAGGUAAAUGGCAAAUUUGGCCACCAUCUGCGGUGGUUGCUGAUGUUGGCCUUGGGAAGAUAUCUCUGCCUCCCUUCGUGUUUGUGUGGUAAAUUGUCAGUGUGAAAACUAGUUCUUGGCUCCAUCGGCACAAGGGAUAAGGUCCAAGCAAACAGUACAAAAUUGCCAAAGGAUUCCAUGAAGUUGGUAAGAAGUUCAAGCUGAGGUUCAUGCAUCUGCUGACCAUUCCUCCUGUGGAAAAUAAUUUAUUACAUCAGUUAACAGAGCAGAAUAUUGUUGUUCCACCAUCAUGGCUAUUGAAUGAUGAUCAUGUACAUUUUACACAGUGGCCCUCCUAGAAUCUGUUCAGUGGCCUUAAUAAUUAGUGGGGCACAUGCAUUAAAGAAAUCGGAACAAUUCAAUGCAGAGAUUCUCCUUGCUACCAAGGCCUUCUUGCACACAUCAUGAAGGCCAUGAUUAUCUUCAAGGUUGAAUCACCGGUUUAGUAGAUUAAUAUUUUUACAAGAGUUUUUAUAAAAAAAAAGUCUUAAAAAAUAUUAUUUUAUUUUUUUAAAAAAACUAAAUAAGAUUUUAAUUUAUUUCUUUAAUAAACUAGAUGAAUUUCUACAGGAUUUGAUUUUAUUUGAAAUAUAUAUAUAUAUAUAUAUAUAUAUAUAUAUAUAUAUAUAUAUAUAUAUAUCUCCUUGCUACCAAGGCCUUCUUGCACACAUCAUUGAAGGCCAUGAUUAUCUUCAAGGUUGAAAAUUCCCAUUUCCAUUUAGCAAAUGACAAUUACCACUUCAAUUAGUCCAUAUAAUUUAACUUAGAAAAUUUUCUACACUAGUCCUGAAAGCCUCACCUAAUGGUUUUUAUAAUAAAAUUAAACUUAGUUUAAAUUUACGGGUUAACUUGAUAAAUAACAUUUAUGAUUCCAACUAAAUUUCAGUUUGGACUAAUUUGAAAUUGAUUUAGUAAAAGAUUUCAAGUAAUACAUGUUGAUUAGCCUAUAAACUUAUUUCAAAUUGGAUUGAGUCAAAACUAAUAAAGUUUUUCUUUAAAAAAGAACAAAAUGACAUCUUAUUGAUAAACAAUUGAUCUGAUAAAAUCGACUCAACAACCUUUAACUCGGACUCUUUAUUACUUUCGUCAGCUAUGGUUUUUUAUGUCCUAAAUUCAUAAGAAAAUGUACAAAUUACUGGGACUCAGCUAGCUGAAUUGACUUUGCAUAAGCCUAUAAUCUUUUUGACAAGGACAAGAAAAUGUCCAUACAAAAAACCUAAGGUCAAAGUACCAAGAACUGAGAGCUUAUCUAAAGUUAAAAACAGCGAGCUGAACCAAACCAAUUAUAACUAUCAGAAUCCUAGGCAGCUUUUUUUUCUUUCCUUCAUGUCCGAGUCAGAGUUUCCAUUAUAAGAAGUCAAAGAGGAGGAGUCUAUCCUCCAGACAAUCCUAGGCUGUCUUAAUCUCACAUCUCUCUCUCUGUAUAUUGUUUUGGUUAUGUAAUCAAAAGGAUGCACUAAUUUUAAAGCCCCCCAUGUCCUUGAAUCAAGGUAUUCGUGGAUCCUACUGAAGGAGUGACCUUCACGAUCUUGACACCUCUCUUUUCUUAUUUUGCCAUUGUUGUUUAGUUGAACACAAUUUUAGGAUCACCACAUGACUGUUUCUUUUUCCUUUGUUUGAACUUUCUAAAAACUGAACUUGUGCCCUUUCUCUAUCGUUCUUUCUUGGGUUGUUAGCGUGUCUUGUUGUUGUUUGAAGGGUUAUGGUUGUGGGUUUUCUUGAUUUUGUCCCGUGUUAAACUUUCUAGUUUCUAAGAUUCUUUGACCCUUCUUUUGUUGGUGUCUGGUUUUUGUGUUCUUUUGCUUUGGGGGCAUUCUGUUUUGUUUUGUUUUGUUCCCUAAGGGAGACACAUACAGGCGCAGACACAAGUGCUGUUUACUGUUGAUGGGCUGUUGAUGUCUUUGGAGGUUGGUGUGAAUUCAAAUACUAAAAGCAUGGGUUUUGAUGAGAAAAACAAAGAGGAAGUUUCUGAGACAGCAGCAACAACAAAAACACCUCCAAAUGAAGAAGAACAUAAUGUUGAUGAACCUAAAAGUGGUGGGAUUAGUAGAAAGAUGAGUGAGAGUUCUCUUUAUGGAACUGAUCAAGAAGAAGAGGAUGAUGAAGAAACUAAUGAAAGGAAGAUUGAGCUGGGUCCUCAAUGCACACUCAAAGAACAACUUGAAAAAGACAAGGUUUGUUUUUCUUUCUUGUUUUCUACCUCUUUGUGUUUUCUCAUUCCUGUUUCUUUUUAUUAAUUACUGUUCCAUUUUUUGUUUUGUUUAUGUUCAAUCUUUUUCUGUUUUGUGUGGUUUGAGAAUGUAGGAUGAUGAGAGUUUGAGGAGGUGGAAGGAACAGCUUCUUGGGGCUGUGGAUAUUGAGGCUGCUGGAGGUAAUCUGCUUAAACAUUUUGAAAAUGUGUUAAUUUGUAGUAUAAUUCAGAUUUCCUUUGCAAUUAGUGGUAAUGGAGCUAUGUUUUAUGUAGUCUGUUAAUGAUUUUUUUGUGGAUUUACAAGUCUCUGCAUAUUGUCUGCUGUGAGAAGAACUAAAAUUCAUCUGAGAAAUCUUAGGAAUUAAUAAAAGUUAAUUUUGUUAAUUAGGGUUGAUAGUUUAUGGAUUAUUUGUCAAAUUUUGGUUUCUUUUCCCACGAUUUAUAGCAAUUGUGUCUGAGCUCAUGUGUUACUAUAGUGUGUUAGACCCUUCUUUCAUCAUCUCCAUUUAUUCAAGCAUGCUAUUUCAUUGACUAGAUUUGUAAAUGCUUGAAUUGGAAUAAAAUUUCCUCUGUUAGCCUUUUUGAUUCUUGGAAGAAAUCUGAUCAUUUAAUGGCAGAUGAAGUUUGUUUGGAUCUCUGACAUUUUUCUUAAUGGUUUUAUAACUAUGUAGAGACUCUUGAACCUGAAGUUAAAAUCCUGAGCCUUGAAAUCAAAUCCUCUGGCAGACCUGAUAUUGUUCUUUCAGUUCCUGAGAAUGGAAAGCCUAAAGGCUCAUGGUUCACCUUAAAAGAAGGUAGCCGCUAUAGUCUGCAGUUCACUUUUGAGGUUAAGAACAACAUUGUUUCCGGCCUCAAGUAUACUAACACGGUUUGGAAAACUGGUAUCAAGGGUAAAAGUCUCUCCAUUUAUCUCUUCCAAUCUCUUCAUCCCCGUAUCUCUUUUUCUCUGAAAUAAUGAUUUUCCCUUUAUGAUGAUUUAUCAUGAUAGUUGAUAGCUCAAAGGAGAUGAUUGGAACCUUUAGUCCUCAGACAGAACCUUAUACUCAUGAAAUGCCUGAAGAAACUACUCCAUCUGGUAUGUUUGCUAGAGGAUCAUAUGCGGCUAGAAGUAAAGUAAGUCCCACCAGUUCUUCUUGUUCUUCACCCCUUUGAUAUUUGAUCUUUUCACGCAACAGAUGUAUUGGUUCAAAAUACAUGUUCAUCAACUGACCUUUUCUCAAUGCAUUUGCGCACAAACUACACACAUUCAUGUUCAGUUGUUUUCAUCUGUUCUGUUGAUUCAUGUGAUAGUACUUGUGGGGCACCUGCAUUUAAGAGCAUGGAUUUAUAAAAAAAAUUUGCAAAAAUUCAAAUAAUUUUAAAUAUGCUAACAUCAAAUCUAUUACCAUUUAAAGUCCCUACAAUGUAGUUAUUGUUUCAGAACAUCUUGCAAGGCCUAACUUAAUCUGCUUCAAAAGGACAAGCUGAGUAAUGUUCCUAUCAAUUAGUUCUGGAAUCAAGUGUGUCAUAAUUCAUGCAUGUGAACAUUUAAACUUGUGGGUCAUCCUUUGUUUAGUGAUUAGAUUUCAAAGAUAAUUAUUAGAUUCAUCAAGAAUUUUUGGUUUGCAGAAGCUGCUACUGAUUUCCUUUGUAUUCUUCUUUCUGUGUCUCCAGUUCGUUGAUGACGAUAACAAGUGCUACCUUGAGAUCAACUACACCUUUGACAUCCGCAAAGAUUGGCUGCCAACUAAAAACUAAGAAUUACUAUUACCUUCAAGUUGCAGCUUCCAUAUAAUUGUUUUACAAGUUGGAAUAUGCUUCUGAUGUUUAACAUAUCUUCUUUUUAUUGUCUUAUUUAUGACUCCUAUUUGAGACUGGUCAUUUGAACAAUGAAGAGAGGAUUUGAAAAUUUGCAGCUAGAUAUUCAUUUGGUAGUUGUUGAUUAAUAAAAUUCACCGUUACCUUAAAUUGAACACUUUCCUUUUUUUCUCCCGGAUCAUCAUUCCAUUAGUACAUUCUUUUUCUCUUUUGAUUGUUGCUUUUGCUUUCAACGUUGGCCGAAUCUUUCUACUUUAACUGCCUUUCUUGUUCUGUUCUUUUCGUUGGAAUUCUUUUGCAACGGUUCCAUUUUGUACCGUUGUUGACUCUCAUUCUAGUCUUGGAACUACCAUGUUUUAAAUGGAUGUCUUGUGGGGUUAAUUGGCUAAACUUUUUAGAGACAAUGUUUGGUGGGACUAGGAACCUUUAAUCAUUGUGGGGGUGAACACAACAGCAAUUGCCUGGACUGUCAAAAAGAGUUACUGUAAGUGGAAAAAAAAUGACAGCUGUGAUUCAAGACAUUCAGAUCUUUGCAUUAUGAUCAAAGCCAUGCAGCUCCUUUUCCACCUGAGAAUUCUGAAUAUUUGGACUAGGAAUGCAUUAUUUAACCAUUUUGGAGAGAAUUAAUGCUACGAUUUAAGUUGGAACAACAUAGGUGUGAUUUUGCAGUGACAUCUGCUACUGGUUUUGUUUGAACACCAUGAUGGUUGCUCAUUCAAUUGAUGGUGAUGGUGGUAGUGAUCUACUAGUACUAGGGUUUUGAGUCAACAAGAAAGAUGUGAUCGGCCAAUGAAAUCUUAAUCAACAAACUCAUAAAGAGUUCAGAAGUGGAGGUUGUUGCUGGUUGUUUUAACAUGAAAUCUUUCCUUUUAAGUUGAUUUUUGGAAGCCGAACAUCCACUGCACUUGGUGAUGUUAUUGACAGAAACUUGGUUCACAAUAUCUCCUUACCGACUUAAAGAAAAAUGUGGAAUAGGCAUCAUUGCACUUUUGAUCAUCUGCAACCCUAAUUUUUUCUUCAAUUAAACAGUAUUGAUAGUGAUUUCCAAUUGAGUGGACAUGAACAGUAUCUAUCAGAUUCACAUCAUUCUACGUUGUGCUACUUUCAUUGGGUUCUAUAUAAUUCAGUAUUGAUUGGCCGUAUUGUAUUGCCUCAAAACUUUGAACUAACUUAGCAGUUCGCUUUCAGAAGAAAGUAGAAAAUGGAAGUUCAAAUCAUUUCUAAGGAAAUCCUGAAACCUUCCGCCGUGCUGCACCAUCUAAGAACCUUCAAGCUUUCUCUUUUACUCACUAUCCAGUGAAAGUUUCUGCAAAGCCUCUUUUAUCACCUGAGAAAGUCCUCACAGUCAUUAACUUAAUUCUACCCUUUUGCUGGACGGAUAAAAGAUGGUUUUUCUAUCGACUGCAACGAUGAUGGUGCGCUGUGUUUUAUGAAGCCUUGGAUGGUGGCGACGUAACAAAGGUAUUUCAAGAAGCAGACAUAAAUCAGCUGCUACCAUGUAGCCCUAAUGAAGUCAUUUGGGCUAAGCACUGAUCAGGUAAUGCUAGCAGUUCAAGUAAAUUACUUCAAUUGUAGGGGGUUGAAAAUUUGUAUUUGCAUUUGACAUGCAGUUGCUGAUGCAUCAACUAUAGCAACCUUUGUUAAUAACUGGGCUGCAAUGGCUUGCGGUUCCCAUAACAUUAUUGACGAGGUGAUUUUUGACUGCUCAACCCUCUUCCCUCUACAAGAUUUACCAAGCUUCUCUUCAAGCAAUUUCUUGAAAGAGGAUGUGUUAAGUGAAAUUUUGAUGAAAAGGUUCUUGUUUGAUGGUUCCAAGAAAGUUUCUCCAGGAGAAGAAGUGGGCGACGGACCAUCUUUGGAUUGUCCUACUCGUUUCGAUGCUGUUUCAGCUCUUAUUUGGGGGCUAUCACGGCUGUAACCGGAGAAAUUGAAGCUACGAAGAUAAAUGCUGCAACAAUUGCAGUCCAUGUUCGGAGGAGAAUGAAACCACCAGUGCCACAACAAUCCAUUGGAAACUUCUACCUGGUGACAACAGCAAAAUGGCCAGAAAGUGAAAGUAAUGUGCUAAACUAUAAUGGUUUAGCAGGAAAACAAAUUUCACGAGUCAAUAACGAAGAUGAACAAUGACUAUCUUUAGGAAAGCUUCAGGGUGGUAGUGGAUACUUAACUUCCUAAAAAACAUAGUUGUUAAACCCGAAAUAAUCAAGUUGGUUGACUUAGAAAUUCUGCGAAAUCUAAUUUAAAUUAAGUUCAAGUUGAAUUGAAAAAUAAACAUUGAUUUGAUGAAACAUGGAGAUUCAUAACUUAAUUGACUUGACAGAACUCAUUCUAAACUUUGACCGUAAAAAUUCAUGGAUUUUUUUUGAAAGAAUAAAAUGAUGUUAUUUUAAUAAAAAUAAUUAAUCAGAGAUGACAGAAGCUUUUUUUCAAAUUAGUCAUCGAAUCUAACAACUAUGUUUAAAGCCGGUGAGGGGGCUCCAAGAAUCCCUAGCUCAAGGUUUUUUUCGUUUCAGCAGUUGGUAUGAGUUUCCAUUCCAUGACACAGAUUUUGGGAGGGGAAAGCCUAUGUGGUAAAGUCCUGCCUUGAAGCCUAACAGGUUGCCAUUUUCUUGGAUACAAAAGAUGGUGAGGGAAUAGAAGCAAAGAUUGGAUUGUCCAAGAAAGACAUGGUAAAGUUUGAACAAGACCUUGGCAUCUUCACGUAUCUUUCUUCACGUCUUCGAGCUGGGAUUUUCCAUUUUGAUCCAUCCAAUCAGUCCUUCAAUUACACUCUGAGAGUAGCAUUUCCUCACCCAUAUAUCUCACAAGAGAUCCACUGCAUCAGCCACUAAUAUUACUUGGGACUCACUGCAUCAAUCCAUCUGAGAGUUUUAUUUUAGUACUUGACGAAAUCUGAACAGAAAACAUCCUAGUUAGAUUGCUAAGGAAUUGAAAUAUGACUAAAACUGAGAGUUUUAUUUUUGGUCGAUAAUUGAAAUUCGACAAAACUAAGGUUCAUGGAGAUAUAUAUUUUUUAUAUUGUUUCUCUUGUCUCGAGAUAGUAAAUAAAGUUAUCUUGAUACAGAAAACAAUGAGAAAAAAAUAUUGUUUAUUGUAUGAAAGCUUCUAAUUAGAGAAUAAGUAAAAUAGUUUUUGUGUAUAAAACAUGAUUCGAGAAUCAUGAAAAAGCAUGAAUUCAAAUUAAAUGAACAUAAUGAAAAACCUAAAUCAUGAUUAAAUAUUGAAUUAGAUCAUGUGUAGAUAAUUUGUUAAAAACUGAUCCAUCGGUAGAAGGAUGCAUCUUUAUAUAUAUAUAUAUAUAACUUAUUUUUUUAAAAAAAUAGAAAAGGUUGAAAAAAUAGAUAGGAUGAAAAAAUUGACAAGAAAAGGAAGUUUUUUUAAAAAAUAAAAGAUUAUUAAAUUAAAUAUAGUCAAUAGUGCUGAUAAAAAAGUAUUUAAUUAUUUUUAUACUAUAAAAAAUAAUUAAUUUAUCUAGAUAAAUCAUAAUGAUUAAAUUUUAAUUAAAUCUAUAAAAAUAAUCAAAAUAAAUAAACAAGUUUACGUGUCUUUAACUGUAGUUAUAAAACCAGUAUAAUAAGUUAACUUGGUAAUGGUGGAUUUGAAGCUUAAUUUAUGCUGGUUUUAAUUUCGAUUUUUUUUUUAUCUAAACAAUGACCCGUCAAUCAAUGAAUUAGCCUGCCCAACCUGCCGGGUCCACCCGAGUUUGGUAGUAUAACUAUCGUCUUGACCUGGAAUUUCCAUAAGCAGAAGGUAUAUAUAUAUAUAGCUAGCGACGAUCUCUAUAGCCAAAAAAAAUUGGCCAGAGAGAGAAAUCAGACCAAAGCAACCUUUUGCACAUUAACGUUAUCAGACAAAACAUGGCAGAAGACAAGCAAGAAACAGAGAAAACAUUCGCUGAUUUAGGUUUAUGUAAAGAACUAGUAGAAGCAUGUGAAAAUCUAGGAUGGAAAAAGCCAACAAAGAUACAAGAAGAAGCAAUACCUUAUGCACUUCAAGGCAAAGACUUGAUUGGUGUAGCAGCUACAGGUUCAGGCAAGACUGGAGCUUUUGUGCUUCCAACACUGGAAGCACUUUUGAAAGAUUCACAAGAGAGAAAAUCUGUGCAACCCUUCUUUGUUUGUGUUCUUUCUCCUACAAGGUUGGCUUUUUUUUGUUGGUUUUCUUUGAAUUCGAACCCAGAUGAUUUUUUCUUGUUUAUUAUAUGUUUAACGUCAGGUUUUUUUUAUUGAAUUAUUUGAAUGUGAAAAACCCAGAUGCUUUGUUCAUGUGUAUUUAGUGUUUUAAGCUUUAAAGUUUGUAUUUUUUUUUGCUAUGUAGUAUAUAUUUUUCAACUGGGUUUUGUUUUGCUCUUGUUCAAAGGGAGUUGGCAAUUCAGAUUGCUGAGCAGUUUGAAGCUUUGGGAUCUGGCAUUGGUGUGAGAUGUGUAGUGGUAAGUUUUAAGGUUGCCCCUUUAUUUCUUUUUGUUUUUUCGUUAGAUAGACAGGAAGUAAAUUGAGAGUUUUAUUUUGUGAUUAUCUGUUCACUUCCAUCACAAAUUUAUUAUAGACAUUUGGGUUGGUACAUAAGUACAUUAAUAAAAACAAAUCUUGAUUUGCUGAUAGAAUAUUUUAGCUUCAAAUUAAAGACUCAGGUCAUGUAGUUAUGUGCUAAGCACAAAAUUGAGCUGUGCUAUUUAAUUAUAUAAUUCACAAAAUUGGCUUUAAGCAUUGAAGGUGAGUAGUUUUGAAAUCAUGCCUGGCAGCAGGACUAAUUCUGAUAAGGAAAUGAUUUGCGACUGGGUAGAAGUUAUGUAGGUGGUUUUUUUGUGUGGAGUAAAUGAUGGUGAAAUGUUAAAGUUCAAUGUUUAAUAAAGAAGUAUUGGAGUUAGUAGAAAAAAGAAGGUUAUGGUUUGAAUCACUUUGAAGGGUAGAUUCUGAAGAUUGAACUGUAUCAUAUAGUUUUCCAAUCAAUCUUGUUAUUUUUUUCCCAAAAUUAUGUGAAUGAUAAUCCUUGUUGUUCUUUUGAAAUAGCUUGUUGGAGGAGAGGAUAUGUUGCAGCAAUCUAUUGUCCUUGCAAAAAAGCGGCCACACGUUAUUGUAAGAGUUUCAUUUACUAGUAUGAUACUUUGAGCUUCCUAUGACAUACAGAGAGGAUAUAACUGUUUGGUUAUGUUAUUCGAUGUGGUCUUUGCAUCUUUCUAUCAUAAUCUGAUAAGUCAUAGAGCAUAUCUUUGCUUGUUGGCUCCCACUUUCUCAUUGUAUAGGCGCGUGGGGUGGGAUUGGUGCCUAAUGUAUGAACAAGAUUGUUAUAUUCAAUUUUGGUUGGAAUUAUUCUAAGUGGAAAUUUCAACUUAAAGGUGCUUGCAAGAGUAGGAAGGAGAUUUAUGUGGAUAUACAUUAGAACUACUCCAUGUUUUCAGUUGUAGGAAGCUCUCAAUUUAUCUCGGUUUGUUAUUUCUUUGUAGGUUGGAACACCUGGUCGCCUUGCGGAUCAUUUGUCAAACACAAAAGGCUUCUCUCUUCAUGCAUUGAAAUAUUUAGUACGUCACAUUUUAUCCUUGGGCCUAGAACCUCCUUUUUUUGUUUUUAAAAUUGUUCAUGUUGCUUUAUUAUUUGUGCUGUAAACAGAUCUUGGAUGAAGCAGACAGAUUACUGAGUAUGGAUUUUGAGAAAUCACUGGAUGAAAUUUUAAAGGCCAUUCCAAGGAAUAGAAGAACCUAUUUAUUUUCUGCCACUAUGACAAAUAAGGCAGGUGUCAUAUACAUUGAGAUUGCCAGAGUUUUCUUCUUGUUUUUCUUUCUUUCUUCAUGUAUUUUUUUGAUGAAUAUGCUGGAGUCUUCUUGAUUCCAAUGUUCAUGUUGCUGUGGUUGCUAUGGAGCAUAAAACAAAUCAUUGCAAAAUCAAUUGCUGAUAAGAACUUAAUUUUUCUGCAAUUUUUAUCUAUUCAAAGCUGAUUAAAAUAGUUUGUCAUAGCUAAUUUCCCGAAUUGGCUCACUAACAUGAGUAGGAAAUGGAAGCUAAAAUAUAAAAUGUUUCAAAAUAUCACAUCAUCGUUUCUUUUGUUGUGGCUGAUUGUAUCUGUUUUUGGCCUUGUGGUUCUUCCAAUUACAAAGUUCAUAAGGUUUGCAAUAAAGUGAAAUUAGAACAAAUGCAACGAGCUUGAUAUAAUAAAAUCCAAAAUAUUUUUUGUGUUGACAAUUGAAAUAUUUUCUGUACAUCCUAAUGGAGGGAAAUGAGAUAGGGUUGAAAGUUUGAUCAAGUUCUUAUCUUGGUUUUGCAGGUGAAGAAACUCCAAAGGGCUUGUUUAAGGAAUCCUGUAAAGGUGCAAUGGAACAACUUUCAUGCAUCUAUCACUUUCCUCUUCUAAUUGUUUUCCUCACAAGCCAGAACUUCAAUUUUCCAGAUCGAAGCAGCAUUUAAAUAUUCCAUUGUUGACACACUGGAGCAGGGGUUUUACUUCAUGCCAGCUGCGCUCAAGGUUUCUUCCUUUUCCAUUGUUGCAUUGCUUCACACAUAUUCUUCCUUUUUUACAUAUAUGAUGUAUUCCACAAGCCCAUUUGAAAUUCUCUGUCAUCUGCUGCGUAUCCAAAUACACAUCAAGAAUACUGAAGUUCUGGUUACAAGGAACUUGUUGUCUGCAAUAUCAGAUGUUUCAUUGUUUCCUGGUUUUCAUAGCUGAUUUGAUUUUGUAUGCCUGCAACAAUUUUUUUCUAAUUUUAAGAUUGGAACGCUUGGAAGAACUUAAAGAAUAAAAGGGAUUAUAUUUGGUGCUGACCACCAAAUACCUUGAGAAGGCAUGAGUACUUGAGAGUUUGUGCAUGGUUCACAGUGAGCCAUGCAUCUGGUGGUGUUUGAAGAUGUUAGUCGUGGAAUUAUUCAUGAGACUGCAGCAUUUUAUACCCCAAUGGAAGCUUAGUGAAGCAAAAACGGCUUCCAUUCUUUUACUCUAUAAUUAAUCUCUCUCUUAGGUUCGUUUCAUUUUGUAUGCUUGCUGCAGGAUUGCUAUCUUGUACAUGUACUAUCAUCAAAGAAAGGAGCUACUUCCAUGGUUUUCACUCGGACAUGCAGAGAAACUGACUUUUUGGCUUUGGUUCUUCGAAAGCUUGGUCUAGGGGCCAUCCCCAUUAAUGGUCAAAUGAGCCAGGUGUGCCUUAAAUAAUCGAAAUAUAUGCAUUUUUUUCUCUCUCCAUCUAUUCACGUUUCUUCUCCUCUUCCCAUUUUUGUUACCUAAAUGUUCUUGUGAUUAUAAAUCAGCCCUCACUUUGUUAGAACAAUGUUUUCUAUAGUCAAACAGACUUGGAGCGUUAAAUAAGUUCAAAGCUGGCGAGUUCAAUAUUCUGAUAUGCACUGAUGUCGCAAGUAGAGGACUCGAUAUUCUAUCUGUGGAUGUUGUUGUUAAUUAUAAUAUCCCCACAAACGCCAAGGUUUGCCUUCUAAUUUUCCAGCACUCUCACUCAUACUUGAGUACACCAUGUUUAAGGUCUUGUUUCUGAUCUAUCUUCAGUCAUAAUUAUUGUGGAGCUUUGAAUUGCAUUUGGUUGUUUCCCUUUUUCCAUUCAUGAUAUUUCCCUGCAUUGUCAUCACUUUUCUGCAACACGCGCUAUUAUUUUCAGCAAAUUUCGAGUUUGAAUUUGUCACCGCAAUCUUGGAAUCUUGCAUCCAAACAUUCACAUCUACAUGACAAACACAAUAAUUCCUUUAGAUGAUGAAUGACUAGAUGGAGUUGUUCGUGGAGCAUUUUGCAUUUAUUUACAAUCUCCUCUUUUCUAAUUUGUUUACAGGAUUAUUUUCAUCGUGUUGGUCGAACUGCUCGUGCAGGACGAUCAGGGCUUGCAAUCUCACUUGUAAAUCAAUUCGAUAUAGGACCAUUUAAACAGAUAGAGAAGCACAUUGGAGGUUAGACUUAGACAUGCUGUUUUUUUGUUAGGAGCCACAAGGAGUAUUUUUGGAAAAAAAUGUGCUUACCCAUACACUAAACAGUUCGCUAUGCUUUCAGAUGAUUUCAAGAUACCUAAGUAUACGGCAAAUGAAGAUGAAGUCUUGCUAUUGGCAGAGCGUGUUACAGAAGCCAAAAGAAUUUCCAGAAAGGUAUUCCCUUAAUUUUUCCAUCAUAAUUGAUAGGACUAAGUGUAGUGAAAUAAUGAUAUUGUUUUUAUUACAAUCUCAUUCGAGUGUUUCUUGAUUGAUGUUGCUGUUGUAUGCUGAACUUCUAUAGAGCAUCCAAGAGGGUGGAGGCAACAAGAGAACAGACCGACUAGACGACGAAGAUGAGGAGGAUAUAGAGAAGUAUUUAGGCAUCAAGAACAAGAAGUUGAGGAGAAAAUGAGACCAGCAAGCAACUCUUCUGUCUGAAUGUUUCACCAUCUGAGGAUUCUUCCUCAAGAGAUUUUUGUAGCAUAACAAACACUACUCUGAUCAUCCAGUAAGGGGAUGUGAGAUUAGUAGAUUGCUAGUUUACUACUUGUUUUGGCAAAGUUAAAUUAUAGGUUUUAUGAUAUUAAUUAUUUUUCAUAUGAUAAAAUCUUAUAAUAUUAAAUUUUAUCCCAUACUCUUAACACGUGCAUGAGCCAUGAAGAUCAAAAUAUUGUUUGAGAAUUACAGUAUAUGAAAAGCCAAAUCAUGGAAGAACAAAAAAUGCCAAAUUAUUGGAAAAUGUCGUUUUCUAUUUUUUUAGCUAAUUUUACAUCCAACAAUAUUAUUAACCUUAAAAACACUCUAAAUUAUUUUGAUAGUAUUAAUCCUAAACUAAUUUUUGUAUCAAUUUUACUAUCCGGCUAUUUUGAUUUUUCAAUAAAGAUCUCUGUUGGCAUCAUUUUAUAAAAAAAUAUUGAUUUUUGUACAAAAUAAUAUCAUUUCUUACUUAAAUAAGUAAAAUUAAUUGAGUAUUUUUAAAAAUUUUAAAAUAAAAUUAAUACAAAUAAUUAUUUGAUGGUAAAGUCCAAGAUGAGUUGAAUGGUAUUUUUGAGAUUUGUGAAAAAGAAAGAACUCAUUAUAUUAUAAUGGGCUGGACUUCCUUCUAAAUGAUAAUUUUCAACCCAGUCCACCAAUUCAAAAUUAUGAAAACGACACGUCAUUCCAAGCUGCAGAAGGCUGUGAAACGACGUGUCGUUUUGUCUCGGCUUAGCAAAACACUCUUCAAGCAGCAGCAAGCAGCAGUCCAGUCUCGAAACUGGAAACAUUUUGGGUUCUUUUCAAGAUCACCAAAUCAAAGGUAAGUUGUUUUCUUGAAAACCCUUUUGUUAUUUUUAUCCAAGUGUUUUUUUAAGGAUUAAAGUUUUGGUUCUUAGAUGUUUUAGAGCUUCAAAUUUGCUUAUUUUUAUCAUGAAAUGUUCUUUUUAUUGGUUAAAGUUCUAAUUUUUAGAUGUAUUAGAGCUUGGAAUUUGCUUAAAUCUUGCAUAAACUAAGCUAGUAUUUUGAUAUUCAAUGUGCAUAAACAGUGAGGGAAGAAAAGAUUGUGAAAAACAAGAGAGUAAAGGAAGAUAAUAUGGGGACUGAAGAAAGUGGCGGUGUUUCAAAGAGGCAGAGAUUGGAUGAGCAGUCUUCAGCUUCUGGUAUUGAAAACCCACUUGUGCCUUACAAUGAUGUGGAUGAUGAAGAGGAGGAUUUUGAAAGAGGGAGAACGGCUAAUGGUGGUGGAAGGGUGGAGGAGAAUAGGGGACAAGUUGUUGCAGCAGAGAAUGGUGAGGAGGAGGAGGAGGAGGAGGAGGAGGAUUUGUAUGGAGAAGAGAAUAGUUUGGAGAAGAGGAAGAGUCAAUUUGAGCCUCGUGAGGAUUGCCCGUAUUUAGAUACUGUUAAUCGACAGGUAAAGAUUGCAUCUUUUUUGGAUAAUUUAUGUAGGUUUUGGGUUUAUAAAUUGUUAAAUGUGUUAAGUAUUGGCGGUUUUGGAUAUGAUAAUAUGGAUUUUUGUUUAAAUAAGGUUAUCUGUAUAUUGUUGUGCAAAAAUGCGUUAAGGAUAUGUUUUCUUGGGGUGUUUUGUGUUUUUGUACUUAAAUGUGUGGAAGGAUGCGCUUUACUAGAUAAUUUGUGUAGUUAUUUGUAUGUUUGUAGGUAUAAGUGUGUUAAAGGAUUCAUUUUUCUGGGUUGUAUAUGUGAGUUUUUGUGUGUAAUUAUGUGCACAUAAAUGUGUUAAAGGCUUCAUUUUUUUGGGCUAUAUAUCCGGGUACAUUUUUGUGUAGUUAUGUAGAUAUGUGUGUACAUGAAUAAGUACAGUAAACAUUAUUUUGGAGAAUAUAUCAGGAUUGUGGUUUAUAUAUGUCUGUGUUUGUGUGCUUAAAAUAUGUUUUUGAUUAUUGUUUUUUGGGGGUUUGCAGGUCUUGGACUUUGAUUUUGAGAAAUUUUGCUCUGUUUCCCUGUCAAAUUUGAAUGUGUAUGCAUGUUUGGUUUGUGGGAAGUAUUACCAAGGAAGAGGGAAGAAAUCCCAUGCUUAUACUCAUAGUCUUGAGGCAGGACACCAUGUCUACGUCAAUCUUAGGACAGAGAAGGUUUAUUGUCUUCCUGAUGGAUAUGAGAUUAUUGAUCCAUCACUAGAUGAUAUACGACAUGUUCUCAAUCCAAGGUCUUUCUCCCCCUCUCUCCGUGGUGCAUUAUACUUUUCCUGUGGGCAUGGGGUUCCUGUUAGUAUUCUUUCUUAGAGUUCCUGACCAUUUAGUUGAGAUGUUAACAGGGGAUGGUUAUCUGUGGUGUUAUUGGUUGCAUUUUCUUUUUAACUCACUUCAUAUGUUUACCAACUUCCAAGAACUUUGCAUCAUCCAUGCAGGUUUACUAGGGAUCAAGUCAAACAGCUUGACAAAAACAGGCAAUGGUCCAGGGCACUUGAUGGGUCUGAUUACCUUCCUGGAAUGGUAACCAUCUGUCCUCUUACUUGAUCACCAAUUCAUCAUACUCAUCACUGAAUUAUUGCUCAUGAUACAACUUCCUUGUGUAAUAAGAUGCAGAUUGGUCCUGCUUAUUCAUGUAAAAGAUGCAUAUUUUGAACAUUUUAACAUUGUUUACUAUCUUGCUUGAUUUUGAUCAUCAGGUGGGUCUGAAUAACAUCAAGGAAACUGAUUUUGUAAAUGUCACAAUUCAGUCGCUAAUGAGAGUUACACCCUUAAGGAAUUUCUUCCUCAUCCCUGAAAACUAUCAGCAUUGCAAGUCUCCUCUUGUUCAACGCUAUGGAGAACUCACUCGUAAAAUAUGGCAUGCUCGGAACUUUAAAGGACAGGUUUGAUCCUUUGAUUACUUCUCUGAAGUCAUGGUUUUCCAAUGUUUAAGUUUUGUUUCCUCAUUUUAUUUGCUCAUCUAUUCUCUUGGGACUUUUCAGGUGAGCCCACAUGAGUUUCUCCAGGCUGUAAUGAAAGCUAGUAAGAAACGGUUUCGCAUUGGUCAACAGUCUGAUCCAGUGGAAUUCAUGGCAUGGCUUCUUAAUACAUUGCACACAAAUCUUAGAACUUUAAAGAAAAAUAACAGUAUCAUUUAUGAGUGCUUUCAGGUGCUUUUUUACUUUUCCAAUGCUCUUCAGUUCGUUUCAAGUUUGCUGGUUGAUAUUAUUAUCUCAGUGGUGCUGGUCUAAUACUUCUUUUCCUGUUAGGGUGAGUUGGAGGUUGUGAAAGAGAUUCCUAACAAAGCUAUCACUGAGAAGAAAGAAAAUGGUAAUGACCAGAUUGAUGGUGGAGCUGGUCAUGAUAUUUUCACAGAAACGUCUAGAAUGCCAUUCUUGAUGCUUGGACUGGAUUUGCCACCACCUCCUCUGUUUAAAGAUGUGAUGGAGAAAAAUAUAAUACCUCAGGUAUUUAUGCAUUAUGUUUUAGCUAGGUUGGAAAUAUUAUUAUUAUGUCUGCUGUAUAGUGCCAAUAGGCUCUCUAUCUGAGCUAGAUGGUAUCAUCCUGCACUAUUGUUUGUGUUAUAGAGAUCCUAGUUAUACGCAUCAAAUCAUGUUUAAUUCUCAUUCCAAAUGAAAGGUUUCAAAAGACAUGCUUGGUUAGAUCCCUAGGAGCGAAUGUAGAUGUCACUGCUUUGGUAUAGAACAUUUAGUUGAUUCUUUUUGUCAGAUCUUUAAAUAAGUCAAAUUCUCAGCUUAAUAAGCUUAUGCCUCCAUUAUUCCUGGGCAAUCAAGGUUAAUUACUGACCAUGGAAGAUAGAACAUAGUCCAGUUUCUCUUCUUCUUCUUCUCUUUUUUCUCUCACUUCUUAUUCAUCUAUUGAGAGGAAGUGUUAAUUUUUGCAUCUGUUUCAACUCCUAGUUUAGUGCUUUUGUUGUUUGCCAUACAAGUCUAUAUUUUGCUCAAAUGGUUAAAUUAAAACCUUAUUGACCUGGAAUUUAGAUGAAAGCUGAAUCAACUUAAGUAUCCUAGUUUGGGUUUUCAGCUAUCAGUAUUUGCAUGUGAUGAUCAGAUGUGACCCAGAAACACUGGCUGUGUACUUUUGAGCUUAUUAUGUUGGGAUUUUUUUUCUCUACAAUAGGGUAGCGAGGUUUUGGCUUGAUCCAUGGGUGGAAAAUGAAGGCUUUCCUUGGGUAAAUUCUACUCAUUCCCUUUCUUGGUGGAUACUUAUUUUACAUGUGCUAUUGUUUCAGGUUCCUCUGUUCAAUAUACUGAAGAAAUUUGAUGGUGAGAGUGUGACUGAAGUUGUUCGUCCUCGUGUUGCCCGGAUGAAAUAUCGCGUCAUCAGAUUGCCACAGUAUUUAAUACUACAUAUGCAGCGGUUUAAAAAGAACAACUUUUUCAUCGAGAAGAAUCCCACCUUGGGUAAGGCUUGACACUAACAGUGGAUUUUACUUGGAACUUUGUUUGGUUUUGAGCUAUCCUGUGCUAAUUGUUUCUAUGAUUACAGUCAACUUUCCUGUGAAGAACUUGGAGUUGAAAGAUUUUAUUCCUUUGCCAAUGCCUAAAGAAAAUGAGAGAUUGCGCUCGAAGUAUGAUUUGAUUGCCGAUAUUGUCCAUGAUGGAAAGCCUAAUGAGGGUUUCUACAGGGUUUUUGUGCAGCGAAAGUCAGAAGAGCUAUGGUAAUUCAAUUUCUAAUCCACUUGUAUGGUUGUGAAUGAAACUUAUAAUUACAUAUCUGAUAAUCAAUGUUUUGCAGGUAUGAGAUGCAGGAUCUGCAUGUUUCUGAGACCCUUCCUCAAAUGGUUGCUCUCUCUGAGGCAUACCUGCAGAUAUAUGAGCAGCAGCAGUAGCACUGGAGUUUAGAAGUCCUAUUGUCAACAUGUUGUCAUACUGUUUUUGGGUACAAGUAACACAUGAGUCUUACCUUCUGUAAAUGGUUGAGGAAAAAUCAGAAUACGAUGGCACCAUUGCUUGACUGGCACUUAGCAGAUUUACUAAGCUUAGAAAAACAUUGAGGUUUUGUAGAAAAAAAGGCAGUACUUUGUCUGUUUCAUAUCAUUAAAAGGAUGAACAGUUUUGUUACUGAAAAACUAUCCAUCUAUUGUAGCAGAGCAGGAAACUUAAAUAAUUCGGUGAUGAUUGACUUGGGUGAUUCAGAUAGUGACUUAGGUUUGGUUGUCCUGCAUUGUGUACAACUUUGAUCUGUAGGGAUAAAAAAUGAUAUGCUAGGCUUUGGUUUGUUCAUUGUUACCUAGUUCUCAUGGCAGUAAUGUCACGAAAAGCAGUACUCGUAGGCUUCUCUUGUUUUAUUGUCGAUCACUUCAUUGCCUGGAUUUCUUUCUGCUAGUAUUUUUCUUACAGUGAUGUGGUGGAUAGUAUUCUGUUUCGAAUUGUUGUGAUUUUUUGAAGUGCAGCAGUUUUUACUUGAAAAAAGUGUUAAUGCACCCAUCCACGCACGCACGCAGAGACAGAGACAGCCUGAAUUGAAGGUAUGUAUGCCUCCUUUCAAGUACACACAGCCCUGCAUAAAUGGUAUAUGUGCCUGCUUUCAAAUAAAGUAGUCCAGCAGACGGGGAAGCCCUAGCAUUGAAUGGAGUGCUCAAUGAUGGAGAUUGCAAGCAAUGCCCUCGGUAGGGAAGUCACUGAAUGGAGGCCACAAUCAAACCAUCAAUCUACAACCCCACCUUGCGUAGAGUAGACUCCUCGGUCAGGUAUUAUAAUUAUAGUUAUGUGUGAACUGUAAAAUAGAAAGAAAUGACAAGUUGAUCUCUCUUGAGAGAAAAGGAAGAUGAAUUGCCUACGGUAGUGAAGAAUUCAUGCCUACUUAGUUGUGGAUUUUCAUGACUAAAUUACAGGGAUUGUCUAACAGAGUUAUUUAUCGAUCAAUAAGACAUGGUUAAGUCUAAGAAGAGGCUUGGGUUGAACAGAGUGCUCAGUCUGACAAAAAAAACCCAUAAUUGUUUAUAUAUUCAUUUAAUCACUCCCAAAUUUAGUUAGGAAAUUACAAAGAUUGAGACCCAAAACGCCUUUAAAUUAGGCUAAGAAGGAGAUCAUCAAGUUGGUUUUGUUUUUAUUAUUAUUAUUAUUUUGGAUUUUUUAGUUUGGUUAGAACUUUUAUUGCUUGGUAUUUUAUGAUUAGGACUUUUAGUUUCAUUUCCUGUUUACGUCAAUUUUUUAGAUUUAUUUAAAUAAUUAUAAAUAUAUUAAAAGAUACAAACUAUUGAAGACAAAAUAUGCAGUAAUAAAUUUUUAAAUUAAAAUUUUUAUGUCGUUAUUCUACAAAAUUUAACGGGUUUGUGUUUCAUGUUUAUUAUUUUAUUAUUAUUAUUAUUAUUAUUAUUAUCCCCCGCAUCACUUACUUCCAAAUGAUGGUGUGAUAGCUGAAGCCAAUCAGUGAUGAUCUAGUGGUGGAGGAAGCAAAUAUCACUUGCUUUUGUGUGGGGUCAAGAACAAGAUGCAUAUCCCCUCGCACGUCACUACACAUGUAAGCAAGUUGGCAUUAGUUGGUGUGAUAGAUUUUAAUGCUAUAAAAUAAAAGGAAGAAAAGAAAAAAAAAGGUACGGUCAUUCCAUAACAAGACCCCAACUUUAACCAAGUUCAUCAGAACUAAUGUUGGAUAGGAAAUAGAUCACUGCAACAUGACCAAAUUGAACAAACUAUAUAUAUGAUAAAGACUUUAACUUAAUUUAAUUUGAGUAAUGAAAUUAAGCCACAGUCGGGAUCGAUGAUCAUUGAUGGAAUCAACAUGGUAGAAAGGCCUAAGCUCUUCAAGGUUUGCUUCCUAACCAUUGAUCAAUCAAGUUUCCAAAAGCAACAUGCGAAGAUCCACCCUCCAUCACAGCUUUCUUCGCCAUUUCACUGGUUUCUUUGGCCUUGUUCCUAAGUUCACCACCUUGUUCCAUCAUGGUUUUCACAGCUUUUGUUAUCUCCUCCGCCUUCACAAAAUCUGUAGGACAAUCUCUCCUAAAAUCCAACGUCAAUUCCACUGCUAAUCCCAAGUCUUUCACCAGCUGAAAUGCAUUCAUGUGUUGCUCAGCAUAUAAUGGCCAAGUUAUAAUAGGCACAGCAUACCACAAGGCCUCCAAAGUUGAGUUCCAUCCACAGUGUGAUACGAAAGCGCCUACUGCUUUAUGUGCCAAGAUUUGUACUUGUGGUGCCCAUCCACAUAGCAUCCCAAUGUUUUUAGUUCUUUCCAAGAAUCCCUGUGGCAAGAUCUCUCCAUAGUUGUCAAAAAAACUAGCUUGCAGCUUCCCCUUGGAGGGUUUCAACCGAAUGGACCAUAAGAACCUAUGUCCAAUCCUCUCGAGCCCGAUUGCAAUUUCUUUCAACUGAGCUUCAUCAAAGCCUCCUCCACUCCCGAAGCACAAGAACACCACUGAUUUUUCAGGUUGAUCAUCAAGCCAUUUCAAGAUCUCGUCACGCUUGACGGCAUCAGAUCCUGACAGACUCUUUCCCUUGUGAUCAAUCAAUGGCCCAACAUUGAAAAUAGGUGGUAUAUCAUCUCUAGCCAAAAGAGCACUAACUGCAUGGGACUCAGCUUCUGAAAAUGUAUUAACAAUGAUACCGUUGGAGUCCUUAAACUCUCUUCCAUGGUUUGCCAAAGCCUCAUAUUCCACAUCGGUGUGCAAUACCGGCAUAACACGGUAAGGCACGGGAUUUGAAUAACAGGGGAUGAUAUAGUCAGGGUCAGUAGGGCUAAACUUAGGCUCACCCUUGUCUUCUCUAUCUGAAAGGUAAAGCGUCAUGGCAAGAAAGGCAGCAUCAGAAGUGAAAAAAACAUGAGAAGGGACACCAAGUUCUUUUGCAACAUCAAUAAAUACAGUGCAAAACAUAUCAACAACAACACUAGCAAUUGGUGCAGGGUUGUGGGCCAUGACUAGGUUAACAAUAGUAUCUUUCACAAGGGUUUUGUGAUCAUUGAUGUAAGAAGUAAAAGCACUUGCAGGGCUUACAGCUAAAGCUUCUGGAGGAGGUGUAGGUAUGGUAUCAGGAAUUUCGACGAACCUGAUUUCUGUAUGAAUUGAAGCAAGCGAUUCGGUGUUCUUGCUUAUGCCACCGUAAAAUGGAUUGUUGAUGGCAAGCAUGGUUAUCAAGAAACUGUCGUUUCUCUCAAGAACCAUCUUUGCUAACUGAACAGCUGCUACAAGGUGGCCAAAUCCAGGUGCAGGGACAAAGACUAGCUGUGUUUUCUUCAUUUUGGAGGUUUUGAAUGUUCAAUAUGGUGAUCCUUGUUUGCUUUAUAAGGGGCUCAAGGUCAAUGCCACAAUGCCAGCUGUUAUGAUUUUUUUUUUCUCUAAAUUAAUCAUCAAAUUGGAUAUGACAAUUAUUAUUACAAAGAUUGAUUUCAUAGAAAAAUUUUCCUGUAAUAUUUUUAAACAAUUCAAAUUAAAUAAAAGAAAAGAAAGCUAGGUUUCAUUUUAUUUUGAAGUUAUAUUUUUAAUAUAUAUAUAUAUAUAUAUAUAUAUAUAUAUAAACUAAACUAAACUAAAAAUAUUAUUUUAUUUUUAAUAAAUAAAAUUAAAUAAAUAUAUUUGUUUAACAACAUUCAUCUAUCCCAUAAGAUAUCAUUUAUCUUUAUUACAAAAAAUUAUAGAUGAUUUACUAGAAUGAUUUAAUUAAGUAUAACUUGAUUAAAAUAUAUAAUAGAAAUUAAGGAUUAGAAUAUAAUUAAUACAAGGAUUAUAUUUCUAUAUCUAGAAAAAUCAAGUAAGGAUUUAAUUGAUUAUAUUUUUAAAAUUACCCUUACAUAAUAUAUGGAUAUUUUUAAAAUUAUCUUUACAUAAUAUAUGGAUAUUAUUUAAAGGCAAAUAUAUAUAUAUAAUCAUUUAUACGGUUUUGAGAUUUUCUAUAAUUAUAAAGUUAAGCCUAUUAUUUUGUAAGUAAAAAAAUAAUGAUUGUCUAUUUUAUAAAAAAACUACGUAAAAACAAUAUUAGAGCUAGCACUCUAGGCAUAACAAUCUCUCUUUUCUAAAUAGAGAUUUAAGAGAUUUCUCACGGGUAGUUUGUAUGGAUUAUCAUUAGAGACCGAAUAAUUUAACGAUUUGUGGUUUGCGACAACCCAACUUUUAAAGAAUAAUUUAAAAUAAAUAAAUUAAAUAUUCAAAUAAUAAAUCUUUAAAUAAUUUUAAAUCUAAUCUACAUGAUAUAAGAACAACUUAAUAUAUUCAAUCAUGCGAAUUCUUUGUAGUUUUUAAUGUAUCAAAAUGGAUUUAAUAAUACCUUACUAUUAAAAAGAAGAAGAAGUCAACAACAAUGAUUGAUUGUGAUUGCAUUUAAUAGCUAGACAGUUACAUGGCUAGAAAGAAUCCAAAGAUAAUAUAUAAUAAAUGGCAAUUUCGUAGGAAUUGCUGAAGUGUUAAAUUGUGGAUGAAGUUUUUGAUGAAUUUUUAUUUUAUUCUAUUGUACUUUUCAUCAUUGGUAGUUAUUUAUGAAAAUAUUAUAUCACUAUUUAUAUCAAAAUUAUUGACGCAAAAAUUCUAUCACUGUUAUCUUCUAAAAUUAUUGAUGAAAAAUUUAUCAUUGACAUUUCUGAUUUUAUUUAUUAAUUUUCUGGUAAUAAUAAUAAUCUUAUGCUCAGAUUUAUAAUUUUAUAAUUUAAAAAAUAGAAUUGAUAUCUGAAACUUAAAAGAAGAUUAAACCUUUCAUUUUUUAAUUAUAUGAAGUAUUGAUAAUACAACUAAUCAAACAUAAACUAACAAUCAUUUAAACAAAAUUUAAGAAUUUAUGGUAGAAUUGCAUAAAUUAAUUUUAAAAAUUACUUUUUAUAAAUUUUUAUCAAGUAAUUCUACAAUCAAUUCCUAAAGCCUAACAAUCAUUUAAACAAAAUUUAAAAAUUGAGGAUAGAAUUACUUAAUUGGUAAAAAAUUAUGAAAAUAAGCGAACUUUGCUAAAAUCAUGUAUAUUCAUCCUUAUGAUUAAAUGACAUUUAAAUGUCUAAAGUAAAGAAUACCUUCAUCUAGCCAAAACAAAAUUCAGGGAUCUUCUACAAUGAAGACGCUAUCGUUUCAUGCACACAUCAUAUAUAAACGAGAAAUUCAAAUCAACAUAAUAUAUAUAUAUAUAUAUAUAUAUAUAUAUAUAUAUAUAUAUAUAUAUAUAUAUAUAUAUAUGUCCAACUAUUCUAAUGGCACUAAUUUUCAACUACUAAUGAAAAAAAAUAUUAAAAAGUAAUUUUUUAUAUUUUUUAAAUUAAUUUAGAUAUUAAUUAAAAUAAAGUAUACAAUAUUAAGAUUAUUCAAAAUGUUAGUCUCACUUCAUGCAUAAACUAAUAUGAGCUUAUCUUUUAAUGUAUCAUGAAUGAUUUUAUUUUAUUGGUGUGGGUUUUUUUUAUAUAAUUCUGGAUAUUUUAACUACUUUAUGUGUAACUCAAUUAAGUUUUUAAAAUUCUAAAUUUUACAACCAUGUAAUGUGUAUUGAUGGGGCAGGCAGGGAGGUGACUGUUUCUGGAGGGACGGGUGCUUGUAAAUUGGAUAGUGAGGGGUCGACAAGCCAUGGCCAUAAGCAAAAAGAUAAAGGACGAGGAGGGAGAAAAAAAAAUUGUGCAUAAUUUGUGGAGCACGGUGGGACAGGGAUAAUAAUUUAAUAUGAGACUUUUGAAUAUUAACCGAAAACCUACUUCUUUAUUGAAUAUUCAAAAAAAAUAAACCAAAAUGAUACAUUUAUUUAUAUAUAUAUAAUAAAAAAAAACACACACACGGAUAUAUCCAUAUAAAUACCAAACAUUACCGGAAUUAAUAAUUUUAGAGACAAUAUUUUUUUUUUGUUAGUAUUUAUACCAACAAUCCAUUGGUAUAAAAUUUAUCGAUAAAUUUAUAAAAAGAAUUCAUUUGCUAGUAAAAAAAAAACACCAAUGUUUUUACAAAUAAAAAGUUUGUAUAAAAGAAAUCACUUGUUUUAAUACUUUAAUGGAAUUAUUUUGUUAGUGAUUGAUAAUGGUAUUUAUUGUAAUUUUAUUUCAAUUCUUUAUAAAAUAUUAAUGGAAUUAUUUUCAUUCAUGAUGUAAUAAUAUUGAAGUGACAUAUAAAGUAAAUUGUUCCCCUUACCUUUGGAAUAUAUUGAGUUACUACGGGUUGUGUCCAUUGAUACAUCCGUCUGCAAGAGUUAAAAAAAUGCCCUUUUCUUUUAGUACAAUUAUGUUUUUUGUUAGUUUUUAUUUUUCACAUUCUAACCCUGGCGCCAUUAGAAAAAGAUAUGUCUCCACCACAAAACUAGGCAAAAAUAUGACGGGGUGCCUUUAAGUUUGUAUUUCAUGGCUAUGAUCUAAAUCUGGUUUGCCAAAAACUUCGUGAGCAAAGUAAAAUUGGCGUAACAACUGAAUUUAGGCCAAGUUUCAAAUUUUUGUUUACUUUUCUGAAAGUUUUGAUUUAUGGUUUCCAAUUUUCCAAGUCAAAUUUAUGGUUGAUACAAACUAAGCAAGGUAAUUUAAGAAGUUUUUUGCAAAACACGAGAAGGGACCCCAAGUUCUUUUGCAACAUCAAUAAAGGCAGUGCAAAACAUAUCAACAACAACACUAGCAAUUGGUGCAGGGUUGGGGGCGCCAUGACUAGGUUAACAAUAGUAUCUUUCACAAGGGUUUUGUGAUCAUUGAUGUAAGAAGUAAAAGCACUUGCAGGGCUUACAGCUAAAGCUUCUGGAGGAGGUGUAGGUAUGGUAUCAGGAAUUUCGACGAACCUGAUUUCUGUAUGAAUUGAAGCAAGCGAUUCGGUGUUCUUGCUUAUGCCACCGUAAAAUGGAUUGUUGAUGGCAAGCAUUGUUAUUGAAGAAACAAAGAGAAAGAAGAAUCUUAUUUUCAUAUCAAUUCUGUUAGAGCAGCAUAGGUAUGUAUACAAUGGAUACGAUGGAUUUCUGUUACAGCAGAGAAAGAUGACUAUUAAUUCUCCUACAUUCAUGGUCAUAUCAGAAUCUGUCUCUAUUUACUACUAUCCUAUCAAUUGUAUACAGAGCAAUAGCAAUAUUGCAGUAGGGAGCAAGUUCUGCAACUGGUGUUGGAGUUAAACUAAAACUCUGCAAUUUGUUUUGGAGCCGGACUCUGCAAUGUGAUCUAUAGUAGGACUUUGCAAUCGUGUUAGAGUGAGAAUCUGUUGCUUUCCUUCAUUACUCCCCCUCAAGCUGGAUUAAGGGGGUUGAUUGAGUCAGGUUUGGAUAAUAGACGAUAGAAGUGAGCUGAAGUUAGAACCUUUAUAAAUACAUCAGCUAGUUGAUGGUGACUGUGGAUGUAACAUGGUUUGAUAAUCUGCGAUAGAAUUUAUUGACGAAUAAAAUGAUAAUCAACUUUAAUGUGUUUAGUUUUUUGGUGAAAUACAUAAUUAGUUGUAAUAUGCAUAGCAACUUGAUUAUCACAAAACAUAGUCAAUGGAAUAUUGCUAGAAAAUUCCAGAUCUGACAGAAAACCUUUAAGCCAAAUUAAUUCACAAGCUGCGAACAUCAUCACAUGAUAUUCAGCUUUAGCACUAGAACGUGCACCAACAUGUUGCUUUUACUACGCUAGGCGACUGAAUUACCACCAAUAAACAUGCAAAAACCAGUGGUUUCUUAACAUAGCUAUGCAACAGAUAACACUCUGUGAGAUCAAAACGUUUUAGAAACAUGCAUGUGUAUUAUUAAAGCUCUAGUUUUUUCUAAAAGUCUCUGUUUUUACAUUCAGCUAUUUUAUUUUGUUGAGGUGUGCCAACAUAGUUGGAAUAGACCCUUGGAUGGUGGUUUCUGAAUGGAUCAUAAGAACUUUUGCGCACUCUAUUCGAGCCCAUUUGUUAUGUCUUUUAAUUGAGGUUCACCAAAGUAUGUGGUUUGCUAACUUAACUGCUGACACAAGAUGACAAUUUUUUGCUGCAGGAAUUAACACUAGCUGUGGUUUCUUCAUUCCAAUAAUAACUGUAGGAAAAAGGUGAAUGUUAAGUUUGUCGGUAUAAGAUCCAAUCUAGUUUGACAGGUUAAUUUGAUGAUUCAUUUAUUCAAAAUUUAGCUUGAUAGGUUAACUUGGUGACCAGGUCAACACAAUGAUUCACUGACUCUGAGCUUGGCUUGGCUGAGUUAGCAAAAAAACCAAGUAUAUUUUAUUUACCAAAACAACGAUGUUGUUUAAGUUUUUUUUUUAAAAAAAAAAGCUUGGGAUGAAUUGAAUCAAACCAUCAAUCUACAGCCCCACCUUGCGUAGAGUAGACUCCUCAGUCAAGUAUUAUAAUUAUGGUUAUGUGUGAACUAUAAAAUAGAAAGAAAUGACAAGUUGAUCUCUCUUUAGAAAAAAGGAAGAUGAAUUGCCUACGGUAGUGAAGAAUUCAUGUCUAACUUAUAUAGCUGGGUUAGUUGUGGAUUUUUCAUGACUAAACUACGUGGAUUGUCUAACAGAGUUAUUUAUUGAUCAACAAGACAUGGCUAAGUUCAAGAAGAGGCUUGGGCUAAGUACAGUGCUCGGUUUGACAAAAAAAAUCCCAUAAUUCUUCAUAUAUUCUUUUAAUCACUCACAAAUUUAGUUAGGAAAUUCCAAAGAUUGAGACCCAAAAAUUCUUUAAAUUAGGCUUAGAAGGAGCUCAUCAAGUUAGAUUUGUUAUUUUUUAUUAUUAUUUUAAACUUUUUAGUUUGGUUAGAACUUUUAUUGCUUGGUAUUUUAUGAUUAGGACUUUUAGUUUCAUUUCUUGUUUACGUCAAUUUUUUAUAUUUAUUUAAAUAAUUAUAAAUAUAUUAAAAGAUACAAACUAUUGAAGAGAAAAUAUGCAGUAAUAAAUUUUUAAAUUAAAAUUUUUAUGUCGGUAUUCUACAAAAUUUAACGGGUUUGUGUUUCAUGUUUUUUUUUUUAUUAUUAUUAUUAUCCCCCGCAUCACUUACUUCCAAAUGAUGGUGUGAUAGCUGAAGCCAAUCAGUGAUGAUCUACUGGUGGAGGAAGCAAAUAUCACUUGCUUUUGUGUGGGGUGAAGAACAAGAUGCAUACCCCCUCGCACGUCACUACACAUGUAAGCAAGUUGGCAUUUGUUGGUGUGAUAGAUUUUAAUGCUAUAAAACAAAAGGAAGAAAAGAAAAGAAAAGGUGCGGUCAUUCCAUAAGGCCUCAACGUUAAUUAACUUCAUCAGAACUAAUUAAUGUUGGAUAGGAAAUAGAUCACUACAACAUGACCAAAUCAAACAAACUAUAUAUAUAUAUGAUAAUGACUUUAACUUAAUUUAAUUUGAGGAAUGAAAUUAAGCCACAGUAGGAAUUGAUGAUCAUUGAUGGAAUCAACAUGGUAGAUAAGGCUUAAGCUCUUCGAGGUUUGCUUCCUAACCAUUGAUCAAUCAAGUUUCCAAAAGCAACAUACGAAGAUCCACCCUCCAUCACAGCUUUCUUCGCCAUUUCACUGGUUUCUUUGGCCUUGUUCCUAAGUUCACCACCAUGUUCCAUCACGGUUUUCACAGCUUUUGUUAUCACCUCCGCCUUCACAAAAUCUGUAGGACAAUCUCUCCUAAAAUCCAACGUCAAUUCCACUGCUAAUCCCAAGUCUUUCACCAGCUGAAAUGCAUUCAUGUGUUGCUCAGCAUGCAAUGGCCAAGUUAUAAUAGGCACAGCAUACCACAAGGUCUCCAAAGUUGAGUUCCAUCCACAGUGUGAUACGAAAGCGCCUACUGCUUUAUGUGCCAAGAUUUCUACUUGUGGUGCCCAUCCACAUAGCAUCCCAAUAUUUUUAGUUCUUUCCAAGAAUCCCUGUGGCAAGAUCUCUCCAUAGUUGUCAAAAAAACUAGCUUGCAGCUUCCCCUUGGAGGGUUUCAACCGAAUUGACCAUAAGAACCUCUGUCCACUCCUCUCGAGCCCGAUUGCAAUUUCUUUCAACUGAGCUUCAUCAAAGCAUCCUCUACUCCCGAAGCACAAGAACACCACUGAUUUUUCAGGUUGAUCAUCAAGCCAUUUCAAGAUCUCGUCACGCUUGACGGCAUCGGAUCCUGACAGACUCUUUCCCCUGUGAUCAAUCAAUGGCCCAACAUUGAAAAUAGGUGGUAUAUCAUCUCUAGCCAAAAGAGCACUAACUGCAUGGGACUCAGCUUCUGAAAAUGUAUUAACAAUGAUACCGUUCGACUCCUUAAACUUUCUUCCAUGGUUUGCAAUAGCCUCAUAUGCCACAUCGGUGUGCAAUAACGGCAUAACACGGUAAGGCACGGGAUUUGAAUAACAGGGGAUGAUAUAGUCAGGGUCAGUAGGGCUAAACUUAGGCUCACCCUUGUCUUCUCUAUCUGAAAGGUAAAGCGUCAAGGCAAGAAAGGCAGCAUCACAAGUGUAAAAAACAUGAGAAGGGACCCCAAGUUCUUUGGAAACAUCAAUAAAUGCAGUGCAAAACAUAUCAACAACAACACUAGCAAUUGGUGCAGGGUUGUGGGCCAUGACUAGGUUAACAAUAGUAUCUUUCACAAGGGUUUUGUGAUCAUUGAUGUAAGAAGUAAAAGCACUUGCAGGGCUUACAGCUAAAGCAUCUGGAGGAGGUGCAGGUAUGGUCUCAGGAAUUUCGAUGAACCUGAUUUCUGUAUAAAUUGAAGCAAGCGAUUUGAUUUUCUUGCUUAUGCCACCGUCAAAUGGAUUGUUGAUGGCAAGCAUGGUUAUCAAGAAACUGUCGUUUCUCUCAAGAACCGUCUUUGCUAACUGAACAGCUGGUACAAGGUGGCCAAAUCCAGGUGCAGGGACAAAGACUAGCUGUGUUUUCUUCAUUUUGGAGGUUUUGAAUGUUCAAUAUGGUGAUCCUUGUUUGCCUUAUAAUGGGCUCAAGGUCAACGCCACAAUGCCAGCUGUUAUGAUUAUUUUUUUUCUAAAUUAAUCAUCAAAUUGGAUGACAAUUAUUACAAAGAUUGAUUUCAUAGAAAACUUUUCUUGUAAUAUUUUUAAACAAUUCAAAUUAAAUAAAACAAAUUAUAAAUAUAAAAGAAAAGAAAGCUAGGGUUUCAUUAAUCAUUUUAUUUUGAAGUUAUAUUUUUAAUCUAUAUAUAUAUAUAUAUAUAUAUAUAUAUAUAUAUAUAAACUAAACUAAAAAUAUUAUUUUAUUUUUAAUAAAUAAAAUUAAAUAAAUAUAUUUUUUAACAACAUUCAUCUAUCCCGUAAGAUAUUAUUUAUCUUUAUUAAAAAAACAUUGUAGAUGAUUUAUUAGGAUAAUUUAAUUAAGUAUGACUUGAUUAAUAUAUAUUUUAGAAAUUAAAAAUUAAAAUAUAAUUAAUAUAAGAAUUAUAUUUGUAAACCUAAAAAAAUCAAGUAGGGACUUAAUUGAUUAAAUUUUUAAAAUUACCCUUAAAUAAUAAAUGGAUAUUAUUUGAGGGCAAAUAUAUAUAUUUUAUCAUUUAAACGGUUUUAGGAUUUUAUUAUCAAUAUAUAUAGCUAAGCCUAUUAUUUUGUAAGUAAAAAAUGAUGGUUGUCUAUUAGAUAGAAAAACUAUGUAAACACAAUAUUAGAGCUAGUACUCUAAGCAUAACAAUCUCUCUUUUCUAAAUAGUGAUUUAAGAGUUUUCUCACAAGUAGUUUGUAUGAAUUAUCAUUAAAAAUCAAAUAAUUAAAUGAUUUUUAGUUUGUGACAACCCAACUUUUAAAGAAUAAUUUAAAAUAAAAAAAUUAAAUAUUCAAAUAAUAAAUCUCUAAAUAAUUUUAAAUCUAAUCUAACAUGAUAUAAGAAAUAAUAUCCCGGUAGUGUGAGUUUGUGUGUAUUGACAACUUAAUAUAUUCAAUCAUGCGAAUUCUUUGUAGGUGUUAUGGUUUCAAAUUGAGGAAGGACGUAGUUUUUAAUUAAUGUAUCAAAAUUGAUUUAAUAAUACCUUACUAUUAAAAAGAAGAAGAAGUCAACAACAAUGAUUGAUUGUGACUGCAUUUAAUAGCUAGAUAGUUACAUGGCUAGAAAGGAUCCAAAGAUAAUAUAUACAUGAUGAUAUUCUGUUUAAAUUUAUUAAAUGGCAAUUUCGUAGGAAUUGCUGAAGUGUUAAAUUGUGGAUGAAGUUUAAUUUGAUGAAUUUUUAUUUUUAUUUUUAUUUUAUUCUAUUGUACUUUUCAUCAUUGGUAGUUAUUUAUGAAAAAUAUUAUAUCACUAUUUAUAUCAAAAUUAUUCACACAAAAAUUCUAUCACUAUUAUCUUCUAAAAUUAUUGAUGAAAAAUUUCUCAUUGGCAUUUCUGAUUUUAUUUAUUAAUUUUCUGGUAAUAAUAAUAAUCUUAUGCUUAGGUUUAUAAUCCUAUAAUUUAAAAAAUAGUAUCGAUACCUGAAACUUAAAAGAAUAUUAAACCUUCCAUUUUUAAUUUAUAUGAAAUAUUGAUAAUACAACUAAUCAAACAUAAACUAACAAUCAUUUAAACAAAAUUUAAGAAUUGAUUGUAGAAUUACAUAAAUUAAUUUUAAAAUUUUUAAAAAUUACAUUUUAUAAAUUUUUACCAAGUAAUUCUACCAUCAAUUCCUAAACCUAACAAUCAUUUAAACAAAUUUUAAGAAAUGAUGAUAGAAUUACUUGGUAAACUUUUAUGAAAAUAAGCAAACUUUCUUAAUAAUCAUAUAUAUUCAUCCUUCUGAUUAAAUGACACUUAAAUGUUUAAAGUAAAAAAUACCUACAUUUAACAAAACAAGAUUCAAGGUUCUUUUACAAUGAAGACGCUAUCGUUUCAUACACAUAUUAUAAACGAGAAAUCCAAACCAACAAGAUCAAAAAAUAAAAUAUAUACAUAAACUUUCGAGUCAAAAUAUUAUAUUUUUAAAAGAGAGAAUACAAACAAUGUUAGUCCAUUUAAAGCUAUCACAUGCCCAACUAUUCUAAUGGCUCUAAAUUUCAACUCUAAUGAAAAACAAAAUAUUAAAAAAUAAUUUUUUAUAUAUUUUAAAUAAAUUUAGGUAGUAAUUAAAAUAAAGUAUACAAUAUUAAGAUUAUUCAAAAUGUUAAUCUCACAUCAUGCAUAAACUAAUAUGAGCUUAUCUUUUAAUGUAUCAUGAAUGAUUUUAUUGGUGUGGUUUUUUUUUUCCUUACAUUACAUGUAUCUCAAUUAAUUUUUUAAAAUUCUAAAUUUUACAACCAUGUAAUGUAUUGAUAGGGCAGGCAGUGAGGUGACUGUUUCUAGAGGGACGGGUGCUUGUAAAUUGGAUAGUGGCCAUAAGCAAAAAAUAAAGGACGAGGAGAGAGAGAAAAAAGUUGUGCAUAAUUUGUGUAACAUGUGAUGGUGGGACAGGGAUAAUAAUCAUAUAUAUAUAUAUAUAUAUAUAUAUAUAUAUAUAUAUAUGCGUAUGUGUAUUUUUAAAAAAAUAUCAUAUUAUUUUUUUAAAUAUAUUCAAUAAAUAAGUAGGCUUCGGUUAAUAUUCAAAAGUCUCAUGUUAAAUUAUUAUCCCUGUCCCACCAUUUUACACAAAUUAUGCACAACUUUUUUUCUUUCUCCUCGUCCUUUAUCUUUUUGCUUAUUGCCGUGGCUUGUCGAUCCCUCACUGUCCAAUUUACACGCACCCGUCUCUUUUAAAACAGUUCUUUUAAAUUUUAAUGGCAAUAGGUAAAUGAUUAGAUUUUAGAUUUAUUUUCUAAAAUUAUUUAUUUAGUUUUUAUAAAUUUUAGAAUGAUUGAAGGUUUAUAUGGUCGUUAAUUUCAGAGUUUCUAGAAUUAAUCAAGAUAGACACAAACUGACUCACACAUCAAUAUUAAUAAUAAUAAAAAAUGGUAUUAGGUGGUGUGAUAGAUUUUAAUGCUAUAAAACAAAAGGAAGAAAAGAAAGAAAAAGGUACGGUCAUUCCAUAAUAAGGCCCCAACUUUAAUUAACUUCAUCAGAACUAAUGUUGGAUAGGAAAUACAUCACUUCAACAUGACCAAAUCAAACAAACUAUAUAUAUGAUAAAGACUAUAACUUAAUUUGAGGAAUGGAAUUAAGCCACAGUAGGAAUUGAUGAUCAUUGAUGGAAUCAACAUGGUAGAAAGGCCUAAGCUCUUCAUGGUUUGCUUCCUAACCACUGAUCAAUCAAGUUUCCUAAAGCAACAUACGAAGAUCCACCCUCCAUCACAGCUUUCUUCGCCAUUUCACUGGUUUCUUUGGCCUUGUUCCUAAGUUCACCACCUUGUUCCAUCAUGGUUUUCACAGCUUUUGUUAUCACCUCCGCCUUCACAAAAUCUGUAGGGCAAUCUCCCCUAAAAUCCAACGUCAAUUCCACUGCUAAUCCCAAGUCUUUCACCAGCUGAAAUGCAUUCGUGUGUUGCUCAGCAUAUAAUGGCCAAGUUAUAAUAGGCACAGCAUACCACAAGGCCUCCAAAGUUGAGUUCCAUCCACAGUGUGAUACGAAAGCGCCUACUGCUUUAUGUGCCAAGAUUUCUACUUGUGGUGCCCAUCCACAUAGCAUCCCAAUAUUUUUAGUUCUUUCCAAGAAUCCCUGUGGCAAGAUCUCUCCAUAGUUGUCAAAAAUACUAGCUUGCAGCUUCCCCUUGGAGGGUUUCAACCGAACGGACCAUAAGAACCUCUGUCCACUCCUCUCGAGCCCGAUUGCAAUUUCUUUCAACUGAGCUUCAUCAAAGCAUCCUCUACUCCCGAAGCACAAGAACACCACUGAUUUUUCAGGUUGAUCAUCAAGCCAUUUCAAGAUCUCGUCACGCUUGACGGCAUCGGAUCCUGACAGACUCUUUCCCUUGUGAUGAAUGAUCAAUGGCCCAACAUUGAAAAUAGGUGGUAUAUCAUCUCUAGCCAAAAGAGCACUAACGGCAUGGGACUCAGCUUCUGAAAAUGUAUUAACAAUGAUACCGUUGGACUCCUUAAACUGUCUUCCAUGGUUUGCAAAAGCCUCGUAUUCCACAUCGGUGUGCAAUAACGGCAUAACACGGUAAGGCACGGGAUUUGAAUAACAGGGGAUGAUAUAGUCAGGGUCAGUAGGGCUAAACUUAGGCUCACCCUUGUCUUCUCUAUCUGAAAGGUAAAGCAUCGUGGCAAGAAAGGCAGCAUUAGAAGUGUAAAAAACAUGAGAAGGGACCCCAAGUUCUUUGGCAACAUCAAUAAAGGCAGUGCAAAACAUAUCAACAACAACACUAGCAAUUGGUGCAGGGUUGUGGGUCAUGACUAGGUUAACAAUAGUAUCUUUUACAAGGGUUUUGUGAUCAUUGAUGUAAGAAGUAUAAGCACUUGCAGGGCCUACAGCUAAAGCUUCUGGAGGAGGUGCAGGUAUGGUCUCAGGAAUUUCAAUGAACCUGAUUUCUGUAUGAAUUGAAGCAAGCGAUUCGGUGUUCUUGCUUAUGCCACCGUCAAAUGGAUUGUGGAUGGCAAGCAUGGUUAUCAAGAAACUGUCGUUUCUCUCAAGAACCAUCUUUGCUAACUGAACAGCUGGUACAAGGUGGCCAAAUCCAGGUGCAGGGACAAAGACUAGCUGUGUUUUCUUCAUUUUGGAGGUAUUGAAAUUUGAAUGUUCAACACUGUGAUCCUUGUUUGCCUUAUAAUGGGCUCAAGGUCAAUGCCACAAUGCCAGCUGUUAUGAUUUUGUUUUUCUAAAUUAAUCAUCAAAUGGGAUAUGACAAUUAUUACAAAGAUUGAUUUCAUAGAAAAAUUUUCUUGUAAUAUUUUUAAACAAUUCAAAUUAAAUAAAAAAAUAUAUAAAUAUAAAAGAAAAGAAAGCUAGGUUUCAUUAAUCAUUUUAAAUUAUAUGAAAUAUUGAUAAUACAACUAAUCAAACAUAAACUAACAAUCAUUUAAACAAAAUUUAAGAAUUGAUGGUAGAAUAUCAUAAAGUAAUUUUUAUAAAUUUUACCAAGUAAUUCUACCAUCAAUUCCUAAAACCUAACAAUCAUUUAAACAAAAUUUAAGAAUUGAUGGUAGAAUUGCAUAAAUUAAUUAUAAAAAUAUAAAAAUUAAUUUUUAUAAAUUUUACCAAUAAUUCUAUCAUCAAUUCCUAAAACCUAACAAAAUUUAAGAAUUGAUGAUAGAAUUACUUGGUAAAAAUUUAUGAAAAUAAGCAAACUUUCGUAAUAAUCAUAUAUACUCAUCCUUCUUAUUAAAUGACAUUUAAAUGUCUAAAGUAAAGACAAAACAAAAUUCAGGGUUCUUCUACAAUGAAGGUUAGUAUAUGAAAUGAGAGGGUUAGGUUGGGACAAAGAGAAGAGGGUUAGAUGGAAAGGUUAGGUAGGGAGAUAAGAUGGUUUGAUUGGGACAAGGAGAAGAAGGUUUGGUUAGGCCAUCACCAACUCAUCUCUGUUCAUAUUUUCAUCUCGGUCGUAGCAACACUGUGCUGAAACUAUCUUGUGAAUUUGUUGUCUUUGAACGUCAUUCAAUGCACAAAAGCUCCAAAAUCUACCAUCAAGACAAGUCAUUAACAACGCCAAAAUUAGUGUCUACACAAAUUUGGUCUCCCACACACACAGGCUAUAUAUAAAAACUAGAUUGGUGUUCCGUAAUACGUAGCGGAUAAUCUUAUUUUUUUAUAGCAUAAAAGAUACUAAGAUGAUAUAUGUAUUUUUCUUAAAAAAAUUAAUAUUCAGGUCAUUAACUUAAAUAACUUUAAUAAACUCGGUUAAUUUAAUAAUAUGAUUAGAAAAUAAAAUUAUCGUUUUCGUAGUUUUUAUAUCUAACAGACAAUCAUCCUUUUUGCUUACAAAAUAACAGGCUUAGCUUUAUAUUUAUAGAGAAUCCUAAAAAUCCUAUAAAUGACAAAAUAUAUAUUUUCUCCUUAAAUAAUAUCUAUAUAUUAUUUAAGGAUAAUUUUAUAAAUUUAAUCAAUCAAGUCCUUACUUGAUUUUUUUAAUUCUAAAAAUAUAAUCCUUAUAUUCAUUAUAUUCUAGUUCUUAAUUUCUAAAAUAUAGUUUAAUCAAGUCAUACUUAAUUAAAUAUCCUAGUUUAAUUUAUAAUUAAUCAUUCUUAAUGUGUGUGACUUAUUAAUUAGGUUCAUAAUAUGUUGGCCCAAAUAUAAAUUAUGAUUCUAAUUAAAUAGAAUUAAAUAAUUUAAUUUAUUAUUAAUUUAACAAUUGAUUAAUUUAUAUUUAAAGAUCAGAUGCAUUGUCUAGUAACGUGUCAUGAUCCCCCUAAAUAUUAGAAAAGUAAUUAGUGGUUUGACUUAACCUUUCAGUGCCCUUUUUUCCAGUGUAAUUAAUAUCCUUUCAUCAAUAAUAUUUCGAUUUAACAUUAAAACAUGAAGUAUGUCUGUCAUGUUAAAUCAUGUUUAUUUUUUACAUAAUAGUCAUUGAUCGUUUAAAUAAGAUUUGAAACUCUUUUCAAAUCUCAUUUCACCUUGGCUAAUGAUUUCUCAGUCAAUACUAUUUGAGAAUAGAUGAAAUAUUUUCUCUAAUUUACCAAGGGUAAUGAAUUCACUUUUGAUCACUCAAGUACCUUUAUAUAAUUCAUAUUAUACUCAAUAUCUUCCCUUUCGUUACCUCGAUUAAGAUAAGAUGUAACAAGAUUAAAGUAUAACAUUCUCUAUAUAAAAUGAUUUAAUGAUCUUAAGUCUAAGGAUCACUUACACAACCGUCACGUGAGCCUUUUUAUAGACAUAUGUAAUCUCUCCAUAUGAAAUUCGCAUGCAGAUCAGUUAAGUAUACAUAUCUUAUGACAAGCACCUACAUAUUACUAGGUAUCCCUUAUACCUUAACUUAUGAAAACAGUUGUUUCCUUUCAUGAAAAAAAGAACAUAAUAUGUAUCAAUCUUUACGACUCUAAUGAAUAUCCAGUAUUUAAGAAAGCAUCAACCCAUAUUAUUUUAAAAACAAUGUUUAGAUGCAAUAGAAAUCUCAUAAUUUCAACAACUUUAUAAUUUUAUUUGCAAAGUAUUUAUAUCUAAUGAACUUUAUCUUUACUCUCGAUUUAUUAAUAUGAUAUUAUAUAGAUAUUUAAAAUAAAUUAUUUUUUUAUUAAUAAUAAAUAAGUAUUUACAUGAAUAUAAUAAUAUCACGUGUAACCAACUAAUUGAUUACAAGAUAUAUUAAACUAACACAAUGAUACAUGAACUAUUAUGUGUUUGGAUUAUAAUUUUUUUAUCAAUCACUUAUUACUAAAAUACUAAAACUUGACUGUUGAAUCAAUUUAAAAAACAACUAAAAUAAUUAUCUUAACCUUGUAAAUUAUAUUGUUAAUAUGAAAAACUAUAUUACAACUUAAAACAAAAUAAAAAAAGUAGAGUUUUAGUUUUUCUAUUUGAAAAUUUCAAAUCUUAAAACAUUGGUGAUGAACGAAUUCACGAUUGAUGGUGGCUUUUUUGAAACGUAACAGAAAGAUUUCUAAUUCAAAUACUACCGCAGGUGACAAUUAAACCAUAAUAGUUCAGGGAUAUUUAUACCUUAUAGCCUGAAUUAAAGGUAUAUAUAUCUAACCAUCUAGGUAGUGACCUAGUUAUAAGAGCUUGGAAUCAAGAGGUUUGCUCCCUCUGUGGUCUCAAGUUCGAGCCCUGUGGUUGCUCAUAUGAUAGCUACUGGAGGCUUACAUGGUCGUUAACUUCAGGGCCCGUGGGAUUAGUCGAGGUACGCGCAAGCUAGCCGGAUACCCUCGUUAAACUAUAUAUAUAUAUAUAUAUAUAUAUAUAUAUAUAAAAAGGUAUAUAUACCUUCUUUCAAAUAUAAGAAAAUCAAGGUGUCAUCUUCCAGAGAUCAUGUAGUCCAGCAAACGGGGAAGCCGUAGCAUGGAAUGGAGUGACCAGUGAUCGAGAUUGCGAGAAAUACCCUCGGAAGGGAAGGCACUGAAUUCAUGGAAGCCACCAGCUAGCAAGGGAAAAGACUAGCCAAGUUUUUGUCACGACGGAGACAGGAAAGAUGCCCACUUGAUUUGAUCGAUAGCCACUUCCGGCCUAAAGGUAUCGAGACUUGAGCCCCUAGUUUUUGACCUCUCUUCUGAUUUCUUUCACUCUUUUUCGUCAAUAAAGAUAAAUAUAUCAUUCCUUUUUUGGGUUGAAUAUAAUUUUUAAUUUAGUUUAUAUAUAAUUUUUUUAUAUUUAGAUUAAAAAUACAAUUUUAGAAUAAAGUGAUUAAUUAAACUAGCUUUUUCCUCUCUUGUAUUUAUAUUUCUCUUUGUUGUUUAAUUUAGAUUAUUUAACAAAUGUUACAUAAAAGUUUUUCUAUGAAAUCAAUCUAAUAGUUGUCAUAUCCAAUUUGAUGAUCAAUUUAGGAGAAAAAAAACCAUAACAGCUGGCAUUGUGGCAUUGACCUUGAGCCAUUAUAAGGCAAACAAGGAUCACCAUAUUGAACAUUCAAAACCUCCAAAAUGAAGAAAACACAGCUAGUCUUUGUCCCUGCACUUGGAUUUGGCCACCUUGUAUCAGCUGUUCAGUUAGCAAAGAUGGUUCUUGAGAGAAAUGACAGUUUCUUGAUAACCAUGCUUGCCAUCCACAAUCCAUUUUCCGGUAGCAUAAGCAAGAACACCAAAUCGCUUGCUUCAAUUCAUACAGAAAUCAGGUUCGUCGAAAUUCCUGAUACCAUACCUGCACCUCCUCCAGAAGCUUUAGCUGUAGGCCCUGCAAGUGCUUAUACUUCUUACAUCAAUGAUCACAAAACCCUUGUAAAAGAUACUAUUGUUAACCUAGUCAUGGCCCAAAACCCUGCACCAAUUGCUAGUGUUGUUGUUGAUAUGUUUUGCACUGCCUUUAUUGAUGUUGCCAAAGAACUUGGGGUCCCUUCUCAUGUUUUUUACACUUCUGAUGCUGCCUUUCUUGCCACGAUGCUUUACCUUUCAGAUAGAGAAGACAAGGGUGAGCCUAAGUUUAGCCCUACUGACCCUGACUACAUCAUCCCCUGUUAUUCAAAUCCCGUGCCUUACCGUGUUAUGCCGUUAUUGCACACCGAUGUGGAUUAUGAGGCUUUUGCAAACCAUGGAAGAAAGUUUAAGGACUCAAACGGUAUCAUUGUUAAUACAUUUUCAGAAGCUGAGUCUCAUGCAGUUAGUGCUCUUUUGGCUAGAGAUGAUAUACCACCUAUUUUCAAUGUUGGGCCAUUGAUUGAUCACAAGGGAAAGAGUCUGUCAGGAUCCGAUGCCGUCAAGCGUGACGAGAUCUUGAAAUGGCUUGAUGAUCAACCUGAAAAAUCAGUGGUGUUCUUGUGCUUCGGGAGUGGAGGAGGCUUUGAUGAAGCUCAGUUGAAAGAAAUUGCAAUCGGGCUCGAGAGGAGUGGACAUAGGUUCUUAUGGUCCGUUCGGUUGAAACCCUCCAAGGGGAAGCUGCAAGCUAGUUUUUUUGACAACUAUGGAGAGAUCUUGCCACAGGGAUUCUUGGAAAGAACUAAAAAUAUUGGGAUGCUAUGUGGAUGGGCACCACAAGUAGAAAUCUUGGCACAUAAAGCAGUAGGCGCUUUCGUAUCACACUGUGGAUGGAACUCAACUUUGGAGGCCUUGUGGUAUGCUGUGCCUAUUAUAACUUGGCCAUUAUAUGGUGAGCAACACAUGAAUGCAUUUCAGUUGGUGAAAGACUUGGGAUUAGCAGUGGAAUUGACGUUGGAUUUUAGGAGAGAUUGUCCUACAGAUUUUGUGAAGGCGGAGGUGAUAACAAAAGCUGUGAAAACCAUGAUGGAACAAGGUGGUGAACUUAGGAACAAGGCCAAAGAAACCAGUGAAAUGGCGAAGAAAGCUGUGAUGGAGGGUGGAUCUUCGUAUGUUGCUUUUGGAAACUUGAUUGAUCAAUGGUUAGGAUGCAAACCUUGAAGAGCUCAAGCCUUAUCUACCAUGUUGAUUCCAUCAAUGAUCAUCAAUUCCUACUGUGGCUUAAUUCCAUUCCUCAAAUUAAAUUAAGUUAUAGUCUUUAUCAUAUAUAUAGUUUGUUUGAUUUGGUCAUGUUGUAGUGAUGUAUUUCCCAUCCAACAUUAGUUCUGAUGAACUUAGUUAAAGUUUUUUUUUUUUUUUUGUUGAAAACUUGGUUAAAGUUGAGGCCUUAUGGAAUGACCGUACCUUUUUCUUUUCUUUUCUUUUAUAUAUAUAUAUAUAUCCUUGGAAGCAUGAAAGAAAACUUUUAAAUUUACCCGUUUGGGAUUGCCAUCUAAAUAAAGAUUAGUCAAAAUUAUUAUUUUUUUUAAUUAUUUUGAUGAGUUAAUAUUAAAAAUAAAAUAAAAAUAUAUAUAUUAUUCUAAUAAAGAUUAGUCAAAUAAAAAAUAGUUCUUGAUGGACAAUUAAAAAUUGCUGGAACAAAUCAAGGGACCCAACACUAGCAUUAAAAUCUAUCACACCAACUAAUGCCAACUUGCUUAAAUGUGUAGUGACGUGCAAAUUAGAAAUAGUUCUGAUUGAUGGUUUGAUUCAAUUCAUCCCUAGCUUUUUUUAAAAUAAAAAAACUUAAACUUCGUUGUUUUGGUAAAAAUAUAAUUGGUUUUUUCACUAACUUGACCAAGCAAAGCUCAGUGGGUUAUUGUGUUGAUUUGAUCACCAAAUUAACCUAUCAAGUCAAACUUUGAAUAAAUAAAUCGUUAAAUUAACCUCUCGGACUGGAUUGUAUCUUAUACCAAUAAACUUCACAUUCACCUUUUCCUACAGCUACAGGUAUUACUAGAAUGAAUAAACCACAGCUGGUGUUAAUUCCUGCUGCAACCUUGUGUCAGCAAUUGAGUUAGCAAACCACAUGCUUUGAUGAGCCUCAAUUGAAAGACAUCAAACGGGCUCAAGCAGAGUGCACACAAGUUCUUAUGAUACAUUCAGAAACCACCAUCCAAGGGUCAGUUCCUGUUUGGAGAUCACGUCAGAAGGAUUCCUCAGAAGGACUAAAAAUGUUAGCGUGAUAUGCGAUUGGACACCGCAAGUGCAGGUCUUGGCAUACAAAGCAAUAGCUACAUUUGUAUCGCAUUGUGGAUGGUACUCAAUCUUGGAAAGCUUAUGGUAUGGUGUGCCUAUUAUAACUUCGGCCAUUGUAUGAUAAGCAAUAAAUUAAUGCAUUUAAAUUGGUCAAGUUUUUGGGAUUAGCUAUUGAGUUGAGUUGAAAAUGGAUUAUAAAUUGGGUGAUGGUGUUAUAAAAUUCACAGUCAUUAGAAAUAUGGUUUUUAGCAAUUGAAUUAUAAGUUAAUUACAAAUUCUAGCAAGAUAAUUUAUUAUCUAUGGUUUAUCAAACUUGCUUGCAAAGCAGUUGAGAUUUAGGGAACUAAAAAUGAUAAAGUAAGUAAUCUUUAAAUAAAUGAUCAUCAUAGAUGAGUGAAAGAGCAUUUAUUUUUAAAAACAAUAGUGUUUAUUUUUAGUUUUGAUGUAAUGAAUGCUUUGAAAUUAAGAAAAUAUUUUUGUAGAGAAUAAAGACUAGAACUUUGUACCUGAAUGAUUCAUAAGGCAUUUAUAAAUCUCGAACCUUGUCAUUUUUACUAGAGUAUAGCGACUAGAGAGUAAUUUUCUCCUAACAAUAUUAAUAGGGGAUAAAUAACAUUUACACACAUUAAUAAAUGAUAAAAUAUCCCUUAGCCAAUAUUAAUGGUGAAGGAAAUAUGGUAGACCCUUAGAAGACUUUUAUACAUCUAGAGAUGUAGAUAGAUGAAUAUCAUUGACAUUAAUAUUUUAUGUUAAAAAUCAUAAGAAUAAAUAAACAAUUAAAGUCUUAUGGCCCAACAUAGGACCUAUAAUGAUCGCCAGACUCAUAUUUACUUAAGCUCUCCACGUAGCUAAGUCCACUGGCAUUGGGCCUGACAACUUGCCAGAUCCAUGUCCGUUUGGGCUUAACGCGUAACUGAACUCAAUGUAUUGAAUCUGACAGCUUGUCAGACUCAUGUUUGCUUGGACUUAAUAUAUAGCUGAAUCUAAGGAUAUUAAGUCUGGUAGCUCGCCAGACUUAUAUCUCUUUGGGCUCAGCACGUAGCCUAACCCAAGGAUAUUGAGUCUAACAUCUCGUCAGAUCCGUGUCUAUUUAGGCUAAUCGCUUAACUGAACUCAAUAAUAUUAGAUCUGGUGGCUUGCUAGACUCAUGCACAUUGAAACUCUACUCUUAACUACAUCGAAAGGCAUUGGGUCUAGAACAGAGAUGUUAUUUUAACCCGGUAUUCUGUCAAGUUUAAAGAUAUUGGGUAUAAAUAUAAGCCCCGCCUAUUUAUUAUUGAAUUAUCACCCUAUCUUCGGACCUUUAAAAAAAGAUUUCGACUUCAAAUUACUUUUUUAAAAUAUGAUUUGGGAUAAAGUAACCUUAUGAAGGAAAAUGAGGUAGGAAGCAGUGAAAUGCUUGAUAGAAAACGCUAGUGAAGUGAAAAACAAGGUUAGAGAAGUGAGUAAAAAGGCUAGGCAAUCUCUGUUAGAGGGUGGAUCUUCACAUACUGCUUUUGGAUACCUGAUUAGUCGAUGGCUAGUAAACAAGGUUUGAAGAAGUGACUCUCGACAUACGUAAAACGCGUGGGUUUUUUUUUAUUGUAAAGACAGGUAUUGUUUACACCCAUAUAAAUUAUUAUGGAUGGCACCUGUGCAUUUUUACAAAUUCAUUUUAGUCCUUUAAUUUUGUUUUUCAAUGAUUUAAUCCUAAUUAAAGAUCAAUUGACUAUAAUUUCUUAGGAAAAUAUGGGGUUGAAAGAAGUUCUUCGUUUUUCUAAAUCCUUUUUACUUGAGAGUCUUUCCUUUAUUUUUCUAUUUAAAGAUUUAUAUUCUCACAAUUUGUUCAUUUAGGUACUUUGUUUAAUGGAUUUGUUAAAACAAUUUAAACUGUAUUUGUUUGCACAAUAGCUUAAUACUCAGGGUAUUAUUCAUCAACUUUAAUAUAUCUUUUUUUUCACUCAUUUAGUCCAACAACAUUUAUCACCCUCGUUUAAUUCUUACUUUUUCAAUUUCUAUAAACACAAUAAAAACUAUUGUCUUUAGGAUUGCAAGACAUGCACGCUUCAAAGUUUUAAAAGUUCUUUUUUUAAUCUAAAACAUUUUGUUAAUAACAAUGAGAAAUAGUGCUAAUAAUUUAAUUUGCUAAUCUGAAAUGUACUCCAUUAAAUUUAAUUUAUUUGACGAGUGGUACCAGUUGAAAUUAAGAUCAAACAAGGUUUGAUUUAAAAGAAUAAAAAAUAAUAUUAUUUUAACUUCUUAAUUGUUUUUAAAUAAUAUUAUUUUGAAUUAAUUUGUCUAAAUCAUUACUGAAAUCUAAAAAAAAUUAAUUAUGAGUAGAUUUGGCCGAGUUUUUAACAAUGAGCAGGAGUUGAUGAAUAAUUUAUACAAUAGUAAAUUGAUGUUUUUUAAAGGUAAUUCUAACAUAAUUUGAUUAAUCAAAUUCUAAGAUUAAAGGAGGUCAAACAUGAGAGAGAGAGAGAGAGAGAGAGAGAAAUCUUGAAAAAGAAUUAAAUCAUAAUUUAUUAUUUUUUUAGCAGAAUAAACGCAUAAAUAAAAGUUCUAACAAAUCUUUUGCCUUUACGAGAAGAUUGAUAUGGUAAGUGAGGCAACCACUACCAAGUUGUCGUUUUAUAUUUGAUGGGUAAUAACCCGGCUAAACGACACCUCUUGGGUUGUUGGCCUGGGUUUUGGUAAGGGCUAGAUUCUCUUGCUCUUUUUUUUUUUUUUUUUCUUUUUAGUUCUUUUUUUUAUCUCGAAGCAUGAAACAAUAAAAAAAUAAUUUAGUUCAUAAAAUAUUUUAAAUUUUAUUCUCUCGUAUUUAAGAAGUAUUAUGUUGUGGCUUGCUAGGCAGACUCAUCGUGCAACCAAAUUAAUCAAACCCAAAAAAAAAGAGAUUUCGAUCAUCAUCUCUCUCUGUUUUUUUUUUAAGGAAAUAUAUUGAUUCUCCCUCUAAUCAAUGCGAAAAAAAACAUGAAGUGGGGACAACACCUUUUAGCUUCUCCCUGGUUAAAUAUCAAUUACUGUUGCAUUUUCAAAAAACAAUUAUUAUAUGUAUAGUCCUUACCAUAAUUAUUGUAAAAUAAAUUAAUAAAAAAAUCUCUCAGGGACCCUAUUUUUUCCUCACCUAAUCGUCAACGCAUGGCAGCACUCAGUUGUUGAAGAUUCCACUAUAUUUAUUCUCAACCAAUUUUCAGAGUAAAAGAGCAUUGAAUUCCGACUAUAUAUAGUGCCCCAUAACCCAGUCCCAUAUUAUUUAUCCAAAAAAAAGAAAUCACACAGAAGCCAAAAACCUUCCAUAUCCGCCAAAAAUGGCACCCGCUCAAACCACCACACCCAAGAAUGCACUGGUCUUCGUCCCAGCACCAGGAAUUGGUCAUCUUGUAUCAGUCAUGGAGUUUGCAAAACGUUUGCUUGAAAGAGAUGACAGUUUCUCCAUCACAAUGCUUCUUAUGUCCCCACCAUUUGCACAUGAUGUUACAACCUAUGUUGAGAAACUUAAUGCAGCUCACCCAGAAUUUCAAUUUCUUGGUCUGCCUUCUGUAACCCCACCACCCCUAGAAGAUGUUCUUGCUUGUCCUGAACAUUUUGUGUCAGUUUUCAUCGCUGAUCAUAAGAACCAUGUUAAGGAUAUGAUUGUCAACCAUGUUUUGUCCAACAAGUCAGUUAAACUUGCUGGUUUGGUUCUUGAUUUGUUUUGUACUGCCUUUGUUGAUGUUGCCAAAGACCUUGGUGUCCCUUCUUAUAUUUUCUUUGCUUCUGGUGCUGCUUUUCUUGGUUCCAUGCUUUACCUCCCUUAUAGAUUUGACAAGGGAGGAGUCACCUACAAACCAACCGAUCCUGACUCUAUUAUCCCUAGUUACAUCAACCCAGUUCCCUCCAGGGUGUUGCCAAGUUUGUUGUUCCAUGAUGGUGGGUAUUCAACUUUCGUAAGCCAUGCUAGGAAAUUCAAGGAGGCAAAGGGUAUCAUUGUCAAUACAUUUGCAGAGCUAGAAUCCCACGCUGUUAACUAUCUUAAUGGCGAGGCAGGUGUACCCCAUGUUUACACUGUGGGGCCAGUGGUUGAUCACAAGGGCAACAGUCCAGUAGCUGAUGGGAACCAACGUGAAGAGAUCAUGAACUGGCUCGACGCUCAGCCACAGAAAUCAGUGGUGUUUCUGUGCUUUGGAAGUCAAGGGAGCUUCGGUGUGCCUCAAUUGAAAGAGAUUGCACUUGGGCUUGAGCAAAGUGGCCAAAGGUUCUUGUGGUCUAUUAGGAGACCACCUUCUCAAGAAUCUUUGAACCCCGGUGAAGUUAAUGAUUUUAGUGAGCUUUUGCCCGAAGGGUUUCUGGGCAGGACAAAAAAUGUAGGGUUUAUUUGUGGGUGGGCUCCUCAAGUUGAAGUCUUAGCCCAUAAAGCCACAGGUGCGUUUGUGUCGCAUUGUGGAUGGAACUCAAUUUUGGAGAGUACUUGGUAUGGUGUGCCUGUUGUAACAUGGCCCUUGUAUGGUGAGCAACAAAUCAAUGCAUUCCAGUUGGUAAAGGACGCAGGAGUGGCAAUUGAAAUGAAAAUGGAUUACAGGAAGGAUGGCGGUGAGGUUGUGAAGGCAGACCAAGUAGCAAAAGCAGUGAAGGAUGUGAUUGAAGGUGCUAGUGACGUGAAAAGCAAGGUUAAAGCAAUGAGUGAAACUGGCAGGAAAGCACUGUUGGAGGGUGGAUCUUCAUAUGUGGCAUUUGAAACCUUGGUUGGUGUUUUGUCAGGAAACAAGGCUUGAAGAACUUGCACGCCAUGUUAAAAUCUGAGGUUGAUUCUGCACUUACGUACGUAUGUUACCUCUUGUCUUGGUUCUUUUGGGUGAUGAUGCUAGUGCUAUGCGUCAACCCUAUUAGAUUUGGUUUUGGUCAAUCUUCCUUUUUUUUUCUCUUUCUUUUUUGUCUAGGAUGAGUUCAUGGUUGGUCCCAAAUGCCUCCCCUCUUGUACUCUCAAUAGUCUACAAUAAAAUUAUCUCUUAAUUUAUCAAGAAAGGGAGCUGUCCAUGAUUUGAACGAAUUAAUUUCAGGUUUUACAACUACGACAAAAGACAACGACUAAAUUUAGACCGAGAGCUGAUGUCUUCCACUAAAAAAUAAAGAUAGAUGAACCACUCGAGCAAGCUGUGGUUCCAAAGUAAAAUCAUAUCAUGUGGAAUACAAACGUGUUUCCUUUGAUGGGUCGACUAUUUAUGAGGGCACUCAAUUAAUAAAGACAAACCAAUCUAUAAAUACAUGCAUGUAUUUUAUUUUUUAUUUUUUAUUAUUAUUAAUAUGGGUGUUCGAGCUAACUUGUAUGCAACUUGACUAAUUCUACAAAUUCUAAAAUUAAUAAUCAUAUAAAUUUUUAGUGAUACGAGAUUACUGAAACUUAUAAUUAUUGAAUUUUUUUUCCUUGUGAAAUAGAAACUUUUACAUUUUCCUCCUUUCCCACAAUGACUUUGUGACAACAGCCUGAUAAUUUCCUUAAUCAUGAAUCAACACAAACAAAACUGGCCGACCUUUUCUUAUGUUUUAUGUUUUUUUUUUUCCAAAAGAAAUUCCCACGAAGUAAUUCUUCAUAGGGUGCCUAUAAGAAAAUCUUAAUCAUGCUAUUUCCUCUUUUAAUAGACAAUUAUUGAUUUUUUUAAAAAAAUGUUCUUAUUGUAAUGGUUAAUUUAGAAUAUUCUUAGCCUUAUUUUUGCACACCAAAAAUUUAUUAUUCAUGAGAAACUACCUCCGUUUUAUAUUAUAAUCUAAAAUGUUUUACUUCUCCCGAUGAAAAAAAAAUUGAGUUAUGUUAGUGAAAGAUCUAAUAUUAACUGUUGAAAGCGUAGUUAUAAAAUGCAAAACAUCUGACGGAUGGAACUGGAACCGUAUCGGUUUGUGUUAAAUAAAAAAUAGGUUAAGGUAUAUUUUGAUCUGGCCUAGACUUAUAAAAAACCUCGCAACCCAUUAUGUUAACUUUUUUUUAAAAAAAAAAAAUUUAUUAAAAUAAUUUUUUUUAUUUUUUUUUAAUUAAUUCAUGUCGACUCUCUCGAUCCACCGUAACCUAUGUCCUGUCUGGGUGUUGGCCCCAAGUUAACUGUGGUCAGAAGUUUUAUUAGAACAAAACUAGAGUGGUGCCUAUUUUAUGCUGUGGGUCCGCACAAUUUUUACAAUAAAAUAUUUAGUUAUUGCAAGUAUGUUUAAAAAAUAAAUCUAAUAACUCAUCUUAUAGUUCUGUCGAACUAAAUAAACUGGUUUUAUUUGAAUUACAUAAGUAAAAAAAGAUAAUAAUAUCAAACCAGGAUAUAUGUAUAUUACGACAACAUGGGGAAAAAACUUUAUCCCAGAGGAAAAAAAUCCAAAACAAAAAAUAACAAUUAAAAAAAUUAAAAUUAAAAUUGAAAGAAAAAAUAAAUUAAAGCGCAAUAAUAAAUUUUCAAUUCAAAGUUAAAUCGGAAAGAAUAAAAACAUUAAAAAAUUAAAAGAAUAAGGAUCAAAAUGAAAAAAAAAACAAUACACUACCACCGUGUAAAUAAAUUUUUUUUAAAACAGCCAUCAACAAUAAAUAAAAAUGUAAUCUGAAAAAUUAAGAAACAAAUGUAGAUCAAAAUAUUUAAUAUCACAACACGAGUCAUUUACCAAGUUGUGUUUAAUGAAUUUGUUUAUUAAAAUCAAUUUGUAAUAUAAAUUGACAUACAUAUAAAAUUUAUUGAAUAAAAUAAAAAAUUACUAUGCAAGACUACUCAUAUUAAAAAUAUUAUAAAAAUAAAUAAAUGUGUUUUUAUUUUUAAAAAUAAAUUAAAUAUAUAUAUUAAAAAAAUAAAAUGAGGCAUAACCGGGGCUGGUAAGCUAAACCUAGUGCCUUGACUCAUCAAAAAAGGGCCUACACAUACAUGCUUUAAUUGUUUUUUAAGUUAAUGAGGCGAACAACAAUUCAAUCAUUCCAAUUCUUUGAAAAAAAAAAUAGACGACACUCCGUUUGGAAAACUCAUAUUGUGGCUACAAGAUUCUAGUUUUUUUCACUUGAAAGAUCUAUUUUGAUUCAAAAUAUUUAGAAAAAUACCCUGUAAAUCUUGUUAAAUUAAUUCAUGGCCGCCAAAAACACAUAAAAAAAAAGUCUCAAAACCCAAAUUAAUCUGAAAUAAAAAAAUUUCUCAAAAUCAAAUUUAUUUUUAAGUGUUUUUAAAGUAAAAAAAACAUCUAAUUUGAAGUUAUCUUAUCAAAUAGAAUUUUUUAAUACAAAAUCGAUCAUUUGGUAGCCAAAGUUGUCAUUUACAGCAACAACCUAGAAAAGGAUUCACGAUUGGGCCUAAACAGCCCAUUACCACUGGCUCAAUUCAGUUUGUAUGUCAGCUAUGAAUUUUACAGUGGCAGUGAUCAAUAUGGUAUCAGUGUCAUCAUAUAAAAAACAAUUAUGGCGAAAAAAAUUUAAAAGAACCAAAUUAAAAAUUCUAAAAAAAAAUCAAUAAAACGAAAUACCUCUUUUAAUUUUUAUUGUAAUAAUAAUUCUUAAUUAAUUCUGAAAUAGGUUAUUGUCAGUGUCCAAUUAUAACCGUUAAUAAAUUAGAUAGGAAAGAGUAUAAAAAUACUAAAAAAAAAUUAAAAAUAAAAAGGAAAAUAAAUUUUAGUAUCAAAAUUAAUUUUUAAAAAAAAUUAAAAAAACUAAUUAUAUAAUAGUUAAAACAGAUAAUGAACUUAUUAAACAAAUCUCUAAAUUGUGCCACCUAUGUUUUGUAUAUAUAUUUUAGUUUUUUUAUCUUUCAACUCAAUUUUCUCUCUAAAAAAAUAAUUAAAUACUAAUUUAGGUUUAAAAAAACUUAACUAUAAAAUAAAAAAAAGUUCAGAGAACUAAAUUGAAGAUUCUAAAAAAAAAAUCACUAAACACCUCUUCUAGUUUUUACUGGAAUAAUAAUACUUAAUUAACUAAUAAUUCUUAAUUAAUUUAUCUUUCAACUCAAUUCUCUCUCUAACAAAAAUAAUUGGAUACUAAUUUAGGUUUAAAAAAACUUAAUUAUAAAAUGAAAAAAAAGUUCAAAGAACCAAAUUGAAGAUUCUAGAAAAAAAAAUCACAGUGAAACGAAAUACCUCUCCUAGUUUCUACUGGAAUAGUAAUUCUUAAUUAAUUAUGAAAAAGACUAUUGUCGGUGCACAAUCAUGGCCAUUAAUGACUUAGAUAGGAGAGAGUAUAAAAAUGCUAAUUUGUGAUCUUUGUCGCACAUAGACAAUCUCCACUCUGCACAUGAAUCGUCGUGUCCGUCUCUUCUUUUCACCUUAAAAGACUCCUCUCCUUUUUGCCUUUUCAAAACUGAGUGGAGCGCCGCAUCUGGCAUCCAGCAGUUGGUUUUCAAGAGAAGAAACCGAGAAGAAAACAGUGUGCCUCCCAAAAACUAGUGGAAACCACUAUAUUCUUUCUUCCAAGAGUCGCCUUUUUCAUGUAAAUGUAAACGCUUCCCUGUAGACAAACGUGGAUCAACCGUUUUACACCCUUAUGCCUUCCACGUUUUCUGUACUCAGUUAGAUAUUUAUUCAUCUAAAGGGUCGGUUCAAAAAGGUUUGGCCUCUCCUUCUCUCCUGGCCUCUCCUUCUCUUCUUGUACAUAGCACAAGAGAGCAAAAAUCAAAGGGAAGGGAAGAAACAAAGAAAUGGAAGAUGGGGAGAUGUACAACAUGAUGAAGGUAUGGCUCUCAAUCUUUGCAUCUCUAACUUACUGCUAUAUCAUGGGAAAGAUGAUCCCAAGAGGUUUUACAAGACUUCUCUGUGUGCUACCAAUUGUUUGUCUAUUUCUUGUUCUUCCUCUAGAACUCACCUCUAUUCAUUUUGGAGGCAUGACAGCUUUCUUCGUUGCUUGGCUUGCGAAUUUCAAGCUCUUGCUUUUUGCGUUUGGCAAAGGCCCUUUGUGUUUAGACCCAAAAAUCUCUUUUGGUCGUUUUGUUUCUGUUGCUUGUUUUCCCAUCAAAAUCCUACAAAUCCCACCUCAAAAACCGAAUCUAAAUGGCCAUAGCCAUGAAAACCAAGCUCAAAAAUCACUUCUAAAUGGCCAAGAUAGGCAAAAAUUAAUCUCUAGAAAGGGCCCUCAUAAAUCAUUCCUAAAUUAUGCAACCAAAGGUCUUCUUUUGGCAAUGUUGGUGGCUACAUAUGACUAUAGUGAUUAUAUCCAUCCAAAAAUCAUGUGGCUCUUGUAUUGUCUCCACAUAUAUUUUUUUCUUGAAACAUUCCUAGCCAUGUUGGCAUCGGUGGUUCGAACCCUUUCAGGGCUUGAGCUAGAGCCACAAUUCAAUGACCCUUAUCUCUCGACUUCACUUCAAGACUUUUGGGGGAGAAGAUGGAACCUCAUGGUAACAAGCAUCCUACGCCCGAUUGCGUACGAUCCCAUCCUCUACACGUGUAAGAACUUCAUUGGUCGCAGGUGGGCCCAGGGCAUAGCAAUUUUGGGUACCUUUCUAGUGUCUGCGCUCAUGCAUGAGCUCAUUUUCUACUACCUAGGACGCGGGAAGCCCACGUGGGAGAUCACUUGGUUCUUUUUGCUACAUGGAGUGUGUUUACCGGUCGAGAUUGUUUUGAAAAGGGCUGUUAACGGCAGGUGGCAGUUUCCCAGGCCGAUGCAAACUAUAUUGACCAUUGGAUUUGUGAUAGCUACCGGCUUUUGGCUGUUUUUUCCACCAUUUCUUGCGUGUAAAGCAGGUGUCAGGGCAAUUGAGGAGUACGCGGCUGUACGCGAGUAUUUGAAGGAAGCUGGUCAUGCAUAUUUUCCUUGGAUUUUUCAACAAAUCUAACGGCUUGUAAAUAUCCAAGAUUUGAGCAGCUUAUUUUGAUUGAAUGAACGGUUCGGAUUUGAUGCAAAUCUAAGAAAUUACAAAUAUAAGCAUGGUGGUUGUAGUUAUGAUUUAUGUACUCACUUGAUUAUUUUCCGGUAGUGUCGGGCAGGUCAAUUUUUCAAACAUAAAAUAAAAAAGAUCUAAACAGAUAUUUAGACGAAGAAAAUUUCAAUGAAUAAUUUAAUUAACCUGUAACACGGGAUAACUUCAAAAAAAAAAAAAAAAUAGGAAGCUUAAGUCACAAUAAAAUUAAUUUUAAAAGAUAAAAUUUUAAAAAAAAGAAAUUUAGAAGAAAAAAAAACUCUACUCAAAUUGGGUUUACUUUAUUAAUUAGAAUGAGAAAAUAAUUUUUUUAAAAAAAUUGAUAUAGAAAAAAAUCAAAAUUAAAUAAAUAAAAAAAUAUUGAUAAAAAAAUUGAGUUGCCCUAGAACCUCCAACCCCGAAUAACAUUAUAAAAAUGAAAAGCAAAAAUGAAAAGCAUAAAAAAUAAGAAAUUUUAAGAAUUAUUAAAAGAUAAAAUUAAAAAAAUAAUAAAUUCAAAGUAACUCGAGUUAACUUAACUAACCAGUGAUCUGGAAUAACAACUUAGAAAAAAAAAAAACUUAAAACCCAACAGUUUAAUAUCAAAAGAUAAAAUUAAAAAAAGUUUUAAAAAUAACUAAAAUCAAAUCAGGCUAAUUUUUAAAAUCAGUAAUUCUAGUUAUAAGACUGAGAUGACCCUGUAAAAAGAAAUUAAAUAUUAAAUAAAAUUCUUAAUCAUAAAAAAAAAUAUAUAAUUAAAAAAUAAAAUAAAUGGAAAGACAACUCUGAUUUUUUAUUAACUUGGCGUGAAUUUCAAGGAGAAUUGAGAGAAAAUAAAGGGAGGAGAAAAAACUCAACCAGCACCGAUUUAUCGUGAUUUGAAGUUUGAACAACAUGCGCCACCCCAGCAGCUUCGCCUUCACUUGAUAUUUUAGACGACACGACAAUUGAGAAAUUCUGGUUGAUGUACAAUGCCUGGAAUGGCAGGGGUGACAUAUACUCGCUGACGCAUGCACUUUUUUUAUUUAUUUAUUUAUGAAAAUAGUAAUUUUUUCCUAAUCCAAAUAGAGCAUAACAAUAAAAAAAGAUUUAUUAAAAAAAUACUAAAAUAUCUCUCUUAGCCUUUCAUUUUUGUAUUUACUUUUAAGGAUAUUUAUGUAGUUUAAUUAUAUAAAAAAAUAUAAACUACUAAAUUAUUUCCAAUCAAUUUGAAAAUGACUUUUGAACUCCCGAAAAAAUAUCAUUUUACCUUCGGUAGUAAGGCAAAAACUUUGUGCAGAGAAUAGCAAAGUAAUAAUUACAUCGUGUACGUCCACAAUAAAUUUCCUUAUAAAACACUGAUCUUUUUAGAGUUUUUUAUAAUUUGAGCAAAUAGGGACCGCAUCUUUAAAAAGAUAACAGGAUAGAAUUAUAUAAAAAAAAAAAAGCAGAGGGUGAAUUCGUGAAAAAAAUUAUAUGAUAUAUUAUUAGGUAAUAAAAAUUCAUGAAAAAAGCAUAGGGUGAAUCACAUACUUUAUGAUCAAGUCUAUUCUAAUUCUAUAGUAUAAAAAUUUGAUAACUAUUUAAUAGGUGGUCUAGUAAUAAAAAUUUGAUACUAAGAAGUUUGUUCCUCUUGUAGUCUGAGUUUCGAACCCUGUAGUUCCUAAUAUGAUGACUACUAGAGGCUUACAUGGUCGUUAACUUCAGGGGCUGUGAGAUUAGUCAAGGUGCGUGUAAGCUGACCCGAACACUCACGUUAAUAAAAAAAAUUAAUCUAAUAAAUUAGUUUUAUCAAAAAAUUUCUUGAUAUUUAUUCAUCAUCAUCAUCAUCAUCGAGUAUUGUUAUCGAUAACAUUUGUCAUGGUAAAUAAUAUACUUCUACUUGACUAAUUAAGAAAAAACUAAAACUGAUCAGUGUUUCACUGUGCAAGUCCACAGUGAAAUGCUGAGCAGUCCUUCUUUUUUUUCGUUUUUUUUUUAUUAUUUUUUCCCAUUUUUUUUUGUCUUCUUCUUUUUCUUCUUUUUUUGUUUUUUUUUGUUUUUAUUUUUUUUCCAUUUUUUUUUUAUUUUUGGUUUUCUAUUGUCUUUAUGGGUUUUUUUUUUGCUUUUUUCUUUGUGUAUUUUUCUUUUAAUGAAUUUUUUUGUUUAAUUUAGUUUGUUAAUGUUAAUUUUUUAUUUAGUUACCAAAUUUUCAUAACACGGAUCCCGGGUUUGACGGGUUAACCUGAUUUGACGAGUUAACUCGAUUUUUUUUUUCUUUUCUUUUUAAGAAAAAACUAAAACUGCUCAGUGUUUCACUGUGCAAGUCCACAGUGAAACGCUGAGUAGUCCUCUCCUUUUUUUUUUUGUUUUUUUUUCCCAUUUUUUUUGUCUUCUUCUUUUUGUUUUUUUUUUGUUUUUUUUUGUUUUUAUUUUUUUCCCAUUUUUUCCUGUUUUUUUUUUUUUUUUUUGGUUUUCUAUUGCCUUUAUGGGUUUUUUUUUUUGCUUUUUUCUUUGUGUAUUUUUCUUUUAAUGAUUUUUUUUUAAUUUAGUUUGUUAAUGUUAAUUUUUUAUUUAGUUACCAAAUUUUCAUAACACGGAUCCCGGGUUUGACGGGUUAACCUGAUUUGACGAGUUAACCCGAAUUUUUUUUUUCUUUUUAAUUAAUUGUAACAUAUACUAAAACGAAUCAGUGUUUUACUGUGGACUGCACAGUGCAGUCCACAGCAAAAUACUGAUCCGUUUUUGGUGUUUUUUUUUUAAGUUGUCUUAUUUUUUUAGCUGUUUUUUAUGCCUUUCGGGAUUUUUUUUUGCUUCUUUCUUUAUUUUUUUUCUUAUAACAAAAGUUUUUUAUUUAAUUUAGUUUAUUAAUGUUAAAGUUUUUUUAUUUAGUUAUCAGACUUUCAUGACACGUUUUCUGGAUUUAACGGGUUAACCUGAUUUGACAAGUUAACCCAGAAAUAUAUUUUUUUUGCUUUUUUUCUUUUUAAUUAAUUUUUUUUCAUUUAGUUUAGUUUGUUAAUGUUAAAUUUCUUUCUAUUUAGUUAUCAGACUUUCAUGACACAUAUCUCGAGUUUCACGGGUUAACCUGGUUUCACGGGUGAACCCAGUUAAUUCUGGGUUGACCCGUCAAUUUUUUUUUUGUUUUUUUUAUCAUAAUUUUUUUUUUCAUAAUUUAGUUUGUUAAUGUUAAAUUUUUUUUAUUUAGUUAUCAGACUUUCAUGACACAGAUCCUAGGUUUAACUGGUUAAUAUGGUUUGACGAGUUAACCCGAAUUUUUUUUAAUUUUUUUUAUUAAUUUUUUUCGUUUAGUUUAGUUUGUUAAUGUUCACUUUUUUUUAUUUAGUUACCAGACAUUCAUGACACGGAUUCCGGGUUUAACGGGUUAACCUGGUUUGACGAGUUAACUUGGAAUUUUUUUUUUGCUUUUUUUUUUAAUUAUUUUUUUUCGUUUAAUUUAGUUUGUUAAUGUUAAAUUUCUUUCUAUUUAGUUUUUUUUUCUUCUUAGAGGUUUUUUUCUUUUAUUUUUUAUUUUUAAUUAAUUUUAUUUAAUUAAUUUAGUUUAUUAAUAUUAAAUUUUUUUCUAAGUAGUUCUCGGCUGAUGCCUUUAGUUUUUCUUUUUGUUUUUUUGUUGUUUUUAUGCAUUUGACUGUAGACUGCACAAUGCAGUCCACAGUGAAAAAGCUCAUCCUUUUGUUUUUUUAAUUAAUUUUUUUUGUUUAAUUUAAUUGUUAAUGUUAAUUUUUUUUUUCUAUUUAAUUAUCAAACUUUCAUGACAAAGAUUCCGGGUUUGACAGGUUAACCUGGUUUGACGAGUUAGCCCAGUUAAUUAUGGUUUAACCCAUUAGUUUGUUUUUUUUCCUUUUUAAUUAUCAAACUUUCACGAUGCGAAUUUAAGGUAUGACGGGUUAACCUGGUUUGAAGGGUUAACCCAGUUAAUUCAUAUUUUUUUUCUUUUUCUUCAUUAGUUUUUAUUUUCCUGUUGUUUUUUUUUUUUGUUUUUUUUCUUUUUAACUAAUCUAUUUAAUUAUCACACAUUUAUAACACGACCUUGCAGCUAGACCCACGUCCAAUGCUAUUGGGUCUGGUAUUGCAGUCAAACCCGCUUAAAUUUAGGCCAUGCAAGUUUAAUGUUAUUAUUAAUAUUAUAAAUAUUACUCUUGGAUUAGGCGUUGCAACUAAACCUAAAACUCUUGGGUAUAACUUUGCAAAAAAACCUAAUACUUUUAGAUCUUAGCUUUUUAUGAAAUGCAAAAAAUAAUUAACCCGCGACAUCGCGCGGGGCAUGUAACUAGUAAUACUUCUAUAAGAGAUCUAAAAUAACACACCGCACUAGCCUUCGUAUUUUAUCCUCUUUUAGUCUUUUUUUUAUUUUUUAUCUCAAAGGAAGAAACUCGAAUCCAAAACUUACUAGAUUAAAGAAUGUUUGAUAAUAAAGUGUUUUUUUAAAAUGUUUUUUAAUUAAAAAUAUAGUAAAGUAAAAUUUUUAAUUUUUAAUAUUAAAAUCAUAAAAAAAUACAUAAUAAUAUUAAUUUAAUGUAUUUUCAGAUAAAAAAAUAAAUUAAAAAAAACUUAAAAAAAUAAAUUAAACUCCAUUAUCAAACACAACACUCCCUAUCACGGGUUGGGCUUGGAGCUCAUUGGCCUUUCACAUGGUUUGUUCGAUCACUUACAUUAGCAGCAGCGUGUAUGUUUGUGCCUCGCUUUCAUCAAACUAUUCCCGGCUGGCUUGCCUGUCGUAUAAGUUGAUCUGUUGUCUCAUUCAACCAUAACUCAGGUGACCAGACCAAUUAGUACUCCACCUAUAUUGCUAGCUACAAUAAUAUCCAUCAUGGGAACAGCAGCAGCCAAGUGAAGCAGGGAACUGACGGCUAAUGAAGGUGGUUCAAAAUAUCGCUGGAUAUGGUUGAGGCAGGGACACCACUGAUAGUCAAGAAUUUAGGAAGAGACUGGGAGUGGUUGCUGGUGUUUAAUGAGAGAGUCUAAGAUCGAGGUGACUUGAGCCACUUCCUUUAACAUUGGCAACUUCACAAAUAUAGAAUUAAUGCAAGAGUCUCCUUCAACAAUCACAUCUUGAGAGUGAAAAUGGGAGGUGAAUUGGGCAACUUUCUCUUGGUAUGGGUAUCAGCUGUGGCAUUACUUUGCUACUGUCACAAGAUAGGUCAGUUAACCCACAAAGGCACAACCAGGCUUCUUGCAAUCUUGCCAGUCGUAUGCAUCUUUCUUGUCAUGCCUCUCAGCAUCCUUAGUCUGAGUCUUAGAGCUAUUACUUCUUUCUUCCUUUGUUGGCUUGCCAACUUCAAGCUCCUUCUCUUUGUCUUCGAUCAAGGCCCUCUAUCAUCCAACCCGCCCCUCUCCUUGCCACAUUUCAUUGCCUUUGCUUGCUUUCCUAUCAAGAUUCAACAAGACCCUACACCAACAGUAUCACCUCAUGAUCAAGAGCUUGUAAAUGUUGAUGAUAAUCAAGAUCUUGAGAAGCUCGUGAGUGUUGAAAACAAAGACACCCCAUCUCAAAAAAUCGCCCCGAAAGGCCUUAAAUCUCAUCUAAACUACGCCUUGAAGUUUUUCCUACUAGUCAUAUUUGGUUACAUCUAUACCAGGGAAGACUAUUUCCAUCCAAAAUUUAUAUUGUUCCUCUAUGUUAUCCACAUUUAUAUUGCUCUAGAAUUAAUCUUGGCCAUGUUUGGAGCCCUAGCUCGAGCCUGUCUCGGUGUAGAACUCGAGCCACAAUUUGAUGAGCCGUACCUCGCCAGCUCUUUGCAAGACUUCUGGGGUAAGAGAUGGAACCUAAUGGUCACUAGCAUCCUGCAUCCAACUGUAUACAGUCCAAUCCGGUCAACUUUUAGCCGUUGGAUAGCAAAGAAGUGGGCUUCAUUACCAGCUGUGAUUGGCACAUUUUUAGUCUCUGGUCUCAUGCACGAGCUGAUUUUCUACCACAUUGGACGCCAAAAGCCAAAGGGGGAGGUCACAUGCUUCUUUCUCUUGCAUGGUUUUUGCUUGGCUAUUGAAAUAGGUAUCAAGAGAGAAAUAAAGGGUACAUGGGGGUUGCCUAGAGUAGUGGCAGCACCGCUUGUGGUGGGGUUUGUGGUGGUUACUGCCAUGUGGUUGUUCAUGCCCACCGUGGUUCGUUGCAAGAUUGAUGCUGAGGCACGGAUGCAGACUAUUGCUUUCAUUAAUUUUGUGGAAGGUGUUUAUAUCUACUUGAAAGAUGUUUUCAUAGAUCAUAAAUUUUAGACUAGUAAGUAAUUUUGUCGCAAUAAUUAUAAGUAGUUGAAGCCAGAACUUGUAUCGGCAAGCACAUUUAUAAACUUCAUUUAUUAAAAUCUUAGACCGGUACAAAUUUUUGUUUAAUAAUUGCUACGAUAGUUUAAUGCAAUAUACCAGCUGUUUGAUAAAAACCAUGAUCAAAAUAUUUAUUCGAUAUGCCCAGUACUUUACUGCAAUAUACCCUAGGAUAUCGUCUAAGUAGCAUAAAAAAAUAACAUUUGGUUUCUAUCUUCUGUAUAACGACAAUGAAUAUUGAAUUGAUAAAAAUAUGGUUAGUUAAAAAAUUAAAAAUAUAAAUACAAAAAUAUUAAAUAAAAUAAUGAAUUAGUAGAGACAAGAGAUAAAGGUAGACAAAUAACCAAUUAAAAUUAAAAGUUUAAAUUGUUAGGUGGGGUCUUAAAAUAUGAUUUAUAUUAAUCUUUAAUAUAUUUUUCAAGUAAAAGUUUUUUGAACUUGAAACUUUUACAUAUCUACACUAACUUGUGCUUGAUUUUUAUUAAAUAAAUAGAGAUUAUGAGAUUCGAAUUCGUGAACAUUUGGUCAUUAAGACUCUAAUACUUUGUUAAAGAACCGAUUCAAUUUUAAAGUUUAAAUUAUCAGGUGAGAUCUCAAGAUAUAAUUUCUACUAAUCUUUAACAAAUAUAAACAUCUUUAACAAAUAUAAAUAUAAAAUAAAUAUGUAUCUAGGAUAACUUGUAGGAAAUACAUCAUCGUUAUCUUAAUAAAAACAAUUGUAUUUAUACUAUUUAAAAUAUUAUUUUAUUAAUUUAGAUUUUUAAAAUAACAUUUUCUAUUCUAAUUAUUUUAAAAUCAUGUUUGAAACGUGAUGUAAAUUAUAUUUUUUUAAUUUUUAUAUUUAAAAUUAAUUUUUUUAUGUUUUUAAAUAAUUUUGAUGUGUUAAUAUUAAAAAAAAGUUUAAAUUUUUUUCGUAAUAUAUUUUUAAAUAAAAAACAAUUUAAAUUUUACUUCCAUGCAAACUCAAAUAAUAAGUUACUUGCAGUUAUUAUGACUAGCUGUAGGGGGCGGUGCUGCUAUGUACUAUAAACAUAAUUGAUGCAGCAGACAGCCAUAGUACCAAGACGUGGCAGAAAUUCAAUGACUUAUACUGAGACCACAGUUACACAACCCAGAUAACGAUGUGUUUGGGUGUGCGUGGUUAAGUCGUUUUUCUAUUUUUUUUAUUUAUUUAAAAUUAUAUUAAAAUAAUAAUAAUAAUUAGUUUUUUAAUUUUUUUCACAAACAUCCAUUUUAGCUGCACUUCUAAACAGAGUCUUACAGCAAGCACAAACUCUAAUUUAUGUCCAUCUCUUUCAUAUAUUUGAGUCAGAACAUUUGGAUAUAAAUUAGAGAAGAAAAAAACCUUGAUCACUGUCACACUUUCUUCUUCUUCUUCUGUUCUUUCUAUUUCGAGUAAAUAUAUACUGCAAGGACGAAGGAGCCCUUGUCUAGAGUCGCACAUGUGCCCACAUAGAUCAAUAUUCACUCUGUUCGAAUACAGAAACAAGACCACUUCCUCCUCUUGAAUCUGGAUAGAAUUGAUAGAACCUGAAUCGCCCUCACAGUUUCUUCUUUUUGAUCUUUCAUUUCAAGCGUAUAUCUUGUGAGCCUCCCAUACCAAGAACAGUAUAAAACCUCGUCUUCAAGUCCGAAAACUUCUUCCCACCUCAAACAUUACAGUUGCUGUGUUUCAUUUCCUCUCAUUUACAACUGAUCGAAGCAAGGAUCAUUCUGUUGAGGCUUUCUUUGUCUUUUGCAGAAAUACUUUGCAGCCUACAUGAUUGUUGUUUUAUCAGUGUAUCCAUCCACGCCUUCAACUAAUAACUGCCAGAUAAAGGCACCAGCCCGCCUCUUCUUUGCGGAUUCAUAAAUUUUAUCAUACACUGUUUUCAACAAAACAUCUCUGUCAAACACUCCCUUCUCAUCCACGUGCCGACUUGAGCCGACUUCUUUGAAAAGAACUGGUUUCCUCAGCGCAAUGUCUCCAUCACUUAUAUGAGAAUCCACCCAAUGGGAAAGAUAACUCGUUUUCGCUUCCAAAUCAGCAUGUGGGAUCCUACAAUGCAUGGUAUAAAGAGAAACAAGAGUAUAUCUAUCAGGAAUUUAUAAAUAUAAAUACUUAACUCAUUUGUUUACUCUGUCCUUCAAUCAACUGCGUUACCAAUCAAUUGAACUGCACUAUAUAAAUGUAACUUCUAGGUUGCCAUAGUUAGCAACAUUUAGACAGCAUGGAGCCAAAAUCAAAUGAACAGCACUAUAUCUUCUCAAACGGUUGACACUGCAUCACUAUUUCAAGCUUAAAGUGAUCUUCCUAUCAGCUUACGUUAUGGGGGUCCUAACAUGGCAUCGUGACAGAUGGGUGUAGUAAACCAUUAUUCUUGUGUAGCUCAUCAUUAUUACUGGACCCUAAUCUACAAUACUCUGCCAUAUAAUGAACUGGAAAUAAAUUACGAACCACCUGUCUGGAUAUGCGUGAACUGAUGCAAAAUCGAUGUUGGAUAUUGCUGAGUUUGGUAUGAAGUCUGAUCCAAGUGAUGCUGCCCGAAUCCCAGGAUUCACUUCUGACUUGUUAGUUGUAUUCAGGCCAUAAAACCCUUCAAGUCCAACAGUCACCAGAUGUCUUUUAUCCAAGCUCUUGAUAUAUGCAGCCAUCUCAGCAAUCCAUGCCUUAAGCCAAAGGCAAAGCACUACAAUGAUUUCAAUCCCAUUUGAUUCAAAAGUAAACCAGAAAGUUUGCUUAAACAACAACGCAUAUCCUUUUGAUAUUGUUAAUAACAGAUAUGAACAAACCACCCCGCCAUCAUAGAGAACUAGAGAAAAUGAUAUUCUUCGGCUAAGAAUGCUUCCAUCAAACAGCACCAUCACCCUUCUCUCCAGAUUCCAGCCAAAUCCUUUAGUUUAUUUUUGAAAUUCUAUGCCAACAUAUACAGAAGAAUGAAAAUUCAAUGGUUCACCUGAAGUGCAGGAGCUGAAGAACUUGAUGAACACCGAGGCUCAUUCAUGAGCUCCCAGGCGAAAAUUGCCGGUUCUUCAGAGUACCUAACUCCACUUAAUGAAUUCUUUCUCUUCACAACUGCCUGGAAAAUGCAUAACAGAAAUUUGCAGUCAAGAGAUUAUCAUAAUGCAGCAAGAGAAGCAUAGAUUGCCAAGUCCCAAAUCUUGAAUGUCAGCUCUUGUGAAAUUUCAUUCCUAUUACUUGCUAAUACAGCAAUAAUUUUAGCUUAAAUUGAUCUAGCAGAUGAUGCACAAUCAAAUUUCAGAUGGUAAGUUAUAGCAUAACAUAUUAAGUUCACUAAUUAACUUAAACAAAUAGAGUCGUCACAAAACUCACUCAUAUUCAAUGCUCCCAUUCAUUUUACAAUCAAAUAAUGCCUGUUAAGUCAAAAACAAAUUCCAUGCAAUUGAUUAAAAUCCAAUGACUUAGCCUUGGAGGUGUGAAACAUAGCAUCUCACCUUAAUAUAAAUAAGCCUUGAAGUAAUCUUUAAUAACUGGGUUCGGAAAGAAUGAGUCAUCUGAUGAAGAGACAUUAACUCCAGCUUCCUUUGCCCACUUCACAUACUGAGUUUUUCCACCAAAUGCAACCAGGUUAUUCAGCAGACUGAGAAUUAACCUUCCACGAUUCCUUCUUGCUUCAACUAUCACAUAGUCCAAUCCCUGCAGACAAAUACCUUCAUUAAACACAAAUAGUUCCCAAAACUGCUUCAAGAUUAUUCCUUUAUAUGUCAUUGAAAAGCCCAUAAGCCUUUAACCACACAAUUGAGGCCAUUCAUUAAACUUAACCUCCCCUCCAAGAUCUGACAGCCAAUUGAAAGCAAAAAUCUUAAUUUUUACAACCUUGAGAAGUUUAUAACUUACUUUGAAGACCCUUUCGUUGAAGACACCAGGAGAGACCUGCAAAGCAUCAGGCCCAUGACCAUCACUGAAAGCCCAAGUCCUGCAAACAGUCAACCCCAUUUGAGAUCCUCUCUUAAGCAUCUCAGAAACCUUUGAUCUUGAUGAACUCCACACACUCUCCAUCAUCAACCAAUAUGAAUUCCACCCAUUAACAUAAAAUGCUGAUUCCCCAUAAUCAUCACCAUCAUUGAUGAUGAUGAAUUGAGUGGAGUCGGUUUAGACAAAUCCCAUCUUGGGUUGCCAUAAAAAGACGGGAAAACUGAGGCUGCCGUUACUGUUGUUGAAGUUAAGGUAAAGAAGAGAAAGUAGCAUGAGUAUUCCUAGGAAUGGAUACAGUCUUCUGUCUCUCCAUUGGGAGUCCAUUUUCCUGUUUUCUGAGCAGACACUGAAAUAUGUUUUUUAUUCUUUGUUCACGGUAAGUAAGGAUACAAACAAAAGCCACCGAGAUCGCCGUCGCUAAAAAUAUGAAAUCUUUUGCGGUCGUAAUUUAGGCGAUGACUGGGUUUGAAGAGUAUGGUUAGUGUUGUUUUUUAAAUUGUUUAUUAAAAUAUUUUAUUUUAUUUUUUAAAAAUUAAUUUUGAUAUUAAUAUAUUAAAAUAAUCUGAAAAAAUAUAUAAAAAUUAAUUUAAAAUAAAAAAAUAAAACUUUAAAUUAUUUUUAAAAUAUAAAUAUGAUUGAAUGUAGUAAUUUGUUUUUGUAUUUUAAAUUUUUUUUUAAAAAAUUAAAUUUAUUUUAAUAUAUUUCUUAAAAAAAAAACGAAUUCAACCAAAAUAAUCACCUGUUUUUGUCGGUGGCUAAGCUUUGGGCAACGGAGUCACUUUGUUGCUGUAAAUAUGAGGAACCGGGAAAUUACAACAGGCUUUAUACUUGCUGCCAUGACAAUUUUUUUGAUUGUUGAUAUUUCUCCGGCGGAAGCAGAGCUAUUCUCCGGUCAGCUUUCUUGCAUUUCCGGUUCUAAAAAUUGAUUAUACUUGUUACAAAUGUAUUAUUCAUUUUGUAUUUAAGAUUAAAAAUAUAUAUAUAUUUUUUAAGAAAUUUAGUCUCAAAUUUGAAUAAUAUUGAUUAAAAUUAACAUAUUUUAUUGAUUAUAGAUCAAUCCAUUCAUCCACUCAAAUUAAAAAUUAUAUGUUAAUUUUAUUUAUUAACCAUAUAUUAUUUCAAGUUCAAAUCAAAUAAAAAGCGGGUAGAAAAUUGUUCGGACGUAAAUAAACUAUUUAAAAUUCAAAGAAAUAAUUAGUUUUCACAGGGAAAUAUCAAAAUAAACUAAACAUUUCAUACAAGUUUUUCAUUUUGAGAAAAAAAAAAUGUUUUUAAGUAGUCGAUUUUGUUAUCUCAAUAGCUAAUAACAAAAUUUUGAGUAAUUGUUCAACAGGGAAAUAUCAAAAUACACUAAACAUUUCAUACAAGUUUUUCAUUUUGAGAAAAAAAAUUCUGUUUUUGUGAGGAGGAGGAAUACAAGUUUCUGGUAAUGAACAAAGCAAACUUUUGUUUAUGAUACAAGUUCAGUGAUUAACUUUUGUUUCUAUACACAGAGAUAGCAAAAUAAAAUUCAAAAAGUUUCAAUCAACGAAGAAACAAAAUAAUUUAUGAUCAUCACUCACUUGUACAACUAAAAGUUUUGAUCUUUAGGCACAAAAGGAUCAAAAGUUCCAAUCUUUCUUUCAUGGUUCUUUCAAAAACCUCUGCAAGCAUCUAAACCCAAGAUAUUGAGCACAAAACUUCUCCAUUUCUUCACCACCUCUCUCCAUACAAAUCUCCUCCUCCAUCUCCUCCAACACCAUAUCCCAUCCACCAUAAGGGUCCCACUGCCACCCAAAAUAGUCACCACCAUCAGCACCAACUUUUGCUUCACAUAUUGAGUCCAAUAUUUCCUGCAACCCCACAAUCCUACGGCUGACUUUCCUUCUUGCUUCUCUCACCGUUGGAUCAACCCCCGGUACUGAAUCGAGCCUCAGAAGCAAGCCCAUCAAGGCCUCAUUCAUCCCCAGCUUUUCUUUCUCGCUACUUCUUAUUGCAUCCACUGUUUCCUGCCGUUGGAUUUGGUUUUGUAACUGAUCAGCUUCAGAACUAACAGCUGAGAUUUUCUUGUAAAGGGUUCGGAUCAUAUGUGUCCUGUAGCAAGAUUGGAUCUUGGUGGCAGCAGAAGUGGCAGUGCUUGAUUGGGUGGUGGAUUUGGGGGAGGGGGGCUUGACGGGGAUUUCAAUGGUUUUUGUAGGGGUAGUAUGGUCAUUAUGGAAAGAGUAAGUGACUGUUGCGGUGGAGGAAGUGAAGUAGCUGAAAUUGCUGGAUGGGUUCAUUUCCUCAACCUUGAAAGAAAGAAGGAAGGAAGGAAGGAAGAAAAGACGGUCAGGGAAUGUCAGAUGAGAGUGAGAUUUUAUACAGAAGGUUUUGGAAAAUUUUGCAAUAAUGUCAAGGAUUGUUUGUGGGCUAACGUUUUGAUUCUUUAUCUUGAAUGAUCUUGCCGUUUAGCAGGGGACCCAUGAUUUGCUUUUGACAAACGGACAUGCUUUUUGGGCAAAUGACAGUGCUUUUGAUUCUGUGGUUGAUUUCUAUAACGUUUGUGAUGAAAUAGUAAAACUUUAUAUUGAAUUUGAGAUGUACACGACUGAAGUGUUUGGGCAUCACACGCACCCUUGCAAAAAUAAGACCUUUAUAUAAGAAAGAGUGAUGAAGAUUAUGUGUUUUUAUAUGGAAUUUUGUUUUGUGUGUUUACCGGGUAAUCUAAUAUAUUUAUACAUCUUAAUUGCAUGAAAUUUUCUUAUAUAAUGUAGAGUAAUUAUGGAGAAUAAUUAUAUUUUCUCACUUUAUAAAAAAAAAAAAUCUUUUACAUGAUAUUAGAAUAUUGAUAAUCAAAAUGGUCACAAGUUUGAAUAUUAUUAUCAUCAUUCUAAUUAAUAAAUUUAAACAUAAGGUAAUGUAAAUCCAUGUAAGUUUUAAACUCAAAUAGUUUUCACUCGAGAGCGUAUGCUAAAAAAUAAUAUAAAUUAUAUUUUAGAGUCUCAUCUAACAGCUUAAACUAUUGUGUUGAAUUGGUUAUUUGACAUGUUAAAAAACAAUAUAAAUUAUAUCUUGGAACUUCACAUAACAAUUUAAUUUUUUAGGUUGAGAUUGUUCUUUGACAUGAUUUCAAAGUCUUGAUGACCAAAUAAUUAUGAGUUUAAAUUUCACCACUCUUAUUCUAAUUAAUAAAAAUUAAGCACAAGGUAGUGUGAACAUGUGCAAGUUUCAAACCCAUAAAGGUUGACAUGACGUGUUAGAUAACAAUAUAAAUUAUAUUUUGGGACCUCACCUAACAGCUUAAGUUUUUAAGUUGAAAUAGUUCUUUGAUAGUGAAUCUAUAAAAUGAGCUUGUUGAUUGUUAUACUUCAUUGUCCCAUUGGUGAAAAAUGUUGGCACUCACAGGUAUUUGACAAGAAAGGUUAGCGUCAUAUUAACAAGGCGUGUUCCAUACUUACUGUUGGUGAUAGUUAUUAGAGAGAAAACUAAAUGUCGCCCCUGACCUCCAAGAGGUCUUAAUAAUGCAUUGUGGUGUGUGUCAAUACUAAACAUCCUGGGAUGGAUUUGCACAGGAUCGAGAUUCAAUCCUAGUAGUUAGAUCGAGGUCCAAAUACGAGACAAGGAUUUUCAUUUAAGCUUGACAAAACAAACAGGAUGUCCUAAACGGACAACCAUCCCUCUUGUUUGGGCUAUGACCCAAACAAACAGUAACAUCAUCAUGAUCACUCUAAUUAUUUUGUAUAUUAUUAUAUAAAACACUAAAAUGUGUGGUGUUUUCUUUAUAGUAGCUGCACUAUGGACACACAAUCAGUGUAUUGUGGACUCACAAUGCAAUGAGUUUUUUUCAUCAUUUUUUAUUUUAUUUAGUCAUUUUAGAUAAAAAUUUAAGGCUCAUUUAAGUUAAAUUGUUAAGGAAAAACAAAAUUGAAAGACAAAGAACUAGGGUGAAAAAGGUGGGUAAAGUGGUGGAAAUUUCAAAGUUUGCACAUAAAAAAUCACUUUCACCCUUCUACUUUUCCAAUGAUACCUUUAUAGUCCCUCAAGAUUUUAAAAUUUAAUUUUUGCACAAAACUUUAUUUUUAUUAUUUUUAAUUCCUGGUUUGAAAGAUGAGAGAGAAAGAUAUAUUGGAUUCCAGUGAUAAAUAGAAAAAGUUUCAGCUAAUACUGAUUCUAGCAACAAAACAAGGUCGAUCUUGAUGUAUAUGAAUUCCAUUCAAUGAGAAACAUUUUACUUGUAUGUUAUUUUCUCCUUGAAAUGGCCUGAAAAAAUAAAUCUUGAUGUUCACGAGUUGCAUUCAACACGUCAUCCACCUCUAAUAAUUAAAAAUAAAAUAGAGUUAAUGAGUGGGUCAAGCCUAUUUGUAUCGGUCUACAAUUGUUUUUUUUUUUUCAGCCACGUGGAUUGGCCUAUAAGACUAGCCUAGUUACUUUAUUUUUUUCAUUUAAUAUAUUUUUCAUACUUGUUAAGCCUAACCCAAAACAAAUACAGGGAACGGGUUAGGAAGGUCAACUUGGAGUAAUUCGAGCUCAUCAAAAAAAUUAUAUUUUUAAAAUAAAUCAAAAUAGCAUUGUUUUUUAGUUUUUUUAUAGAAAAAUUCAACAAGUUUUGUACUGGGUUUUGAUCGGAUUUUAUUCAAGUCAAAUCGGAUUUUUUAGUGGAUCACAUUGGGUCAACUCCUCCCUUUUUUUAAACCUGAUCUAACCUAGGCUCAGGGUCACCAAGUUGGCCCGGGUUCUUAUAGCGAUAGUAUUUUCAACCCCUUAUACUUAAAACAAUAUUAUUGCAUCCUUUAUUUGGUAUUUAAAUGUCUUUAUAUAUAAUUUGACUUAAAAGGACCUUUUUUUUUAUCAAACUUUUAAAAGAUUAGCCAUGCCUUUUAUUUUAGCCCCGCGAGUCACCCUUGUUUUUUAGUCUCUUUCUUUUUUUUUAAUUCUUUUUGUUGUUUUGUAUAGGAAAAAAAACAACGCACCUAUUAGGGUAUAGUUAAAUGAAAAAAAAAAGUUGUUAGUUCUCGUGUGUUGCAUGACGUAGAUAAUGAAUUUGCCAAGUUUACUGAGGGUUAAUUUGAGUAUUGUAACUUUUUUUAAUUUAAUAGUUGUAGAUUUAUCGUGAUCUCAAAUAGAUGCUCUAAUAUUUAGUUGGUUCUUAAUUUUACAAGUAUUUAUUUUUCUUAUCAUAUAAUUAAGUAAAAGAUUAUAUAAAAAAUUAUUAAAUCUAAUUGAGUCCAUGAUCUAAGACACAUCUUUGGUUAAUUAAAUUUGAUUGGUUAGAAAUUAGGCUUAAUAAUUUAUUUUAAGUACACAAAUAAUUCUUAAUUUAUUUAAUUAAAACUAUGUAUGAACUUUUAAAUUUAUGAUUAAGAUUUUUUUAUGUAAAAAACAUGCAUGUUAAUGUUAUUGAAAAAUAGUAAUAAUUGCAUUAGUAAGAUUUGUUUAUUCAUUAUAUAAGCUUCAAAUUUAAUACAUGAGAGAUUCUUUGAAGGAGUGAGUUCAAUAACAGGAUGUUCUUAAAAUAUUGUUAACUUUGAAAUCUUUAAUUCAUGGAAGUUGAAUUUUGAUGAUCUGGUUCUAUGUCCGUUAUAGAUUUUCAAAUUACAGCGCCUUUUUUCGCCAACAUUAUCCUCAAAGGUUGCUCAGAAACAUGUGGGGAUAAAAAAUCUUUGGUCAGAUUCAACAUGGUGCAUUGUGUUCUUCAGGCCGAUCGAGGUAUACUUGGAAGCAUGAAAAUAGACAGAAAUGGAGUCGAAGCUCAAUCCAAGACAGCCUUAAAUGGUGUAAGAAUCUGCGAAAAGAACUCAAAAUCAAACCCCAAUUCUUAGUGCAUUGAAACCCAAGCUCUGAUUUACCAGAGAAGGGUUAGAAACAAACAGGCACAAGAUCCAGAUUCUAUUACACCUGGGGGUUGAAUAAAUUACAGAUUUCACUGGAUUCAACUACUGGAUACACAAGGUCACGAUAAGAGGUGUCUUUGGAUCUGUUCGUACAUCAACGAAAAACUUAAAACGUAUCUCGACAUCGAUUUUGCUGCAUUAAACGUAUACACAAUGAACAAUAUGCUUCUUCAACAAUCAACAGCUCUACUCGAGUAAGGGAUUUAUUGGAUUAUCGCACAGCCGGACAUCGGCUGAUGUAGGCUCAGAGCGCAAUCCAACAUUAAGGUGACGGGAGGAUUCUUCCGGCGAGAGCAAGUGCCAAACCCAACACCGUAACCAUCUCCCUGCAACGGAUUAAAUUUCAAGUAGUGUUUUGCAUUUCACGCGAAACAGAGGAAGGAAAUGCACGAGGAAAGAACCUUGGAUCAUCUCCAUUUAGUGACAGUGGCUUUUGCCCAUUCCAUGUUAGCUCUAACAGGCAUCCACAAGAUAGCUCCUGCUUGACAAUACAAGGGGUUGCUGUUGUUCAGUAGAAGAUGAUGGAAGGAAAGACAAACUGGAAUUCCAGGCAUAGAUCUGAUCGAAGCCUCACAGGUGCGCUGAUUGUUCCAGCUCCAAGUAGAUCAGAUGGUGUGUAUGCUGUUGAGUCACUGGUCCAAUAUCUGUUAAGCAAAUAAGAAUUCUGAGAAUAUGGUUGCUUAAAUAAUAUGAUUUCUUACGUGGAUGGAAAAAUCUAUAUAAUAAUCCGUAACUUCAACUCUUUGGGCACAGCUCAGCCUGCUUGGUUUGGUUAAUGUCUUAAAAUAAAAAAGAAAUUGAUAUAAAAAAACAUAAAAAAAAUUAUUUGGUUAUAAAGAUGGGAUAGAGAUUAAAAAAAAACAAAGAAAACACAUUAAUAUAUAUAUAUAUAUAUAUAUAUAUAUAUAUAUAUAUAUUAACAUUUUUAAAUUAAAAUUAUGUUAUUUCAAAACAAAAAAUAUAUAAAGAUAUAUCUUUUUAUUUCAGCUAGUUAAUUUAUUAAUUAAUGAGAAAGAUAUUUGUCUUACAAUAAAAAAAAAUAUACAAAAAAGCUAAACAUAAAUUGAGGGGGAAUAGAGAGAAAUUAUAUAUAACAAUUUUGAAAUAAUUUUUUUUAAAAAAUAAUAUAUAUUUUUUUCCAAUUAUCUUUAUCUAUUCUAUUAUGAUACAGUACUCAAACUUCUGAAUAUUUAAUAUUGAGUUAUAUGAUAUUUUUUAAAAAUAUUUUUUAUUUUGAAAUAUAUUAAAAUAUUUUUUUGAUAUUUUUAAUACUUACAUAAUAAAAUAAUAAUUAUUUACUUUUUUAAACUAAAUAUAUUUUUAAAAUACAGUUUCAAAAUAUGAAAGUGAUGAUAUAAAAAUGUAUUUAAGAUUAUUGUAAAUUUUGCUUUUCACAGUACUAUCUAUUUAAAAAUAAAUUAAAACAUAUAUUUUUAAUUUUUUUCAUAUCCAAAUAUUAAAAUAAUUUAAAUACAUAAAACAAAUAAUUUAAAAAAUAGCUGAAUAAAAAAAACAAUUAUCCCCACGUUAAGAAAGUGCUGCACGGUAAAAGUUAGUACGGCGGAUAAAAAACAAGCGACGCCGUUUCUGACUCCUCUCUCUAUAAAUAAACCUUCUGUUUGACCUCAUUCAUUCUCUCUUCGAAGUGCAAAAUCACAAAAUCCUAAAAUCCAAAAGCAAAAAUAAAAUAAAAUCAACGGAUUAGUAAUUAAUUAACUCAAUAUUUUAAAAAAAAUAAAUAAAUUGAAAAGCUUGUAUAAAUCCUAAUCUUUCUCGAAGGAUUAGUCUGCGAAAUGUCGUUCGAUCUUCUGUUAAAGCCGUCGUGUAGCGGCUGCGGCAGCACCACAGAUUUGUACGGAAGCAAUUGCAAGCAUAUGACGCUUUGCUUGAAUUGCGGCAAAACAAUGGCGGAGAAUCGCGGCAAAUGCUUCGAUUGUGGCACUACUGUCAGUCGCUUGAUUCGAGUACAGUAUCUGUCUCUAUUUGAUUUUGUUUAUUUUUCGGAUUUUUUUUCAUCAUUUUUUCGAAUAUUUUUUGGUGAUUUUUAUGAGUGAAAUUUGAUUUUUUUUCCCCGAUUUUUUAUGAUUUCUCGGGUGAUUAUUAGGAGUAUAAUGUUAGGGCGAGUACGAGUAGCGACAAGAAUUAUUUUAUAGGAAGAUUCGUGACAGGAUUGCCGAGUUUUUCCAAGAAAAAAAAUGCGGAAAAUAAAUGGUCUUUGCACAAAGAAGGAAUCCUUGGUCGUCAGAUUACUGAUGCUUUGAGGGUAAUAAUGAUUUUUUUAUACAUAAUUUUAGUGUUUUAUUUUUUUAUUUUUUUAUUAAGUAUAGAGUAUUUAGGUUUGUAAUUGAGGAUUUUGGAUUGUGUAGGAGAAGUUUAAGAAUAAGCCUUGGCUAUUGGAGGAUGAGACUGGGCAGUCUCAGUAUCAGGGUCAUCUUGAAGGGUCGCAAUCGGCGACUUAUUAUCUGUUGAUGAUGACUGGGAAAGAGUUUGUUGCUAUUCCUGCUGGUUCAUGGUAUGUGUGAUUGUUAUUUUUAAUGACUUUGGUGUUUGUGGUUCCUCACUUGAGGUAGGGUGGUUGUAAAAUGUAUGAAUUUGGUGCUUGUGAUUGAUGUGGUAAUGAUGAUAUGUGGAAUAGGUACAACUUUAACAAGGUAGCGCAUUAUAAGCAACUUACGUUGGAGGAAGCAGAGGAGAAGAUGAAGAAUAGGAGGAAGACUGCGGAUGGGUAUGAAAGGUGGAUGAUGAAAGCUGCAAAUAAUGGAGCUGCUGCAUUUGGUGAGGUGGAGAAGGUAGAUGAUAAGGAGGGUGUUUCAGCUGGCGGGAGAGGUGGGCGUCGGAAAGCAAGUGGUGAUGAUGAUGAGGGAAAUGUGUCUGACAGGGGAGAGGAAGAUGAAGAGGAGGAGGCAGGAAGGAAGAGUAGACUCGGACUCAAUAAACAGGGUGGUGAUGAUGAUGAAGAAGGUCCAAGAGGAGGUGAUCUUGAUAUGGAUGAUGAUGAUAUUGAGAAGGGUGAGUGUUUUUCCUCAAACGCCAUGUGGGUGCCAAUUUCUUGUAUAAAUGCUUAAAUGAUUUCCUUAUGUUCUUUUAAUUGCUGGUUUUUUUUUUUAAAUGUCUGCUAGUCUUUUUUUCUGCCUUCUUGAAAUCAAUACUAUCUUCUUUCUGAUGCACAUUAAACAUGAUACAUUGCUUUUUUGUUCUUUUUUCAUGGGCGUGCUACGAGCUUCAACUGUGUUGAAUUUUACACUGAUUUUUUUUUUGUAAACCAUACAUGGCAAUUUAGGUUUUCUAGUAAUUCCUACCUCAGGCACAUGUAUUUUAUGGUCUUAGGUGAUGAUUGGGAGCAUGAAGAAAUUUUCACCGAUGAUGAUGAAGCUGUCGCCAUUGAUCCUGAGGAACGGGAGGAUUUGGCCCCAGAAGUUCCUGCUCCUCCCGAAAUCAAGCAGGUCUGUAUUAGCAAACAAUCUUGGUGCUAAUCCAAACUACUUGCUUUUGUGCCUCAACUUAUAUAUGUUCUUUGGGCAUGUUGGCAUAUUGCUAUUUGCUUGGUGUGUUAUAUAUGUAUUCAUGUAAUGCUGGUUAGGCUAGUUUGGUUCUUCUGAGAGUAGUUUGAAAAUGUGGAGAUUUUAGUCAGAACUUUUUGUAAUGUUGACUGAUAUAUGAAAUGGAAUUUUAAUUUUGGAGCACAAUUGAUAAAGGGGGACAUUAUUAUUGAGAAGCACACUGGGUUUUUUAUUUUUAAUGUAAUGCUGAUAAUAACAGUAAGGUAUUUGCAUGUUCUUGCAGGAUGAAGAUGAUGAGGAUGAGGAGAAUGAGGAGGGAGGACUGAGUAAAUCUGGGAAAGAGUUGAAGAAGCUACUAGGGAAAGCAAAUGGUCUAAACGAGUCAGAUGUAGAAGAUGACGAUGACGACGAGGAUGUGAGUUUUUGUGAUGGCUGAUUGUAUGCAUGUUUAAUUGGCAACCUAAGAGCAUUUUCAACAUUGCUUUGCUGUGCUUGUUUUCUAUUUGCUUUUAUUUUUUGCUUCUAUUUUCCUGGUCCAAUAUGAAAGUGCAUUGAGCGAUCAGGGGUGGAAAUUAAUUUUUUUUAAUUCUGAGAUGUCAAUCAACUUAUAUGAUGCCUGAUUUGACAUAUUAUUUUGUAAAGCUUUCUUUGGUAUUCUUGUUAAUUUUUGUAUCUUCUCUCACUUACAGUGCUCUUGUUUGGUCUUAUCAGAUGGAUGAUGAUAUUUCUCCGGUUCUGGCUCCAAAGCAGAAGGAUGUUGUGCCGAAGGAGGAAGCUGCUGACAUUAGUCCUGCAAAACCAACACCUUCAGGUUCUGCUAAGGGAACCCCUUCUACCUCCAAGUCUGCCAAGGGGAAAAGAAAAUUGAAUGGUGAAGAUGCAAAAUCUUCCAAUGGUGCACCUGUGAAGAAGGUGAAGACAGAAAAUGUAAGAUGUUUUUUCAAAUAUACAUCUAAAACAGUGCGCUAUGCUAUCAAAUGUCUGUAAUAACCAAUCUUCCUAUCAACUUUAAUGUUCUCUUAAAGCAGGAAGUAAAACCUGCCGUGAAAGAAGAAAGCUCGCCUGCUACUAAAGGUACUGCAACUCCUAAAGUAACACCGCCAUCAUCAAAAACAGGGUCAACAUCAGGUUCUACUGGUCCUGUCACUGAAGAAGAGAUCAGGGCUGUUUUGUUGCAAAAUGGGCCUGUUACCACACAGGAUCUGGUUGCUAGGUUUAAAUCACGACUAAGGACUCCUGAGGUAUGCUCUUCUUUAGCAUUGUGCAAGCUUGCUUCAUAUUGCCUGCCACUCAAAACUGACCUGUUUGCUGUGCUGUUGCAAGAUUUUCUAUGGAAGCUAUGUUUUCAGCUAGUACCAUGCAUUUUUAUUUAUUUAUUUUUUCUAAAACCGGUUUAACUUUAGAUCAAAUUACAGUUACCCUUAGUUUUUAUGCUUAUGAUUUGGUAAUUAUGCUAUCCAGUGCUUCACUGCUGAUUACUCUUUAGGAUUAUCAGUCCGGUUAUGCAUGCUCUUAAGAAUUUGUGUUGUUCAUGAUGGGAUAAACACAAUUUCAGGUUGGAAAACAUGUGCUUAGAAAACUGUUCUAGAAUGUCUGAAUCUCAUGCCAGGUGAUUUUUCUUAUCAUUAAGGGGUGUGGGUGGCUAAGUUUUUGCAUAGAACAUGGGGCUUCUACCAGUUCAACCAAGGUUGGGUUGGUGGCACAGGAUAAUAAUAUAGAUAGGAUGGACUGAAGAUGUAUCUCCUUGUUGCUUACUAUAUUCAUUCAUUCUACUGAACGAGAAUUUCUGCUUCCUCCUUUGGAAGAACAAUAAAGUAGCAUCACCUGAAAAGUUUUGGAUGCUUUCAGUUCCCUCUCUCCUCUCUGUUUUCUGACUGGUGGAAGUUAAUUGGUGCAGGACAAGAAAGCUUUUGCAGAUAUUCUGAGGAGAAUUUCUAAGAUUCAAAAGACCAGUGGAUCUAACUAUGUUGUGCUGAGGGACAAAUGAUAGCUUUCUCCGUGUUCCCAGAAUUUCACUUGCUCAGAUUAGCCCAUGAAACCGCUAACUAUCCUGUAAGUCUAUAACUGUGCUUGCUAAAAAAGAAAAUAAAAGGAGAAGGAAAAGAAUCCCUUUAGCCUUCUGUAACUAAUAUCCUUGUAAGCUGCAGCAAAUUUAAUGAUGAAAUUGUAAAAUGUUAACUGUAGUAAAAUGUACUUGUAAAAUGUAGUGUACACUGACUGUGUAUUUUGUUUGGAGGCUGCUAGAUGUGUACUCAUUAACUCAACAAUAUGCUAGAAACUGAUGCAUCCUGGUCUCAAUUGAUGUGUUCCUAAUUUCAAGCAAAUGAUUUUCCUUAGACUUGAAUGGUAGCAAUCUUGCAUGGUGUGUCCAAACCCUACAUCUGCUAUGGCUUGUUUCCAAACCAUGCCUUGAUUUGAUUUUUUUUGAGUUGAUGCUUGAUGCUGAUGGACGGUAGUGAAGAGCUUGGAGCACUGGUUCUGUUUGUGUACAUAUGAGCAAAGCACCCAUCAGGCCUUUAAAGGCAACCCCAGACCAAAACCUACACUAGGAACUAUAAAAAUGGCUGCUCUAGUAUAAUCUAGCAGUGCUAAUUAAACAUUAUUCGUCCAAUAAUUUUCUGAAAAAUUUCAUCCGUUGAAAUGACAGGCUUCCAUUGGUGGGUGUUACAAGUCAAAUGAUUGAAAUUCUGGUAACAUUAGCAUCAUUCUAAUUUGCUAAUAUUUUUAGAUAAUAGUUGUUAGACUCCACUACCUAAGGCCCGGAUCAUUAAUUUGCUAGUUUGUGGGUUAAAUCCGAUGAUUAUUUGAGUUUUUUUUUUUUAAUGAUAAUAUGUUUUGGAAAAAAAUUGUUUUGAUUUUUUAAUUAAUGAAAUGAUAUUGUUUGAACAAAAGAGUUUUAAAACGACUUCAUUUUAGAUGAAUUUAAAAAUCGUUUGAGUCAUGUUACUGGUUGACAUAAAACAAACUCGAUUCGAGCUAGGCUUAGAGUUAUCGAGUUGAUAAUCGAAUUGUGUUUAAUGUCUUUUCAAGGUGUAUCUAAAUUAAAAUUUUAAUAUUUUUCAAUCUAAAUACAUUAUUUUUAAAAGCACUUUCAUCCUCUCAUGUGUAAGAAGGUUGGUUAAGGAUUAAAGGGAGAAGAAGGGUGCUUUCAUUAGUAUAGAACAUUAAAUCAAACGACCAGGAAUAAUAAUAAUAAAAAAAAAAACUUUAUGGACAUAUUCCUUGCAAAAACCAAAGAAUACAUAGGUCCAAAUUAACAUAAUUUUUGUAAGUUUUCCAAGUUUUUGCUGCCAUAAAAAUCACUACUAUAAAAUCCAAAAACAAGAAGCAUACAAAAGCUAGGAAAAUCCAAUCUAAAUGCCCAUAUAGGACAACCAAAAUCCAGCCAUCAAUAAAGCAAAGCUUGCACCGAAGUGGGAUGGAGCUGAACUUUCUGGUGGGGCAGCAAUAGCCUUAUCAGAGCCUUCUGAUGCGACUUGUGCGGUGGUGGUAUCAGUUCUGGCUUCAGGAACCACCACCUCUACAUGUAAUUUCAGGCCAUUCUUGCACUUGUCAGAACUGCUGCUUGUGAAGUAACGGACCCCUUCUCCAUCAAGAGUGAUGCCAUCACUGUCAUCAGUGUACAUUCUGAUUGGAUUGCUCACAUCACACGUUAGGUAUUCUUCCUUUGUCUCUACCUCAGCUAUCCUACCCUGUGCUGCAGAGUGGGUGAACCCUGAUCUCCCCACAGGUCAAAUAUAUUAUUACUAGCUCAUCUCACUUGUCCUAAUACAUUCCCAAAAUCACUCUACCGACUAAAAAUUAAAAGCUGAAUUACUUGUAUUGAUUAAAAAAAAAAGCUUCAAGUCCCGGAUUUAUAAUCCUUUAAAUCCAAAUACUCUAAAAACUAAAUUUCAAUUACACGAAUCCACUGCCAAACAUACCCUUGUUAAUAAAUAUUAAGACAUUUGGGAAUUCCAAUAUUGAAAAGAAAAGGAAAAAACUAAAUGGAGGAAUAACCAUUAAUUCAACUCUGAAAAAUAUUGAGAGAGAGAGAGGGCUUACAAAUUUUAUCUCCAACUCUGAAAGUUCUAGCAGAGGACCAAGAACCAAUAUCAGAAUAAGGGUGCCAUCCACGAUCCCCUCCAACUACAUGGUGCACCUGGGCUCCAUCAUUAAGGCUCACUAGGACUAGAACCAGAACCAGAACCAUCAAUAUCUUCUUGGUCAUUGCCAUUUUCACAGCACAACAAACUUUCUUCUCCUAGAAGGAAAGGGGAAAAAAAAGUUAGAGUCAGAAGACUGGUUGCUAAGAGUGAAAGAGAGCGUGUCCUUUCAAUGAUAUUGCACUAAAGAAGAGGGUAGAGCCCACUUUUAUUAAACUAGCCCGGCUCAUGAGUUGGCAUGAGUCACGGUUAACACCGGAACUAGCCAGGACCUGGUUUAAAUCCGGUCAUUAAUCUGUGACUUGAUCGAGUUCUCGUCAGAACUCAUUGAUUUUUUGUAAGAAAAAUUAAUAACAACAUUGUCUUUAUGGAUAAACCAACCCGUGACUGCUGAGUCUGGGUCAGGUUUAUAGAUAUGGUGGAGCCUAGAGGGUUUGGUUUCCUUUCCUUAGCAGCUUCCUUUCAAAAGCUUACAUAAGAGCAAAGAAUCGUAGGUGGCUUGGCUGUAGUUUGCUAGAGCCUGUGAAUGUGUGUCCACAGAGAUAGAGUACUCCUUUGUUUCCAUACUUUUUUAUUUUUAUUUUUUUUAUUUCGGUAAUUGUGAAUCGUUCGGACCAAUUUAUAUAUAUAGAUUAAUUCUUUGAUGUUCUAAAGUUAAUAAUUAUAUAAGUUUUAGUGAUUAUGAGAUUUGUGAAACUUAAAUUAAUAAUUUCUAGAAAAUAAAUUCAGAACCUAACCACUUAAAUUUUGAUCUAUAAAAUUGUUUUUUACUCUUUAAAAAAUUAAAAUUUGUAUUUUUUCUAUAAAAAAUUUUAAUUUCAGAAUAAUAUUGAUUAACAUAGAUCCUAUAUAUAUAUUUUGAAAAUCAACCACAACCACACUUCCAAACAGGUUUUAUUAAUAUAAGGUAUGUUUAGAAGUGUGGUUGUGAAUAUUUUUCAAAGUUUUUUUCAUUUUGAAAUGCAUCAAAAUGAUAUUUUUUUAUUUUUUUAAAAUUAUUUUUGAGAUCAGCGCAUCAAAACGAUCCAAAAUAUAUAUAAAAAUUAAUUUUUAGUAAGAAAAAAAAUUAAAUUUGUAUAUAUACUGGAAAAAAAAAUAUAGGAGGUAAUUAAUUGCGAAGUCAUGUAAAUGGUACUGGUGUAAUGUAAAUUGUAAUUGCUUUUCACUGAAGCAAUACCAGACGAAAUGUGGAAGAAAUUUAUGAUGAUAACGACUAGAACUCUCUUAUAACAUGAAAAUGAUAUGAUAUAAUUUAUGACGCAUUUUAUACAUUAAUUAUCACAUUUGUUUUUGAAUGAAAAGAGAAAUAUCAAACUAAUACUAGAAAAUAAAAUACUAUACAGCAUGAAUUCCAAGAAUAUAAUUCAACAUGAUAUUAUCGCUGUUGAAAUUUUUAUUUAAAACACGGUUAAUAAAUAUAUUUAAUAUUAAAUUAAAAAUGAGGUUAAUUUACUUUUUUAGAUUAAAACUUGGUUAAAAUUUAAUCUUUAAAUUAUAAGUAAAUAAAAAAUUAAUCUCAAAUAAAUUUUAGUUGAUAUAUUUUGGGAAAACUCAUAACCUUUUAAAAGCUCUAUCUCACAAAAAAAUAAAUUUUCUAGUGAUUUAUAUACACUGAGAAUAUAUAAAGUUUAAAUUAGAUCCAAAAUACACCCUAGUUUUUAGAAAAAAGAGAAUUUAAGCAAAAUGAAUUUUAGAUUUAAACUCACAUGCAUGCAACUUUGCUCGGACAUGAAUUUGGGUUUUAUUUUAUAAUAUUGGUUUGAUAUUUUUAUUUUUGUUUUAAAAAAUGUGAUAAUUAAUGUUUAAAUUUUGUUAGCCUAACUCAUGAAUGAUAUAAUGUGAUCAGUCUACUUCUAGAAGAGUUUUCUUUAAAUUUUAACAGUUUUCUCAACUCAAAAACAUCUAAUUUAAAAUCAAAAUGUUCAAGUUUGAUUCUAAUUUUAUGUGGAUAAUCAAAAUUGAUAAUAAAAAUAAUUUAUUCCAUAAAUCACCAUGUGGUUGUGUAUUCAUCCGAUAAGAACUACAGUUUCUAUAAUUUUUUGAGCGUGUAAUAAAAUUAGAUAAAAUAUUAUCAGGUAUAAAAUUGAUAUUACAGUGCGAGUGAAUUUAAUUCACUCUAUACUAGUUUUUCGGGAAAAAAAAAUAUUGUUUAUAUCAUAGUGCGAGUGAAUUUAAUUCACUCUAAACUAGUUUUUUUUUUUUAAAAAAAAAAACUGUUAAAAAAAUGAACACACUGAAAAAAAAAAAACUAAAACUAUUCACGUGAACAGUGCAAAUGAAUUGCACUGUUCAUUAAGUGAACAGUGCAAUUUACUCGGGAACAGUGCGAGUGGAUUGCACUGUUCAUUGUUUUAAGUGAACAGUGCAAUUCUCUUGCACUGCUCACAUGAACCGUGUAUCAACGUACACUGUUCAUACUAAUUGCAAUGUUCAAUGAACAGUGCAAUUAACAUAAACAGUGCGCGAAAAGCAAGAAUUCCUUGCUUUUCUUUCCCUGCGUUUCAGACGUAAAAGUAACGUGGGACCCAUGAAUAAAAAAUCUUGUUUUAAUAUUUACCAAACGGCUAAAAUCUGUGGUUUAAUUAAAACACAGCCGCAGCCGCGUGAACAAAUCUUGGAUGCAAGCAAUGGUGUAAAUUCUCAGUGAAUCUUUUCCGAGAGCUCCUCCAAAGUCUCAAUCUUGUUUCCAUGCAAGGAGGUUUCCAAGAAACAUGUUUUUGUUGGUUUUCUGUGGAGAAAACAGAGUGGGAAAUUCAUUUAAGAUAAGAUAGACAAUAUCUUAUAAGCAAGUUCCAUAGGAUGCUUUUGUUUUUUACUUCACAUGCCAACAGGAAGAAGCUUACCAAGUCCAAGACUAGGUUUUAUUAUUUCCAUUAUUUUCAUAUCUACAAGCAACACUGAUUUUUUCGGAAUAAUCCAAGAAAACUACCUCAAUCCUGCACCAAACCUUACAAUGGAACUUGUUUAUCAAGCUCAAAUCAAAUGCUACUCGCGGAAUUCUGUUUGAAGUUGAAACAAAAGAAAAUACUGUCAAUUUUAAUGGAGUAGUCCAAUCUCCAUGGCAGAUUUAUGAUAAGGGGUUUGAACUUAGAUUCAUUGGAUCAAUUCAUGAAUUUCGUCUUUUUUCUCCAAACAUUUCUUUCUCAAAAAAUUUAUGGAGCUCCUCGUAACAUUUUCUUCCAUUCGAAGAUAAUGUUAAAGGGGAAAUACAGUAUUACAAUUUACACUAUUUAAAUGACAUAGAUAAAACAGGAAAGAAACAUCACAAACAAUAUCCAAGAUAAUCAAGAACAAGAAGCACCUGAAAAUAUACAUUACAAAGAGCAAUCUUGGUCACUCUCCAAUGAGUUCUGUGGAGAGUAAAAUAUGAUGAUAUCAGCCUCUUUAGGAAGUUUAAAGCUCACUCUCUUCUGUGACUUCCCACUUUGGGUUCUGCUAAUUGAACUCGCUACUGAAGAGGCACUGACAUAGUCUUCUUUAUCAUCUACUUGAUCAAGCCCCAAUAGUCUGCCCGUGGAAAAACUCACUCUUGCCUUAGUUGAAAUACAUGGGUGUACCCUUUUGGAGGACCCAUGUUUGAGAACACAAAGCUCUCCUCCUCUCAAUUGUUCUGCCUUCAAGCUAGGAGAGGUUAAAAGCCAGUCCUGUAGAGUCAACUUGCUCACUGUUGUACCCUUCUUCUCUUCUCGGAGCACAUGCCUUUUGUUCUGGAUCUUCUUCACUUUCAAGCAUUCUGGCUUCAAUAAUUCAACAAAGCGUGAUUCACGACCAUAGGAGCGGACUCCUUCUGGCUUCUGCUCGGAAGUUGAGAGCUUGCUCACUUUACAUCCCAUUGGAUUCUGCCAAAAGAAUCAGCAAUGUAAUACAUAAACGUGGAUGGAUAAGAUGGAGAAGGGCUUAAAUCAUUGUGUCUGAGCAAUGUAUAGGGGAAACCGCGACGGAGAGGCUGAGAAAAAGGUGUUUGUAAGAACUAUGUUGCCUUAGUAAUCCCCAUUAGGUUAAGUAUUAAUUUGUACUAAAUCUUUCAAUAUAAUUAAGUUCGCAUCAGUCAUGACGAUUGGCCAAUGCAAUCCUCACAUAUUAUUUGUUUUGUGCUAGCUACCAUUAUCUCAGUGUCCAUGUCAGUUUCUUGGCUUUUAAUCUUCAUAUUGAUCAGUUUGACAGACAAUGGUGAUAAACUCAAAGCAAUUCGUUACAAACAAUAUAUUCGGCUAAGUGAAGUUCAUUUUCCAAUUUGUGGAAUCAAGGAAGUUGGUUGUCUUUGCAUGAGGGAAUAACUUUUCACUUCUUGUUUGAUUGUUGAGCUUGGUUUAGAUUCAUUGUCAUUUACGACAACAGUAAAUUGUGCAAAACUAUGUUUGACUUGGAAUCUAGUAAAUUUAACGGCAACAUUUGUAAUUGGCUGGAGCUAGAUUCUUAGGACAGGCUGGUUCCAGGAGGGAUAUGAAGCUGCAAUAUGUCAGUGUGGAGGAAAAAUCAGACUAAGCAGGGCAGCCUGCAAGAAGCAGCAGAAAGCAAAACAAAGUGCACAGCAACAUGGUCUUUUAGUUCACAUCUCAGCCUACAAUAAGAUGGCAGAAAUUAUCAGUUUCAGGGAAGACAAGUUUCUGUUUAGCGACUGUAAUAGAAAGACAUGAUACUAUUGAUCAGUGUUGUGUAAGAAACUGGAUGUCAGCUUUCACUGUAAAUCUCUUGUUGCUAUCAGUCAGUCAAGGACUCAUGGUUAUUCUUUGGACAUGCCAAUCUGUAUCUUCAUGUUUUAGGCAGGCAAACCCUAGAAAAAGAAAUUAAUUUGUAGUCUGCUAUUAGAUUCAAGGCAAAGAUUAUAAUUAUAAACAUGGAGCAGAUUCCCUUGUUACUUGAGCCAAAAUACCUCAAGGGUUUAUUAUGAGAUUUCAAGUUCAGUCAUAUUCUAUUGCAUGGCACAUCACUUGUUAUUUGUGUAUCAGAAUCGAAAUUGAUAUAUUUUCUGGCAUGCUUGAACCUUAGGGCUUGCAGCUCUUUCACCGAUCAUAUUGCUGGAUGAUACGUUUAGAACAAUUAACAAGAAAUCGAUUAUUAUAAGAACAGUUUGUGGAAAAUAUCACUUUAAAGAAUCCACCCUAGUUAUAAUACCCAAUACGAGAGUCAACCCGGCUAAGUUAUGGAUUAGAGAUGUUAACCUACCUACCUGCAAGUUAGCUUAUUAACCAAGCUAUGAUUUUUUUAAAAAAGAGCUCCCCAAACGAAGUUGUUUCAAGUUUUCUAUUUUUUUUUAAAAAAAAACUGAAACAUCAUUUUAAUGAAAAAACCCAGUUCAAAGUCUAGACCGAACUAGGUUUUAUAACACUGCUGACAGCAGUGAACUCUUCCCAUUUUGCUCGAAUUUUCGAAUGUGCCGAAACCUAAAAGGAGAGACAUUUCCUACAGCACUCCGCAAAACUGCCAAGACAUAGAUUUGCGUCAUGUACAAAGGCCCAUCUAGACUUCACGAGAGUCUAAAAUUUAGUUGGAAGUGUAUAUUUUUGCCCUAAAAUCACAAAACAGUAGUGAUUAUGUAAUAAUUUCAACACAAGACAUGAUGGCGUCUAAGGGUAAAUUCAGAUCAACCAUCAUAAAUAUCUCAUAGUACUGUAAUUCUAAUCACGCACAUGAUUUUGGAAGUCUCAUUUGCAUGAAGCAUUCUGAGAAUAGAAAGAUACUCCAAGCAUGAAAUUUAUCUAGAGCAGUAAUGUACUUGAAGGAGAUACAAAAGAGGUCGAAUCAGGAAGUCUCAGCAGCUGGUUGGGUAACUCCAAACUUCACCAACAGCUUGCUUAGAGCAUUGGGUGGGCAAAUUUGGUAUUUGACAUUCCCAGAAGGAGAAAGGAAGACCUCAGCCAGUUCAAGCUUCUCUGAAGUAAGACUUGUACUAUCCAUAGUUUUGCUGAGCACCUUCAAAGCAAGCUGGACAGCUUCUUCCCUUGUGAUUUCAUCCCUGUAAUCCUGCUUUAACAUGGAUUGUGCAGCCUGGUUGUUUGCACCAAUUGCUGCAGCUUUCCAGCCAGCAUAAUUUCCACUAGGAUCGCUCAUGUAAAGUUGGAAACCAUAAUUUUUGUCCCAUCCUGCAAACAGAAACGAGACACCAAAGGGCCGAAGACCACCAAACUGUGUGUACCCUUGCUUGGUGUCACAAAGGGAUUGAACUAACUGCUCUACAGGCAUUGGCUCUUGGUAUGCAAAGGUGUAGCGUUGUGCUUGGAUCCUUGCAGUGUUGAUUAGGAUGUUGGCAUCAGACAUAAUUCCAGCCACUGCAACAGCCACAUGAUCAUCAAUCUUGUACAUCUUCUCAGUGGAAGUUGACGUUUGCAAUAGCUUGGAUGUAACCUUCUUUUCACCAACCAAGACAACCCCAUCUUUGGAUAAUAUUCCUAUUGCAGACCCAGCAUUUCCAAUGGCUUCCAUAGCAUACUCAACUUGGUACAGACGUCCUUCAGGGGAGAAGAUUGUUGUGCGGCUAUCAUAUCUCCGAGACAUUUUUAUUUAUACUGAAAGAAGAUAAUAAGCAAAAGCAACAAAAAGAACAAAAAUAAGUUCUUAACCUUGCGCCCCUUUUCACUCGAUUAACUAUAUAGGAAAGGCCAGAAAGCAGGGUUGGGGAGUCCAUGGUAAAAGAGUGAAAGACUCACAUGAAGAUCAUUCAAUUGCAAAUAAAUGAAAGCAUGCAACACAUUAGAGAAAGCAGAAAUUGAGCAUGUGUUGAAAAUAAAUAAAUUAGAGCAACUCUUAGAGAACAGCAUAGCCAUUAUAAUCAGCUUGGACGUGAGAACUUGACACGAUUAGAAAACAUCUCAGAAACAACUAGAGCUUCCAGAACCACGAACAAGUCAAACAGUGUGGAAAUUUCCAUAAACUGAAAAGGUAGAAUAUAGGCUUUGCAUGCUGUAAAUUGACAAUAUUUUAAAUUCUUCAAUUCUUUUGAUUGAUUAACCAAAAAAUUUAGGAGAUGCAAUCAUUGUGCCAUUUUCCCAAUUCAGCCCCUUUUCAUGCUCAUCCAUUUUCAAAUAAAACAUGCCUCAUGGAAACAGCAUACAUAUUUUCUGUUCCAAAGAGCCAAAUGCAAACAUAGGAGAACAUGUAUCGCAUACAUAUGCAAGAAAACACAUGCAUGGAGUUUGUAAAGGAGGUGCAUACACUUAAGUUUCUUAAAGAAGAGGCCAUUAGGAAACUACAUUUGCAAACCCUAGAGCUCACAAUAGAAGUUGCAAAGGCAGGCAACUGAAAGUUGUUUAAAUUAGAAACACACAAGGACUGAAUAUAAGAAAAUAAAAUCUUGCAACUGUAAUUUAAGUAAUGCCGUCCCUCUGAUUAAGUCUAACCUUGACCAUUAAAAAAAAACCUAAGAAAGACAAUGAAAAUUCUAACUAAGAAAUUAGUAUGCUUUACUAAAUAGUUACUUAAGCACAGUUCUGUAACAAUAACCCAUAUAUCAAACUAGGUUUUCCUUGUUUACCAUCCUUUAAUUCAUUAUACCUGUCAAGAAUAUCACAAAGGACAUAUAGCAAAUCAUAUUACAAAAACAAUCGAAAAUCAGUCAUUUCCAGCAAAUAAACAACUACAUAGUUCCAUAGUUGCUCUAUUUCAUCUAGCAGUUCAAUCAAGGAUCACUAACAAAGUUGCCAAACUAAAAUCAAAAUCUGUUUCGCCAAACACAACCCAUUCUAUGUCUUUUUAGUACACAAUCAACAAUAUUGUUCUAUCUUUCGCGCUUCCAACAAAACAAUUUGAUCCCUUAAAACUCUACAAACUACCAUGGACACACACAAAACAACACUAACCCAGGUUCCAAUUCCAGAGUUCAGCUUCUAAAAAACACAUCAAACCCAACUAGGUCUAUUUCCACUCCGAAAUUCAAUGCACAUUGUAUAGUUAAUUUGCCAAACUAUAUUAGAAUCUGUUUCUAGGAAACACCCCAUCAUCCCAUUCUCUGUCCUUCCAGUGAGUGCACCAUCAACAAUUCUCUCUCUUUCGGUCUCCCAUAACAAAACAAAUUGAUCCCUGAAAACCCUACAAACUACAAUUAACACCAAAAAAAAAAAAACUAUCCCAGAGUCCAAUUCAAAGUCCAACUUCAAAAAAUCACCUAAGAAAUCAGCAUUACCAACUAAAACCCCUCAACCAAGAACAAAAUCAGAAAAAAAGCAGCACCUUUACUGCUUUACCACCAUAACAACCCAAAAACAAAAACAGAUCUACGUAAACACCUAGAAAACUAACUCAGCACUUGAAAACUAAAACUCAUUUUCAAAUUUCAAUCAAAAACCAUAAUCGCACACAAAAAAGAAGCAACAACAAAAACUAAUACAAAAAGUCCAAAUCUUGAAGACCUAGUUCAAGAAACCAACGAAAGAAGAGACAUUUGGUAUAAAAUCAAGAGGGAGUGCUAAUUACCUGUAAAAUGCAAGUGAUCAGAAGGAAUUUGCUGUGUAGUGUGAUGCAGGAGAUUCUGAAGGGCUGAUGAAAGCUAUGGAUUCCUUGGUGAUCUUUAUGGGUUUCUUACUUUGCUCUACCUUGUUGCUCAAGAAGAGUUAAAACAGCUGAUACUGGGUGGGUUGGGCUGUCAAUGCUGUGAAAUUGGGUUGGGCUUAAUUUUUGGGCUUAAUAUAAUUAAGCCUAUUAGAGUUUUUUUUUCCUAUUUAUCCAUUUUUAGUUUUUUUUUUAAAAAAAAGAUUUGUAAAAGAAAAAUUAGCUCGAACAUGGCCGAAUUAGAAUCAAUUCUUUAUUUGAGUUUCUUAAAGCAUGUUAUUAAAACUAGUGAAUCAUUGAUUGAAUCGUUAGAUCAAUUAUAUUAUAAUAUAAAUAUUUUACUUAAUAUAAAAAAUAAAAUAAAAUAAAGACAGUCAUAUGCUGCAUAAUUUUUAAGAUUCAGGUAUUUAUAGUUUUUUUUUUAAUUGGGUUAUUUAUUGGAUUUGACUGAUUUUACGUAAUAUUAUAAUUAUUCGAUUAUGUAAGUGAGUGUUUAGAAAUUUUUGUAGCUUCUGUUUGUAAAUGUAUUUUAAAAGUAUAUUUUAUUUUAAAAAAUAUUAAAUUAAUAUUAUUUUAGCGUGUUUUAAUAGUUUUAAUGUGUAAAUAUAAAAAAAUUAUUUUAAUAUAUUUUAAAAUAAAAACUACUUUUAAAAAGCACAUCUUACACCACAAGAACAAUUACUCUAUUAAAUUGGAUGAUUAAUUGAUUUUAUAACAUUUAUUUUAGUUACUAGUCAUUUAGAAUUGAUUAUAUUUUUCUAUCAGCUUCAAUUAACUUAUUGUUUCCCAUGCUAGAAAAUUAUGCCAAACAACUUAGUAACAUCCACACGAAAUAGGUAAUUUACGAAGGAAUGUGUUUAUAAUUAUUGAGGUUGGUCCAAAACCCUUACUUGGACCUCAUCACUUUCGGUUUUGCAAAGGUGCUACCAACAACAUGUCCAUUCGUUAUUUUGAGGGAAUUUUUAAAAUCUAGAUUAUAAUUUAUAUUGUGGAUUGGAACUUUCUCAAGUAAAAAAAAAAAUUCAUAGAUUUAACAUUAUUUCCAUGAAGUAAACCCAGCAUGAGGAUUGCUAUGAAAAAAGGUAGGGUCACUGAAUCAACAUACGCAGCUUACCAAGUUAAUUAUUUUUAUUAGAAUAAUCUUAUAAAAUUUAUUUAAUUAUGCUUCAAUCGAGUUUGAUCGAGUUAACAGGUUAUAAAUUAAUCUAAUUAUAUCAAUUAAAAUUCACUAAAUCAAUAUUUUUUUUCAUUUAUAUUUAAAUUCUAAUUUAAAUUAGGCUUUGAAUCAUAUAUAUAUCUAAGAUCAAUAAUCUAUGCUAUCAGAUUAUUUCUUUCAAUUUCCUUACACCACAAGAACAAUUACUCUAUUAAAUUUUAUUAAAUUAAUACAUUUUUAUUUAUAUUUAAAAUCCAAAUUUAAGUUAGGUUUUGGAUUGUAAAUAUCUAAUAUCAACUCUUUUAAAUCUAAGCUAGAUUUAACAACUAUUCUAUCGAAUGAUUUUUUUUAAUUUCCUAAAUUAUUACCCCUUUUAUUCGGACAAAUAAAAAGGAGGUCAGGAGUGUUCUGACUUCUAGCAAACCAUGUUUCUUAUCUAAUAACAUUAUUAUUAUUUUUUUAUUUUUUUUUCCCCUGAUUAAGAGGCGAGGUCUUCAAACCAACUAUUCUCCAUUCCUUCUCGCAUGUCCCAAAUACCUUGGUUAGGCUUAGAACUUAGAAUCCUAAUUAAAAUAUAAUAAUUUAAGCUUAUCUUUAUCAUAUAGUGUUUCUAGAAAUAUAAAAUAAAUAUAUUCGGGAUCUUGUAAUCUUGUAGCCAGGCUGGAUAAGAGUUUGUAUUCUUUUCUAGCCUUUUCCUUUCUAUCUUUUCCCGUGAACCAAGCACUGCCCGUUUACAGUAUAUAUUUGACUUUACUUCACAUCAUACUAAUUUUCUCAAGUAAAAUAUUAUGGUCUUGGUCCACAAUGGAAUAAACAUUUCAAAUCAAGUAUGGAUCGAGAAACCUAUACCAGGAAAAAAAAUGAUUUAAGAGAAAUCAAACAUGUUUUUUUAAAGAGUUUACAAGGGGACAACGAAUCUUUGUUUUUACAGUCAUGUCGUUUUUUAAAUGUUUUUUAAAAUAUUUUUUAAUAAUUUUAAUGCAAUAAUAUUAAAAAUAAAAAAUAUAUUAUUUGGAUAUAUUUUUAAUUUCAAACACUUUAAUAAAAACAUGCAUGAGAGGGAGGGAUAAUUGGAUGGCGCGCGUCACAAGUGAUGGAGAUCAUCACAUUUUGAUGGAAUUAAUUAAACAUCAAGCAAUCAAGAAAGUAUGCCCACAUUUGAUAGGCAACAAGUUGAAGAAAUUAACAUAAGAUAUGCUCUGAAAAGGGAAGGAAAGGAUCAUAAGAAAAUUCUCUAGAACUAUAACAAAACACAAGAUAUCCUCUUGAAUUAGAGGCUUCAUUCCAGCCACUUCAUGAUCCUACAUGCAAUUAUUCUUUACACUUUCAAGCUCAC
This 131910-nucleotide long non-coding RNA is filed under the name Populus trichocarpa (black cottonwood). RNAcentral describes it as "long non-coding RNA (PTRI_LNC003559)". The record is from RNAcentral. Lineage: Eukaryota; Viridiplantae; Streptophyta; Magnoliopsida; Malpighiales; Salicaceae.